This 93233-nucleotide long non-coding RNA is filed under the name Nicotiana benthamiana. RNAcentral describes it as "long non-coding RNA (NBEN_LNC006150)". Lineage: Eukaryota; Viridiplantae; Streptophyta; Magnoliopsida; Solanales; Solanaceae. The record is from RNAcentral.
UCAAAAAAUGUGCCAUUGCUUCAUGAUAAGACUAUCUUUCAAGAUUAAGCUGAGAAUUAUCCGUGCAUGUCAUGUCACUAGAAUUAGCAUGAAAAUAACUAUAAAAGGAAAAAAUGACCUAAACAAAACUGAUUAGAACUAACAGAAAAUAGGAGAUUGCAAUAGACAGAUGAUGAAAAGGGUUUGAACAAGACAAACAAAAUAAACAUGUGUUACAACCCUGGAACAACCCGAAAUAACGAUAUACAAGUUACUACAAACUAAAUGAACUAGACAAAACUAGAAGAAGAAGAAUAGUUUGAGCCACGAGACAAUAUCCAAAUUACAAUCCUGAAAUAAACCGAACAAACAAGAAAUGACAACAAAAUAAACUACCAAAACUCCUUGAUGGCUAGCCGAGAAAGGAGUGUCUUUUCAAUCGCUAAGCUCGAUGUCUUAGCCACUGGAUUGCACAUCAAAAUAGCUAGGACUUUCACCAAUUCCAAUUUCAUUAACUUCACUCAGCAAGUUCCUAAAAGGACUCUUAUACUCCUUGUCACCACGCAUCUCACCCACAAAGUGUGCAUAAUCAUGUGCAGGUAAAGAAAUUUGUGCGAUAUUCUGGGUGUCACUGUCCUAGACCACAAUUAUCCCUUCUUGAAUCAUUUUUUCUAUCUCCCUUUUCAAUGAAUGGAAAUAUUCAAUGCUAUGCCCUUGGACAUUAGAGUGAUACAUGCAAAGCAUAGUAGGAUCAAAUCCUUUUGCAUAUGGGUCUGGGGUAUAGCCGAGAAGCGGCUCAAUCAGUCUAGAUUGUUUCAACUUUUCAAACAAACUUGUGUAGGAUUCUCCGAUUGGUGUGAAACAAUUUCUUUGCCUUUGUUCCCCUCUAUGCCCCUGUUUCCUAGGGUUUUUGGGUGCUCGAAUAUGCUGUGAAGGAGAAAGAGUAUUGUGCGGUCCUGGUGCUCGCCAUAAGGAGUGACCCAUUGGUUGAACAAAUUACUGGGCAUUGUUUGGAGGAUAAUGUUGAGAUGGAAUAUGUGGAGCCCGAGGAUAGGUUUGGAGUUGGGUGAGAAAGUGUAUUAUGCGGUGUUGGUGCUCGCCAUAAGAGUGACCCAUUGGUUGAACAAAUGACUGGGCAUUGUUCGAGGGAUAAUGCUGAAAUAGAUUAUGUGGAGCCCGAUGAUAGGUUUGGAUUUGGGGUUGGGGUCGAGGCUGAGUAUAUUGGUGAGGUGGACUCGUUAGGCCAUGUCUCGAUCCUGAGACAACCAUGGCAACAUCAUCAUGUUUCUUCUGACCCGGAAAGCUUCUUGUGUCGUUCUGAAUCGCCAGUGUUGUGGCUUUCAAGGCAGAAUAGCUCAUGAUCUUACUCGACUUGUUCCCCUCUUCCACCAUUUCUCCCAUCUUCAAGACAUCAUUGGAAGACUUACCAAUGGCUGAGAUCAAGUGGGUAUAGUAAGUGGGCUCCAGGGCUUGAAGAAAGUAUUUAACCAUAUCGCCUUCCUCCAUCAGAUGAUUGACUCGUGCAGCUUGCUCCCUCCAUCAGAACCCAUAUUAUCUAAAGCUUUCACCGGUCUUCUUUUCUACCUUGGUCAGAGACAGAUGAUACGGGACAAUUUCUAUGUUGAACUGAAAGUGCCGGGCGAAGGCGUGAGCCAUAUCGUCCCAUGCGUACCAUCCGCUGGUGUCCUGGCGAGUAUAUCGUUCUAGAGCUGCCCCACUUAGACUCUGGCUGAAGUACACCAUCAGUAAUUCAUCUUUUCCCCUAGAGCCUCUCAUCUUACUGCAAUAGCCUCUCAGAUGGGCUAUAGGAUCCCCAUGUCCAUCAUAUAAAUAAAACUUGGGCAUCAUCUUGAACCUAACAGGCAAUUAGACAUCAGGGAACAUACAUAGAUCCUUGAAGGCAAUACUCUUCUAAUCUGCCGUACCUAGCAUAUUUUUCAACUGUCGUUGUAAGCUUUUCAGUCUACUGGUCAUUUCUUCAGAUGCAACCUUUGGCCCAGGCUUCUCAAUAUUUGCAGGAAGAUCAAAUAGGUAAGGUGGUACUCAGGAGAGUGAUAUUGUUCUUGCUGGGAAUCAAAUUGUUACUCAUAAGUUUUUCUCUGCACCACCGUCGGCCGUGGGAUGGUAAGGACAUGCAUAACUGUAGUGGUUGUCUGACUUGUUGUCAAUGGCAUACUUUGGGAGUGCGCAAUUCGUAUAAGGACUGAACCUGAAUGGAUGGAAUUGAUCGGACAAUGAAAUCGGAGUGGUAGAAGCAGAGAUAUGUGUGAACUCCGGGAAAGCAUAAGAAAGGGGUGGUCCUUGACUAUUGGCCCAUGCUUGACACAUUUCAGACAUUUGUUAUUUCAACCUUUGGACCUCCUCGUUCAAUUCAGAUUUCGACUCCACAAUCUUCCUCGAGGGGUCGACAACUCUCUUAUCCAAGUUUUUGCUAGCCAUGACUUCCUUACUUCUUGACCUUGUGUUGCACAGAUGAAUCGCCAAAGUGCCACAAACUAACCGCCCUUUGUUAUGAAAACAAAGAAAGUAACAAAGAGGAACAAAACAAAGCCAACAUGUUAGGGUUAGAGCAUUUAUCAGAUAGAAAUAUCACAUUGCGUGCAAUGGCCCCUAUCAACAAUUAACGGUUCUAGAAUGACUUCGAGGGUAUGAAGGUCAUAUGGCAUCAUCCCAAUUUUACCUUUUUGGCCAUUUUCCUUCUUCAUUUUCCUUUUAAAAACCGCUUGAUUUUUCAUUUCUUCCCCCCCCCCUUUUAUUUUGAUUAACAUUCUUUUCUUUCCUCUCAUUUCUCAUGUCCAAAAUUUCCAUAUCAUUUUUCUUCUUUUCUCUUUUUUUGUAUUUAUUUUUAUUAUUUAUUUUUUGAAAAAAUAAUUCGAUCGAACCCUAUAUAGGUUGCCUACGUAUCUGUCCCUCAUGAAUCAGAUCAAGCGUUGUUCUUGAAAAAUAAUGGACAAAUAAACUAAAAAUAAAAAUCUUUUUGGAUUUUUUAUUCAUAAUAAUAUUAUUUUUUUUGUUUUUCAAAUACAAAAUUGGAAGUAAUAUAACAAAAGACUCGAUAUUAUUGUACAAGACUAGAAAGUAAAAGACAACAUCAAUGACAGACUCAAACACAAAAAUAUCUAUAAGCAACUCCUCAAUGCAUUGGCCCUAGGUUGUCAUGUUCAAACUCUAGCAAAUUGCUCCAUACCUGAAUGGGAAAAAUAAGAUCAAAAAGCUUUAGCAACUCAAGACACAUGUGACGCCAUGACACCUUCUAUUGGAAACAUGCAAGGCAUGAUUAGGGUUUUUUUUUGUAAAAUGACCUACGUAACCAAAAUGUGGCUAUUAGCGCAAACUCAACGAAGAUAACCCCAAAGAUAUGGACAAACCCCCUCAGUCUUAUAUGGAUUCAAACUCCCAAUAAUUAAGAACCUAGGAAUUACUUUGCAAAAGUGACUCAUUUUGCAAAAAUAGCCGAUAUGGCCAGAAGUGGCUAAAGAUGCAAACUCAUAAGGAAAGACCUUAAAACAAUACGACACCUAGUUGUAGACUAAAAGUCUUAAGACAUGGAUUAUUGAACUACUUUUACCAAAAUGAUCAUAUUUUGCAAAAAAUGGCCAUGUGGCCAAAAAUGGCUAGACAUGCAAGAUUUGGCUGACCCCGCAAAGCCAAGAACCUAAGACGCUAGAAAUAUCGGACCCUAUAUGGGUUGCCUACGUAUCACGUCUCGAAAAGCAAGAAUCAUGUUCGUGUAGUUCGGAAAGAUUAAAUAUAGGAGGAUUCAAAAAAUGCAUCUAAUUUGAAAAACUAUUUUUGUCUUUUUGGAAACUAAAUGAUGGAAAAUACAACAUCUCUUUGGUUUUAUUUCUCUCUUUUUUUUUUUGAAAUUUUGGAAAAUUAUUGGGAAAAUGAAAAACCUUUUUUUUUUGGAUUUUUUGGAAAAUAAUGGGAAAACGUAAAAAUCUUUUUUGGAAUUUUUUUUCAUUUUUGUUGACCUUUUUGGAAGAUAAAGGAAAAGCGUAAAAUAUUCUUGGAUUUUCUACUUUUAAUUUCUUUUUUAAUUUUUGAAAGACUAUAAAAGAAAAAUGCGGUGGGCCCUGCUUGCUUUAUUUUUCACCAUUCUUUCCAAAUAUCAGUCUACCAAAUGACCUUUUUACCCUCAAAUAUACAACAUGUAUCACACCGGGAUGAUUGAAUGUCUUUUUGGACCACGGGCCCAUUUUGAAAAAAAUUAGACGGGCUCCGUACAAAGGAACGCGGUACCUGAGACCGAGCCCUACUAGGUGUAAAUGACAUGAUGCAAAUAAAAAUGAUCUAAAGGCUGACCUAAGUUUGGGGUUCACUAACAAGGCAAUUCGGGGGAGCGUGUGGUCGAUGGUGGCUGCUCAGGCUUUCAACCCACUCCAUAUGUCCGACGCCCCCCCUUCCUAAAUUAAAGGUGACUCAAUAAAGAGUUCGUGCACGCGACACGUGCUCCGAGACUUGUUCCAGAAAGAAGACCCAUGCUUAUGCAAAUGAUUGCAAUUUAUAAAGCAGUAACACUUAAAGGAAAAACAUGUAAACAAGUAAGCAACUAGCAAAUAAUAAAAGACGUAAAAAAAUAUAAAUCAAAUAAAGCAAACAAAAUACAUAUAAACCUCAACCGAACAUCCUAAAAGACAACAAGAUCACACACUAGCUCGAACCAGCAACUCUCCAGCAGAGUCGCCAGAGAUGUCACACCCCUUUUUAAAACCAAACUCUACUAAGCCCUCUUAAUAAAUAAAAAAAAGGAUUUAGUAAAAGCUUUAAAAGGGUUUUCAAUUUUGAAAGUGACAAAAAUUGUGUUUCAAAAGGAAAUAAACUCAGAGUCGCCACCUGACAUUGAUUUCGGUGUGCCAGGUCACCAUUUUUUUAUAAGAUAAUUUUUCCGUUCAAAUACUUGAGACUCCAAAACUAAGUCUACACCAUAAAUUCAGGUAAUGAGGUUCAUUUGACUCGCGGAGAAGGUGUUAGGCACUCACCAAGUCCGUGAAGAUCAGGGUUGCAUACUCAAUCUAGUUGGCUUUUAAAACAUUCAAAUUGAGGUAAAAUCACAAAAAAAAAAAAGUAAACACACAUAAGGCUCGAGGUCACCCCCCACUUAAAUAAAGAAAAAUAAAGCAAAAUGAAUAAGUCUUGCUAGCCUAUACUACGCCUCCAUUGAUGUUUCCACGACCUCCAAAUACAAAUACCUCGGGGCAUUCACCGGAUAAAAUAUACACAAGUCUUCAGGGCAUUCACCGGAUAUAUUCAACUAAUGGAAUGACCUCUCGCCUCUAAACUAACAAAAUUCUAAAACUUGCUUACCCAAGUAUUGACGGCCUAAGCAUGUUCCUAGCGAACAAAGAAAAUGAUAAAGGCAAAAUUUAAGUUCAAAUAUCAUUUCAUUUUAAUAUACAAUUCCGUCGUCCCAACAAACAGUUACAUGUCCAACGUGUAAUGUGACGAUGCAAAGGUUUGCCAAGGGACAACAAGCUUCACAAUUGCAAUCAAGUACCUCAAGCUAGCUUUCUUUGAAUAAUUACAAUUAAAAGAAAACACGAACAAAUAUGAUACUGGCCUGCCGAACCUCAAACAUAUAAUAGCUAUCUAAAACUAAUUCUAAAAGGAAGUCCAGAAGGCGAAUCUGUUGCUAACUUACCAGAAGAAGAAAAUUCUGUUCUAUUCAAACAUUUCCAUUAGACAUGACUAAACUAAUUUUUUUUAAUUUUAGGACCAAUCGGCAAUAAUAAACUUACUAAAAAAAAAUUCCAAACUUACACGACUGGAAACCAAUGUAAAAUCAGUAGUUUGUUCUUCCACACAUGUUUAUAUUUGCAUAAAGUUUUCUUAUACGUGAAUAUUAAAAAUUAAAGAAAUCAAAGACUACCCAAAUCAAUAUGAAGCAGAGAAAGCAAAUUUUCCACAUAACAACAGCUAAUGGUAGGAUAGCAAAUAAAUACAACACAUUCACAUGAGAAAAUAUAAAGAAGAAAAGUUUAGACCGGACCUCUAUAAUGAAUAUGAUACUGACUGUUUUAAAACUUGACGACGCAUACGACCUCGACCGAACCUCGACGGGGGAAAGACUGACCGAACAAAUGGGUUCAACUGUUUUCAGUUUCUUUUUUUGUUCGUUCACUACCUUUGCUUCUCUAUUGCUUCAGUGUGUGUGUGUGUGUUUGAGUUCGAGAGGAAGAAGCCUUGAUGACUGAUGAAGGAAAAUAACGAUGGGGUCUUUGGGUGUUGAACGACUUAUUGUUGGUUUGGUUUCCAUCGGGUUUUCGGCGUGUUCGACGGGGUGUUGCAGAAGUAGAAACGAAUGGAGAUGGUUGUGGAUGUAAGGUGUUGGUUGGCAGCGGCGCUGUGAUUCAUGUGGUUAUAUAUGUUGCUAUGGUGAAAGAGACGAAGGGUGUGAAGCGUGGUCGACGUGGCUGGAGUGAGAACAACAACGCUUUUUAUUUUGUAGUCUAGGUUUUCUCCAUUGUUGUUAAGGUUCAAGGUCUAGGAAGAAGGGUUAGCUUAUGUUCUAGGGUUGUGUAUUAGGUUAUGUUAUGUUAAAGAAAAAGGUGGGUUAUGAAGAAAGGGUAAUGGGUUGGGUCUCCUUGGGCCUUCAAAUUGCGCUAAGAGAAAUAAAAUUUUCACCUCUAAGUUAAAUCCCUCUUAAUAUAAGACAAAUAUAGUACGUAAUACAAAAAAUGAUCUAACUAAUUAGAUUAAAUCAUAUAUAAAAUAUGAAACUAUUUAUAUAUUUUUUAAAUGUUAUAUUAAAAUAAAAGAGGUUCAAACUAAUGUAUCCAUCUAAAAAUUAUCCAAUACUCGAAUUAAGUACAGAAAUACAGAACUAUUUUUGUUCUUAAUGUAAUGUAAAAGAGCCGAAAUUAGUUGAAGUAACUAUAUUAAACCUAAAUUAAAUAUUUUACGCUAAAAUGGAUGAAAAAAUGAAAAUAAACACACAAAAGGAUCGAGGUCGUCCCCACCUAAAUGAAAUAAAAAGAAAAACAAAAAUAAAAUAAAAAUACUAAGAGUUCUACUUUUCGUGUCCAAUUACAAAUACUUCGGGGCAUACCCCAGAUAAUAAUAUAUACAAACUUCACAGGGCAUUACCCAGAUAAAUUUAACUAAGAGACAACCUCUCACCUUCAAACUAACAAAAUCCUAAGGUUUGCCUACCCGAGUGUUGCCGGCCUAAACAUAUUACUAGCGAUUCAAUGAGUAUCUAGUAAAAAAUUUCGGAGAGGGUAAAAAAUCACGUGUCUACACUAACUACCUCUCCCCAAUACUUCUUAGACCUAUCCCCUACCAUUAGUCAGACCAGCAAUGGACAACCUCUCACGCCUCCUGACUAAAGUAUCUGCGUCUCUCCUCUUCACAUGCCCGAAUCAUCUCAACCUGGACUCCUGCAACUUGUCCUCCAUAAUUUCCACUCCAACCUUUUCCCUAAUAACUUCAAUCCUGAUCUUGUCCUUCCUGGUAAGACCACACAUCCAUCUCAACAUCCGCAUCUCAUCUACUGUUAUCUUUAGGACAUGAGACUUCUUGACGGGCCAACACUCAACCACAUACAACAUAGCCAGCCUAACUACCACUCUGUAGAACUUGCGUUUAAGUCCACGUGGCACACUCUUAUCACACAAAACCCCUUAGCCGAACCUCCACCUCAUCCGCCCUGCUUCAACACUAUGGGUAACAUCCUCGUCAAUCUCCCUGUUGCUUUAAAUAAUCGACCCAAGAUACUUGAAGCUAUCGCUUUUGGGGAUGACUUUAGUACCAAUCUUCACUUCCCCUCUUCUUCGUGCAUCCCAUCACUGAACUUGCAUUCAAAUACUCAAUUUUAGACCUACUCAACUUAAAACCGCUAGACUCCAGCGUGUCUCUCCAAAAUUUCAAUCAAGCGUUAACUCCAUCACGCAUCUCAUCAAUCAGGACUAUAUCGUGAGCAAAUAUCAUAGACCACGACACUUCCCCUUGUAUAUGUCGCGUCAGCACCUCUAACGCUAAGGCAAACAAAAACGGGCUAUGAGCAGAUCCCUCAUGCAACCCCAUCUCCACUGAAAAAUGAUUCGAGUCUUCUCCCGCAAUCCUUACCUGAUUCUUCGCUCCCUCGUAAAGUUUAGUGACUUAUUGUUAUAAUAGAAAAUUUAUAUACUUUUAAUGUGACAAUAAAUAUUAUUGUAUCUUAUUGAAUAGUAAAUAAAGUUUAAUAACCAUAAAAAUUAACUCCUCUUUUACUUUUACUAUUUUCAGCAACUUAGCUUGAGCUUUUACAAUCUUAGAACCUGGGAGACUCUUAUAUCUUUCUAUUGAAGAACGGUAAAUACUUUUUGUCAUUAUUUUAAACAUAAAGGAACAAAUAAAGUGACACUCAACGUUGAAAAACUUUCAAACGCUAAAAUAAACUAUCCCUGAAAUGUUUUCUAUAUAUGUUCAGGUCAAUCACCAAUUCCUAGAGUCUAAUUAUAAUUAUAAAGUACUUUAAGAUAUAAAAUUAAUCUAGUCUGCCAAAAAAGUGAAACAAUUAUAAAAAAAGAUUUUAGAUCUUGAAGUAACGUUUUAUUAUACUUCGUACAUAGUCUAUCUCUCUGUAUUUAUACGUGAGUAACUUUAUGGUUUUUAUUCAUUAAAAUUGUAUGUAUACCUAAAUGUACCUUUUCCUUAAAAAAUAGUAGCUGAUAAUUUCGUCUAAUUUUUUUUAUAAUGAUAGAAGGAUCUAAGGUUCACAUGUAGGGAAUAUAAAGAACCUUUUGGGGUGGGAAAGGUCGUGGGAUGGGUCAUAUAGGCAGAAGUAAGAUUUAAAGUUUAUGAGUUCGGAAUUAUAAAUUUGUUAAAUUAUUAAGUUUUUAAAUUAAUAAUUAUGUAUAUUUAAUAAAUAUUUUAAGAUAAAAAUAAAUUUAAUUUGGCCGUACCCGUAACCUAAAAUUUAGAAAGAAAAUGGAUAGCACAAAAAGGGAAAUGCCCACUAACAAAAAGAGCUUUUUAAUGUUAAAGAAGAGUAUUUAGUUAGAGGGGAAAGUAGACAUGAUCUGUCAUUAACAAAAUGGGUAAGGGGGAAUAGGAAUGAAGUGAUGAACUCCAUGAAACUAUUCCAUUAGUGGACACUUCCUUUUUGUUAAUUAACUUAAUCAAAAGUUAAUAAAGACAAAUCUAUUAAUCUCAAAACCCCUAAUUGUGCGCUACUGUAUAUAUAUGAUGCUCUUUAUUAAGGUCCAGUCAUGUGGGAUUUCACUAAGCCUAUUUUUAUUCCUUUUAACUCCCUAAACCGAUUCUCCGUAUGCUUUAUGACAACUAAUACCACUUAUUUAUUCUCACUUAUAUGCCACUGUAGUCUGUAGUUACUGACUCACCACUCAGGGAGGAGCCAAUCCAUUAUAUGACUCUUUUCUUUUUCUCCUCGGAAUUAAUUUUAUCUUCUAAGUUCUUUUCUUUGAAAAUAACAAGUGAAUACUUAAGCCGACAAUCUUCCCACGAUGUAGAAUGACUCCGUGCAUAUGUUUUAAACUAGGAAAGUGUAAAAGGUGCUUUACAUAUAUCAUAUAAGAAGAAAUAUUAGUCUCAUGACAUGGAAUCUGCGCCCACUGAAAUAUGGUUCGCGAAAUAAUUUUCUAGCCACUUAAAUUUGUAUGUUUUUUAAAAGUCAAUACACGAAUUUUAAAUUUUUCUAUUGAAAUAUUUUUACUUGAAAAAAUAUUUACUAAUAAACACUUUUGAUCGUUGGCUAUAUUUAGAUGGAAAUAUUAUAGCUAAUGUGGCCAUUUGCAUAUUAAUCACCAGUAUUAAACGCAUGAAUAUGAUAAAUAAUUAAAAAAAGAUAAAUAAUUAAUUAUAAAAAAUAAAAAAAUUCAUUUUGUUCGGCUAUUCUUCAAUUUUUAACCAUUCAAUCUUGCAAUUCCAAGCGGUAGAGAUUGUUCUCCACACCAAGAACUACCUCUUCACAAAAAAAUAGGAGAUUUCGCUAUAGGAAUCGCCACUUCUGAUGACCUGCAACUCUCUCACGGACUCUAGUUGGUCGAAGAUGGCAUUCCAGUGGUCCAAAUCGCCCAAGAGCAAUACCAAUCGAUUUCUGCUGCUGAGGAGGUCAUGCCAAUUGGUCACUACAACAAAGUAAUUGUCACAACUUUAAAGAAAACCAAUUCUACACAACAGUGAACGAAAAUUUCUCCGGCAAUCUACCAAGCUAAAAAAAUAAAAAAAUUGGAGAGAGAGGAGAGGACAAAGAAGAACAUAGUAAGGGAAUGCUGACAUGAAAGUAGACGAAUGAGUUGCAUGGGGGAAGGGGGAUGAUGGGAAGGAACAUAGUAAGAGGAAGCUAGAAGGGUUUAAGUUUUUUCUUUCUUAUUAUAUUUAUUUUUAUUUUUAAAAUAUAAUAUAGGUGAUACUUUUAUUUAAAAAUUACAUAUGUCAUUAGUUUGGUAUGGUCUUACUUUUGGUUUGGUCAUUUGCUGACUGGAUGGAGAUAUUUAUGUAUGUGUAAUACACACGCAUAGGCUUAAGAGUCAGAUAUGUUUAUUCGUUAUGGGAAUUAUUAGUUUGAGUGUUCAAAUAAAAAAAUUCAAAGUUCAUAUAUCACCUUUCAAAAGUCUUACAAAUUUAAAUGGUCAGGAAGCAAUUUCUCCAAUAUUCUUUAUUAUUAGUUCGCUGAAUACAUGUGUGCCCCUUAGAUUUUUGUGAAUUUAUAAUUUAGAUAUCUAAACAAGGAUUUAUACAUAUUGAACGAUUGAACUCAAAUUAAAUAAUAUCUAUUAGACACAACCUGUUGAAUAGUUCACAAACCAAAAUGCGUGUAGUUCACAUGCCGAUGAAAUUGAUGAUGGAUUAUAAUAAGCAGUGGAAGCAAUUUUAGUAUCAAAAUAUAUGUAAUUUAGAUAACUAGCAUAAACGAGAUUUCACGGUUUAUCUCUUGAAGCGUGAACAUAUUUUUUCUACCACGUGAGCCUUCAGUUCCAUAACUUCUCAAUGGAAUCUCCAUCACCCGCACAAUCGUGAUCCUCGAACGUCCAACGGUAAUACCGGGAAUAGCAAUUUCGUGUGGCCGAAAUUUUUAGGAAAACUUGGCUGAAAAUUUCAGCCACCAUCUAUUUUUCUUCUAGGUGGAAAACCUUAUGUAUUUAUAGCACAAGUUUUAAGGGUUAAGACCCUUUUCCGAAACCUGUUGAAUUUUCUUUUCCACCAGAAAAAGGAUUCAUUUAUUUCCUAUUAUUUAGGCACAGUAGGGACCACAUAAUUUAAUUAACAAGACUUCCAAUUAUGAAAUUAAUUUAUAAUUUUUGAAAUUAAUAUCUACCAUAAUUAAUUACGAAUAGGACCACAUAAUUUAAUUAACUAAGGCUCAAAUUAUGGAAUUAGUUUCUAAUUUUUGUAAUUAAUAUCUACUAUAAUUAAGUACGAAUUAUUCCACUAAAAAUUCAUAAUUACACUCCUUAUUCAAUUUCGAAAUUCAUCCAUUAAAUCUUAUUUAACUCCCAUGUUAAGAUUCAGAUACGAAUCAAUCAAAUUAAAGUACUGACUAUUUAAUUUAUUGAUUAUUUCCUUUAGACUUUCGAUAACUUAUUUCAUGUGUCGGAUACAAACUUCACCGGCCGGGGUUACACAUGUUAACUUAUAACAUAUAGGUGUUUCAUCAAUAUCUAAACCGAGACAUGGAUUCCAUCAGCUAACAAUUACUUCGCCAAUGUACGUUAUUAUUAUCCAAUUUACCAGGCAUAUUGACCCACGAAAGAAUCUUGCCUUUUAAUAAAUCAAAACAAUAAUACUAUUCACACCUAAUAAUAAUUAUAUCAAGAUUAAGAGUAUAAGUACAUUUAAUGGCUAGAGAGACUAUUUUAUUAAGUCAGUAUAAAAUACUUAUAUCUACCUGGUCUCACACCUAAUAAUAAUUAUAUCAAGAUUAAGAGUAUAAGUACAUUUAAUGGCUAGAGAGACUAUUUUAUUAAGUCAGUAUAAAAUACUUAUAUCUACCUGGUCCGUUCAAUACAUAUAAAAUGUACUAGCAUAAGAAGCUGGAAUUAAACCAUUCCCAUAAUCAAGAUAAAUUAUAUUUAAUCUCGUGCUACAAUCAUUCCUGAUGGUUUGUCCAAUUCCAUCAUUAGAUUGUGAACUCAAACUUUAUACUUAUAAGAACCGAUGAUUUAAUCUUCCGUGUUCCCAUAAUCAAGAUAAAUUAUAUUUAAUCUUGUGCUACAAUCAUUCCUGAUGGUUUGUCCAAUUCCAUCAUUAGAUUGUGAACUAAAACUUUAUAUUUAUAAGAAUCGUUAAUUUAAUCUUCCUUGAAUAAGCUAAACUCUAUACACUAAAUCAUCUACUAUAAAAGCAAAGAACACAGACUAUUAUAUGAUCUAUUUAAAAUUUUAUUAAAACUGAAUAAACAAUUAUUUCAUAAUAAAUACUAUAUUUAAACCAAACCCAUAAUUAAUGGUAUAUAUCCUUAACAGUGAAAACUCUCAAAGCUGCUUCCCAAUAUUCUUCUUUUGGUUGUUGCAUGAACUGAGAGUGAACAUGCGCACAAAGAUAAUUCUAGCCUUGUGAAACACAAAUAGACGAGUCGUCCAACCAAACGACGAUAACUUUCAGAAUCUUCUAGAUCUCGACCAUUUGCCAGCGUUAGCUGAUGUUUCUGCUCUAAAUUAUCGACAUAAAUAAGUAUAUUUAUUCGAACUUCACCUCUUUAUAAAGUAGAUAGAGAAUAGCCAGAGUACGAAUGCUUGAAUGCAUAACCUUCCAAGGCAGUCCAUAACUUAGUAAACCAACAUCGGGGUUCUUGCUUCAACCCAACGAGAGCUACCUAAAGUGUGCACACUUUUUCUGGGCUUGCAACCUGAAACCCAGGGGGUGCUUUCAUGUAUACCUCCUCUUAAAGAUUCCCGUGUAGAAAAUUAUUGUGCAUGUCCGUUUUAUGUAAUUCCUAGUGUUUUGUUGCGGCCACCGCCAAGAACGUGUGCAUAGUUACUAUCUUGGCCAUUGGAGUAGUACAAUCCUUCUACUUGAUGAUUGCUAAAAAUAAUUGAUUAGACGAGAUUUAUGUCAUUCAAUAGUUUUGUUUGAGUUGUAUUUGAUCUUGUAAACCCAUCUGCAGCCAAGAGCUUUAUUAUUAGGAGGUAGAUAUUCUAUUACUUAUAAAGAAAUUAAUUUGGUCACUUAUAAAACGAGAUGUUCCAAACGUUUGAGCCAAAGAUCCAGUGAGCCUGAGCCACCUACCUUCAAAGCAUAUACCCUUAAAUUCUUUUUAAGAAAUAAUUGAGUUCAUCCUUCCGUUCACCCGCUCCAAUCAGCAUCCUCCAGGUGCGAUCCUGUAUAACGCACAAAGUUUUUGUGAAUAAGACAAAACAAUCUGAAUUAUCUAUCAAUUGUGAACAAAAGUUAAAUUGCAUGUCAAGCCGGGCACACAAAAAAUUAUUUUUCAAAUUAAAUUCCCUUUAAGUUCCAUCAAGCCCUUGUUGGUAGCUAAGAGGACAUCUGGUUGUUUUUCGGACAUUAUAAAAUAUUUUUAAAUAACCUAUUAUAUGAUUAGAUGCCCCUGUGUCGAUGAUACAUGAUAUUUUAUUAUGUUUACCGGUCAUCUCAUCGUCCUAAUUUAUUUGUUGAUAAGAUUUUUCCAUUGCUCGUUGCUCAGGCUCGGAGGUCCUGCUUUUUUUUUUUUGCAUCUACCACAGCUGAAGAGGCACCACCUCCCGCGACUUUCUAUGCAACGUUGUCACGUACCGUACCACCUCUCCUAUGCCCUUUAUUCAAUCAUCCUCUCUAAUGUUAUUGUUGUCUCUACUACUCCCACAAGUUUUCCAUCACCACAGUGACGGUCUUCCCGCCAAUCUGGAUAACCUACAAGCUGGAAAUAUUUUUGGGUUCAUGCCAUGUGCGAUUGCAAUAAGAGCACGUCAUAUUUUAUCAUUUCCUUCAUAAUGACUCCUGUAAGGAGAUGUGCCUUGUACAACGAAGGUCAUAGCUUCGCUAUGCUUGUCUAUGCCUCGAGCCAUCAUUUUCACUCGUUUGUCUUGCACAAGCUUUGACUAAACCCUAUUUAGUGUCGACAACGGGUCUUGAGCGAACAAGUUUGCUCUUACUCUCUCAUAUAUGAUAAAGUUUUUCAACCCUAAGGAACCCUAGAAAUAUGGUAUGACUAAUACAAGUGAUCCUAAUAUAACACAAACUCUAUAUACGACAUGUACAAAUAUUUUACGCUCCUAAUACCUUUCCAAAAGAACUGUCAAUACAAAAAGUUGCAGCAGUGAUCCACGUCCAAUCCACAAUCAAUAGUGAGUGGAAAAGGUUGUUAUAAUUAUAAUACCCAACUAGAAUCGGGGUCAAAUUUCUCAGGAAAUUUAUAAAAGGUGUUAAGGUAGUUCCUUGAAAAGAGAAUGUGAAAUAACUAAAUUAUGCUUCCAAACAAAAGUGAUUGUUGUCCAAAUUAACACUACAAUCUACAAGAUUAAACUAAUUAAAAUUAACUAGAAAGAGAAUAAUUAUUUUUGGUGUUUUUAAGCAAAUGGGGAAAAGCCUUGGGAUGUAACCUUUACCUAGGUGCAAACCUAAUAGGUAUAUGAAGUUAAUGCUUGUUUUGUAGAUCGAGGUAUAUAAUAACUCUCAAUUCUCAAGUAUCUACUCAAUGCCUCUCUGUUAUAGAGUAUUUAUGUCCAAAUUGGCUUUCUCAAAUCUAAUUGGGUAACGAUGCAAAUAAUUUAUAUGAGUUCAAUUUGGUUUUUCCCUAUUUCUAGUUUGAACCCUUUAAUCAAACUAGCCAAAACUUUCACCAACUCAAUUUCUAGUUAGCCAAGUUUUCCUAUACUAGGUUCCUCUUUCUCAAGCACGAACUAAGUCAAAUAGAAAUGAAUUAAUAUUCACAACUAAUAAUUCUAGAAAUAAUGCGUCAACAAGGCUAAGAAAUAAACACCCAAUCAUAAAAAAAUAUUUAAAUUAAUAACCCAUAAGAUUUACACAGUAGAUUGGUUCACAACUCUAGAUAAAUCUAGCUAUUCAUGAUAGAAAGCAAAGAAAACAAAAUAGAAGAAGAAAAUUAAAGCCAUAAAAUACUAUUAAUUGAUAACACUAACGAGGUUACUCCAAUAUUUGUCACUACUUUCCCAGAAGGGUAAAAUAUAACCGAUGCAGCUGCAAGGAACACAAAACAUGUCCCGAACCCGUCUUUAUAGUGCCAAGAAAUUCGCCGACAAAAAUAUCCUUAGGGAGGUUCUGCGACCGUACAAUUCCAUGUACGGUUCGCUCUUUUCUUCUUCUUCUCUUGAGUUAGGAGGAAUUCUACAGUCGCAUAAUUGCAUCUCCGGCUACACUUCAUGUGACGACCCUACCAGUCGUCUCAUGCGCUACUGCUCUGUUUCCCCCAUUUAUGCUUCUUAUUGCUUUGUCAAUCGGUUCUGUAUAUGAUCGGUUUGGUUGGCUCGGGUUCGGAGAGGAUUUGGUUAGGUUUGAGACACUUAGUCUCUUUUGAGGAAGCUUAAGUUGGAAAAGUCAACCGAAUAUUGACUUAUAUCUUGGAGGACUCGGAUGUAAGUUCUGAUGGUUUGGUUAACUUCGGGAGGUGAUUUAGGACUUAGGAGCAUGAUCGGAAUGAGUUUUGGAAGUCCAAAGUAGAUUUAGGCUUGAAUAGGCGAAAUUGGAUUUUUGGCAAUUUUCGGUUGGUAGGUGAGAUUUAGAUAUAGGGGUCGAAAUGGAAUUUCGAGAGUUUCAGUAGUUUCAUUGUGUCAUUUGAGAUGUGUUUACAAAAUUUCAGGUCAUUCGGAUGUGCUUUGGUUAGGUUUUUUAUCAAAGCGUAAUUUAUAAGAUUUUGGAAUUCUUAGGCUUGAAUCUGAUGCGAAUUUGGUGUUUUGAUGUCUUUUUGAGAAUUUCUAAGGUUGAAAAAAGAUUAAAUGAGGUUAUGGGAUAUGUUGGCAUGUUUGGUUGAGGUUCCAGGGGCCUCGGGUGAGUUUCGGGUUGUCAAUCGGACCAUUUCAUGAUGUUUGGAGUUGCAGAAAGUUGCAGAUCGGUGUUGUAGAGAAAUGACCUUCGCGUUCGCAAGUGGGUCCUUGAAUUUGCGAAGGGUCAGUUGAGGAAUCUGGGAUUUAAACCUUCACGUUCACGAGGAAGGCUUUGCGUUCACGAAGGGCUGAGUAUUUGUGCAUCGCGUUCGCGGGGUGGUGUCGCGUUCGCAUAGAAGAAAAUGGGAAGCGGAGCUUCAAGGGAAUUUAUUCAUGACGCUCGCGAGAGAGGGAAAGCGAUCGCAAAGGUUGGUCUGAAACCUCGGAUUGCACAUCGUUGUUCUAUAUUGAGGUGAUGUACACGGUUAAUAACGAGCAUUGGGUCGUGCACUGUUGGGGAUUGUGACAUAGUCCGUCCUGAAUGAUUAUUUUACCGCAUAUUUAACUAAAGUAUAUUUUCUAUCAUCAUGAUUUGGGCUAAAUGCUAUAUUUGGGUCUCGUGCUAACUAUUUGAACCCUUUGGGGGAUUUUUAUCGAUAUUUCCUUACUGUUUUGACUUUAUACUUGAACUCAGUCAUAUUGUAUUCCGCUGUUUUCAUACUCAUCCAUGUUUACUAUGUUUUAACACUCAAAUGGUCUUUUAAAUGAUAUUUGGGCUGAGAAUCAUAUUUUACUACUGCCCAAGUGACUUGUGUGGAUUUUGAUUGAGCAAGGCCGAUGGCCUAUGUUGUGAGGAAACAUUGGUUAUAGUUAUGAGGUUGAGCGCGUGAGAUAUGUACGCCACGAGGUGGCUUGUUGAUAUGAGGUCGAGAACCUAGUGAUGAUGCCAUGAGAUGGCUUGACAUUGUGCUUGGGCCGUAAGGGGCUCCUCCAGGAGUCUACACACCACUAGUGAGCACGGGUACCCAUGUGAUGUGAGAUAUAGCUCAAGAGGCUGGUAUUGUUCUGAUAUUGCCCGAGGGGCAAACCUUUAUGUGUUUAUUCUUCUUAAUUGCCUAUCUUUUACCUACUUAUUUGUUGAAAAAGGCUUUUCAUGUAGUUUAAGUUGAACUAAAAUGACAUUGACAUAUCUUUACUAAUUUAUUAUUUUUACUGGUUUUACCACUCCGUUAUAGCAUGUAAUGUGCCUUACGUUACUUCCUGCUUUCAGUCUUUGUUUAUGAUUAUUAAUCAUGAGUUUGAGUAAUCACUUUACUCCCUGCACCCUGUUUGCAGAUUUAGGCGUUGUUGAUCCUUCCAGAGCGAGUUGAGAGCUCCGGCAGACUUCGGAGUCCACGAGGUAGCUGCUUGGCAUCCACAGUCUCGUGUUUCUCCCCCUUUAUCAUUUCUAUAUAUUUAUCAGACAUUUUGUAAUAGAUUAUAGACUUUUCAAGCUUGUAUUAGGAUUGAUAGAUGCUCAUGACUAGUGAUACCCUGGUAUUGGGUUGUUCUUUCACAUAUUUAUACUGUUGACUGCUUAAACUUUGGAUUAUUUUAUCAUGCUUUAGACUUGAAUCUUAUUGAUUAAUUGUUUAAAACUACAAUGGGAAGCGUGGGCUGGCCUUCUCUUCAUGAGAGACGUCAUCACGACUAGGUCCGAGUUUAGGGUUGUGACACUUCAGCUUUUGCGGCAGCAUAUUUUGACUGCAGAUUGCACUUUUAUGAGGCUUCACACUUGGUCUUUUUGCAUUUCUCUAAGCUUUUCAAAUCUGGUUAGUCUGAUCAGCUUUUGCGGCUGCACAAGUAGGUGAGCGGACCACUCUUCUUCAAACUCCUAUGGGGCUUCAAGGCUUUUUCUUCGACCGCAUCUGUAUUUCUACGGACUGCACAAUCUUUUGCCGACCGCACUUUUACCUGCAAUUCUCCUUCUUGCCUUGUCAAGCUAAAAUACUCCUUUUUGUUAAGCUCCAAUCCUCGAACAUGACUGUGAUUUGCAUGAUUUAAUUAGUUUUUGGAACAAAAAUCAAUAAUUUCGGACUUCAACUAAAGCAUAAAGGUACUAAUAAGUGGUUAAAAUCUAUACUUCUUAACUCUUCCAAAACUUAAGUCUUUGCUUGUCCUCAAUCAAAUAGAUUAGUUCCCAUCUCGUCAAUGUGAAAAGUGUUGUGCCCCCUUUUUGCUCGAAAUCGGGUUUAUGACAUUUGGGAGGAUAACUCAUUUCUUUUGGGAAUUGGAUUUGCAUUUGAAUAGUCGCCACCUAAUGAUUAGGAUACAUUAGGACACCAAUAAGGUUUGAUUUGAGUAACCAAAGAUAGGGUAAGGGCUUGAAAUUAUUUUAAGACAAAGGUGUUAGGCACUCAUCAUAAUCCAUUAGUGUGGUUCCCCGUCACACAAUUAUUGUGAAUUUAGAGUGCAUUUAACAUAUAAGCAGAUAAAGGCUCAAAUAAGAGGGGAUUUUUACACAUAAUGGUUUGAAGUAAACAAAGAUUUAAAGAACAAUUAGGAAAGCUGAUUUUUAAAAGAAAGAGCUGAAAUGCUAAAGAAAUAAAGAGUAGAGGGAGGGGUCCUAGGCUUAUUAAAAAUGUGGAUCACCCCACACAAUGUUCGGUAAUCACUCCUCAAUGAGGGGCUACACAUGAUAUUAUCGCGUGGUCAUCAUAUCCAUAUCUACCCUUUCUCACCCCUUAAAGUUUUAAAGCGUGGAAUGAUCUCGAUUACUUAUUGCAUUCAAUUACCCAAUCCUAUCAGUCCUGAAGGUACUUAGGACUACUAAACCUAACCAGGGGGGGGGAAGGGGAGGGGAUAUUGGGAUUAUUUGGAGUUUCAAAGGUAAAAAUCUAAGGUGACAUACAAAAACACAUAUUGCACAUCUUUAGGGGAAGCAUAUAAACAAACAGAGGCUCAGUUAUACCUACUUGAACAAAAAAGCACAUAACUAGCAUGACUUUCACAUACUAUUUAAGGUCUGAUUAAAAUAUUAAUGACGAAGGAGUUUAAAUAUUGAGACAGAUUACUUUAUUUCAUAACUCAGACAAGAAGUUUGAAUCAGGUCUGCCUGCUGGUUGUAAUAAUUAACAAAAACAGAUUUAGUUUAUAGUUAUUACCCUAAGGCUUGCCUAAGUGUUCGGACGAGGGUCCUAUAGUCAUGGUAUCUACUGGAUUCAGGAGUUAAUACAUUAAAACUUGAAACGAAUUAUUUGAAAUCCCAUAUGAAUACUUGUUAAUCUAGUUAAGUGAGGGACUCAGAUUUUUAAAGAGAGGCUGAAUUUAAACGAAUUGAUUAUAAGUUCUACAACUGAUAGUAUAUGUUAUUACUGAUUUUAUAUCUAACACUGAGUGAAGCAAAUUAAAUUCAGUUAGAAACUCCUAUGUUCAUGCUUUCUAUACAUUACUGAUUUUAAACCUUAUAGACGUAGGAUCGAAAUGCAGAACACCUUAUGACACGGUAUCUAAAUGCAGACUUUUUUUAAACCUUAUAGAUAAUAUCCAAAAGUGAAACUUUGUUUAAAACCUUAUGGGCAUGAUUUCUAUAUGUAUUGAGUAUGCAAAAUUAGAGCAACCUAUAGGCAUGAUUACUAUAUGUGUUGAGUAUGCAGAAUUAGAACAACCUAUAGGUAUGAUUUCUAUAUGUACUGAGUAUGCGGAAUUAGAACAACCUAUAAGCAUGAUUUCUAUAUGUAUUGAGUAUGCAUAAUUAUAACAAAACCUAUAGGCAUUAUUUCUACACUUUGCAUGCGUAGUUACUCACCCUUUUUUACUAGCUAACCCCAAGUGUUUAUUAUAACAUACAAGCAAGAAUGAAUAAAAUUACAUCAGAAAAAGUAAAAAUAAAAAAGAAUGAAUCAGAGAAAGCCUGAUUCUUGACUUAUUCUCUAAGUUUUGAGAUAAACCAACUCAAAGACCAUUGAUCCAAAGCAGUUCUCCAACUAGACUGUGUCAGAGUCCCCUAAGAGCCUCGAUGGAACUCUGGGAAGUGCUCACACCCAAACUGUAUUAUCAGAAUGGGGAUAAGUGUAGUGUGGAAAGACCAGCCCUCAAGUGUCCAAGUUCAGAGGGAGCUCUAGGGGUCCCAAGGCAAUGCUCAUAAGAGUGGGUCCUAAGAGAGAGUGCAAGUGAAGAAUCAGAGUUCUAAGGGGAUAAAAGAGGGAAACUGCCACAAGCAAGCUGAUAAAUUCACAAAAAACGGGUUCAGGGGGUAGGGAAGUUGCAAAGAGCAUAUGUAUUUAGGCAUUAGCUAAUUUUGGGCAUGCACAACAAUAGAGAGUAAUGUUAUUCUUACAAAUCAACAAGAGUACACAACAUAUGAUGGUGACAUAAAGGUUAUGGUUCCAGGGGAAUCAUGUUUGAGCAAUAUACAAUAAUUCUUAAUAUUGUCAUGCCUCAAACAAACCAUUAGCAUUAAAUACAUUAGGUUAGGGGGUUUGGUCAUAAUAGGAGGAAAUUAUAACAUGCUAAAGUAAACACUGGACUAAACACAAGCAGUAGGCAGACAUGCAAGUAAAGGUAUUAAGUAAAUACAUUGUUUGUGAUUGCUUAAAAGCAUAACCAGGACAUACCAGUUUCAUAGAAGCAAAAUGCAGUAAAAGCAGUAGCAGGAAAACAGUCCACAGUACCAGUAAAAAGAGAGAAUGCUUUUUUUAAUGUGAGUGUGAGUUCAGAAAAGUAAGUGUUCGUUUGUCUUUGUCAAUGAGGAAGCCAUGUAUUUAUAGUAUGAAAAACAUGCAGAAAAUAAGGCAAGAAAAUAACGAUAGAACUAUGUACCAAUUAAAAUCAAUCAGUAUAAUAACUUCCUUUAAUUAAGGAGUUAAAAUCAAAUGGUAACAUGUAAGUUCUAAAUAAGGAAAGAAAUCACAUAGGGCUGAAUAUGACCAAUAAGGAAGUAGUUCCAGCAUAGUACAAGUACACAGUGGGUAAUAGAGGCUAGGUUCAUCAGACUCUAAUCAAGUAAAGGUCUGUAAGAAUCCAAUACCAAUGUAACCAAGAUAAGGGGAUUAAUCAAUAUUAAGUUGAAAAGGUAAGGGUCGAAAGUUCAAAGGAAAGUAUUCAAAUAGGUCCAAGAAAUAGGGUAAUCAGUACAACAAGGAAAGAAUCAAUUACAAGACUGCAAUCAGAAUCACACAAAGGGGUUUGAAAUCAGUCCACCAUUAAGGGUUAUUUUGAGAGGAAAAUUUAACAUAUAUAAAGAGUGCACAAACAUUAGGCACGUGAGGUAAUGGCAAAGAGAAGCAACAAUAAUAAUUACAAAGUCUUUAGAUAGUGAAACAUGAUAGUCACAUAGGUCGACUUAGUAAUAAGGAGAACAGGGUAUCAGAUGCAUGCAAAAGAAUCAAGUAAAAGACCUUUCUGGAAAGUAUAAUUUAGUUCAAAGGUUGCAAGAAACCAAAUCACAUAGAGAAAUAGAAGUUGAAACAAGGACUUUGAAUCCAGUCGAGAAACAUCAAACAGACGGAUCAGUUUUCAGAAGCUCGAAUACUUCCAAAGGAAUUAGGGCUUUGAAAUAAAAAAAAAUUCAGAGUGGAGGAACAAGCAAAUCACAUAGCAAAUAGUCUAACUCGAAUGAGCCCCAAAUUUUAGGGUUUUUACCAUCAAUCGAGUAUAUAGAUGAAAGACAAGAGAAUAAGGCAAAAAUAUCAACAAAAAAUAAAAUAAAAUCAGAAACCUUAAGAAGAACUAAGACUUUUAACAUAAAGGAACACAGUGGAAGAACAACAUAAGAAACACAGUAGGAGAAUCAACAUAAGAAAUACAGUAGAAGAACAACAUAAGAAAAACGGUAGGAGAAUCAGCAUAAGAAACACAGUAGAAGAACAACAUAGGAAACACAAUAGAACUUUUUAAAAAUAAAAAAAUCUUAGAAAUGACUUAACAGAACCCUAACUCGAAAAAGGUAAAGUUUUGAAAGAAACUUUGAGAAAAUGUUUAAGACCUUAGAGAAAACAAAGAUCUACAACGGAUCUAAAAGAAUCAGAAGAACCUCGAAGGUUAGGGUUUGAGAAGAAUCCAGAUAGUGAGAAAAGCUUGGAAAGUCAUUGAUCUAAACAGGAGAAGUCAUGAUCGGGCUUGACUAGCCAUGGCUGGCCGGAGCAAGGUCGAAGACAUCCAUAGAACUCCAAUCAAACAAAGUCUGGGCCAAGCUUCUUCAAGUUCUAACCUUGAAUCCAUAGCAAUCAGGCAUGUAGAAGUCGUAUGAGGCAGGUACAGGCCUUUAAUGGCUUUGGAAGCCAUGGAUUCAGGCAAUCUUAAGGUGGAAGUGGAGGGAGGCGGCUAGGGUUUCUGAGAGAGAAUUGGGGGAGGGGGAAUCCACAGGUGCCUACAGGUGAGAAAUGAUCAAGGUUUGGGGGGUAAUGGGGAAUUAAAACAGAAAUGUUAAAUGGUGGCCUUGAUCAUUUUGAUCCACAACCUAGAUUGAAUAGGGAUUCGGGCGGGUUAUUUUAAAAGGGUCGUGGGUUGGGUAGGUUAGGAUUUUGGGCUGGGUAAUUGGGUUUUAGAAUAGGGUCUAAUUAGAGGUUCAAAAUAUGGCUAAAAUUGAAACGCAAAUGGGCUAUCAUUUAAAUAGCGAGUUUUCCUCAUUUAUUUUAUAAAAAUAGUAAAAUAAUUUUUGGAAAUAAAUUAAAAGUACUAAUAUUAUUAAUAAUAUAUAAUUAAUAAAUUAAAAAUAUUGGAAUCAAUUUUUAACUAUAAAUAUAAUUAAAUCUUAAAAGAGGCCAAUAUUACAAUUAUAUGGAAUUUAGCUUUAAAAAUACCAAAUAAAUUUAUUAAAAUAUGAAAAACUUAUGUUAGCUAUAUUUUAAGAUAAAUAUGAGAAUCUAAUUAAUAAAUCACCAAAAAUAAUAAUUUUUGGAAAUAAUUAUAGGGUUUUUCUUGAUAAAAUAGGGCAAUAAAUUGAUUUAAAAAUCUUUAAACAUUAUGAAAAAAUAAUAAAACAUUGGGACGCACUUAAAUAUGCACAAAUAUGUUAUUUUGAAAGUAUUUGGAAUAUAAAAAAUUAUAUAGGAAAAAAUUGGGUACAACAGCUGCCCCUCUUUACCCGGGAAGGAUGAAAGAGUUGUCGGGUAAAUAUAUGAUGGCCAAUUUUGACAGGACAAAAUGGUUUGAAGAGGUUUAGGCUGUGCUUCGGCUUUUGAACUGCCUACAUAUCCUCGAUCUUACAUUAAUUAUGCCACAUGUAGUUUGGGAUUCAUCGGCAGAGUAUGCUGAUGGAGAUUUUUCAAGAAUGGACGCAAUAUUCAGGACAGGGUGAACGGUUGAAGUCUGAUAGAGCUUCGGGAACUGGAGCGGAAUUGCUCCUGCCGAGAUAGCAGUUGCUCUCUGGUUUACCUGCAAAUAAGCAACACAAGCAUAUAUUUUGCAUAAAUUUAAACGUGAUGCAAAUUCCCCGUCAGACCAUGAAUGUUGUCUUUGGACGGUUUGGAUGACGUCCUUAGACCAUGAUGUCCUGGGCCACGAAGUGUAUAGUAAAGGAUUUGCAGGCCAUAAAAUUAUGUUCUCGGGCUAUGGGAUGAUGCCUCAAAACCAUGACGCCUUUGAAUAAUGAUAUGCAAAGAUUAAAGGCGUCCUCAAGCCAUGUCAUGGUGCUCUCGGGCUAUGAAAAUGGUGCCUCCAAAUAAUGGCUCCUUUGGAUAAUUUGAUGAUCUUUCAGCCCCAGAGAUGCAGUAUUUAGCAAUCUUUCAGCCGUGCAAAUAUAGAGUUGCCUUUCAGCCAUGCAAAUGUAGAUGUUGCUAUCUUUCAGCUAUGCAAAUGUAGAUGUGGCGAUCUUUCAGCCAUGCAAAUGUAGAGGUGGCGAUCUUCCAGCCAUGCAAAUGUAGAGGUGGCAAUCUUUCAGCCAUGCAAGUAUAGAUAAGGAGGCGAUCUUUCAGCUAUUCAAGUGUAAAUAAGGUGGUGAUCUUUCAGCCAUGCAAAUGUAAAUAAAGGUGCCGAUCUUUCAGCCAUGCAAGUAGAGGUAGAGCUUAACCUCGGAGGGAAGAAUGAUAGCCUUAUGCGAUGCAAAAUUCAGAAGGAGACAACGUUUAGUCUCGUAAGGCAGAAUGGUAGCCUUAUGCAAUGUAAGAAUGCAGAUGGAGGUAGAGCUUAACCUCGGAAGGCAGAAUGGUAGCCUUAUGCAAGAAAAAUGCAGGUGGAGACAACGUUUAAUCUCGGAAGGAAGAAUGGUAGCCUUAUGCAAUGCAAAAUGCAGAUGGAGACAGUGUUUAGUCUCGGAAGGCAGAAUGGUACCUUAUGCAAUGCGAGAAUGCAGAUAGAGGUAGAGCUUAACCCCGGAAAGCAGAAUGGUAGCCUUAUGCAAUGAAAAAUGUAGGUGGAGACAACGCUUAGUCUCGGAAGACAGAAUGGUAGCCUUAUGCAAGAAAUCAAAGGCAGAUAGAAACAAAAUGGAAUUGUUAAUAUUUUCCAUUAGUAGCUUAAAUCUUAAAUAUAAAAAUAUUACAAGUUUUUAAAAUCGUUAACAAACAUCGAUAUUUCAAUCUUAAUUUCAAUACCCGAUACUACCCACAACCUGUCUACGGAGCCUCUAAAUACAACUGAAAAAUAAUUCAGAAAUGCCGGCAACAAGGAUCCAGCUAUACCUUACACAUAUACAAAACAAUGGACUCCGAAAAAACAACGACAUAAGCCACGCAGGACCUCGAGUGGAAAGGGGCUCACCAAUACAGCUGACAGAAAGUGGAGGAGGAGCUACUGCCUGUGGAUUGGAGUGCCUGCUAUAGAACCACCUAUAAUCAUAACAUGAAUGUAGCGCCCCCGGCAAAAGGAAUGUCAGUACAUUUGAAUUGUACUAGCAUGUACAACUAAACACCAUCUCAAUUGAAAGAAAUUAUCAUACAAGAUCAAAGAAAUCAUAAGCAUUCAACCAAAGCUUUAAACAAUCACAACAUUAUGAAAUACAAAUAAAGGAUCACGUAGCUUUCACAUAAUUUCAUAACUUUAGUUUGGGGCAUUCCUUUUAUAUGUUCAUCACCGUUCUUAAUACCACCGCUAUCUUGAGCGGAGUCCGAUCACGACCCGACUGGCUAGGUCACCUUAUUGGAGGCAUAUAUCUUAAUUACUGUUCAUUUCCCUUAUCAGAAAUUCAAUAUCAUCACAUUACCACCAUGUGUGCGGCAUGGUGUCCGAUCACGACCCGAUCGGCUAGGUCGCCUUACCUAGGCAUUAUCCUUUUCUCAUUAGUCACCACAUCCGAAUUUUUAUUUCAAAUGUAUCAUAUCAAUUCCUUGGCACUUAGGGCCAUCAUUAUCACAUAGUACUUGGCACUAGGACAUAUUUCACAACUCACAUUCCACAACACUUUCACUUUCAACAACAAACUUACGAUUUAAGAUAUUAGGCAUACACAAGAAUUUCCAAGUUAUUAGCAUAGAGAGGAAUUCUCAUGAUUCGGCACAACAAUCACAAUUUAAACUUGAUUUGAAAUUUAGGAAAUUUAUCAUAUACUUCACAUACUUCAAUCUCAAUUAUUGUUUAAGUAUUUCAAUACAUGAUUCACAUUCAUUGCACAUUUUCAAGUUAUCAAGAAUAGCGCAUUGGUCACAUUGAAAUACAACCUUCACAACUAUAGGGUCAUAUUACUAAUUCAUAUAAAGUAUCAAUAAAAGCAAGAACCCAAAGUUCAGUCUUACCACAUUUACACAAGCAUCGAUAUUGCUCAAUUCCUAAAGGACGAGGUUUUAGCCAUACAUACCUUUCUUUAGCUUUCGCUCAAUUACUACAAUUUUCCGGAAAUACUAUCAACUUCAAUCUAUUUUUAGAUAUAGAAAAAUCGAACACAAAUUAGGAAGAUAUUCAUAAUUCUAGCUCAUUUGAGCAUUUUAUCAAAUACUAGAUGAGCAUCUUGAUUUCAAAUCCCCCUUUUCAAGAUUUCCUUCAUUCUGUGACCCAAUCUUUACUUAUUUAUGUAAAAAAAUCUUCUCCAUAAACCUAAGUUGUACAUGCAUGUAUACACAAUACUAAUAUACGCAAGAAUCAUACCUCAAUAACCCAUCUUGUACUCCAAACUCGAAAUUAAAAACUAGGGUAUAGAACCGUACCUUUUAGAUGAAGCUCUAAUGAUCGGGUGCUUUGAUUUUUGAAGAUUGAUGCAAUAUUUGGAUGAUUUAAAUAUUGGGUCCCUCCUUCUCCCUCUAAAAGUCUCUCACAUCUCUCUAAAAUCAGUAAGAAAUGACCCCAAAAUGAACCGUAGGACCUAUCUAUCCAAAUGGGGUCGGGUUAUAAAAUAGGGAAAUCAACCUCCAAUGUCAGGUCUGCUAUAUCAAAAUGGACCGCAGAACGCGAAUGCUGGCCGCAUAAAGCACCGAAAAAUCGGCAUCCAAAACUGGGCUAAAUUGGUCCAAUUUGCGACCGCGGAUCAAAAAUGCGGACCGCAUAAUGGCCAUUGAGAUUGCAGAUCUGACAUGACACAGGAUCACAUUUUCGAGCCUUUGGUAAUUCGAUCAUAACAUUGUGUAGGAAUGUCCAAAUGAUAAACGGUUUGAAGCGUUGGAAACUAGACUCAAAUAAUUUUCAUAUGAUAGAUUGUUCAUCACAGAAAACCUCAUACAUAGUUAGAUAUGCUUUUUUAAUGUGGAGCCUUGUGCGAAUCCAUUUGAAAUUUUAGCCUAUUACGAAAUAUUUCUCAUUUGGCAUGCACUUAGACUUCCAUUUGGACCUCAUAUCACUUAGCGUAAGACUUAUACUCAUAUUUACCAAGUCCAAAUGAUGUCAACCAGGUUAAUAGAACAUAAAAUCUAAUAAUUAGCCUACGUGGCGCCACAAAAUCCUAGAUUACUUAGCAAAACUUUCCUUGGCCUUACCUUCUCCCCCCAUUAGGAUCAUUCGUCCUCAAAUGAGGAGUAGAGUCUUCCCCAAACACUUUAACAUCACACAUCUUUUUUCUAACCUAAUACAGUCCCAAUCUUUUAACUAACUCCAAAAAUUUCAGAAAUUUCGGUAGAGUCUCCUUUGUAACUAGACAUAUCCACAUGUCAAAGAACCACCAAAACAUCCCAAAAGCACAUCCACAACUAGACAAAGCACCACAAUUUAUAUAUCAACAAUACUAAUAUCACAAUUACAAGCACUAUAUUAUCAUAAUGAUACUUGUACAUGGACUGCACAUUUUUAAUUCAUAAUACCUAUAAGGUACCUUUCAAAUCAAAACUAAUUGUUAUACAAUCAAGCGAAAGUAUUUUCAUUCCAUGACACUUUCGGCCUUCAAGGUGGCCUCCUCGGCUUACAAGCCUUACCACAACCCAUUUGCAAAAACAAUUCCAAUCUUCAAACUUAUCUAAAAAGGAUGACAACUAGAUACCUCACAUAACCCAACAGUCCAGUAACUUCACUUUCAAUAGUUUCCACCGGGAUGAUAUACAAAAGGUCUCCAACUACCUUAUUAGACAUAGACAUAUGAAAACAUAAUAUAAAUGUAUUACAAUGACGGUAUACAUCAGCCUCAUAGCACGACCUAAUAUGAAUUACACUUAUGCAACCUCCAUUAUCAACUCAUCUAACAUCUUUAGAGGAAAGUAUUAAGAAUAACUCUUUCACCUUUCUAAACUCUAAAUCUUUACACGAACAGUCACACUGAACCAUUGAUGAUAUUUAACAAUCACCCUAGGAUGUGCUAUCAUAAACUGACGAUAAAAUUACCUAUCUAAUAUAUGGAAUCAUACAGGGAUACUUCUUCUUUGACAUGUUUGAACCUUCAAUACCCAAUAGAUCUAAUAAAGUAAGGAACAACAUUGUUCAAGAUUGGGCUUGGGGGGAUACUUCUUCUUUGACAUGUUUGAACCGUCAAUACCUAAUAGAUCUAAUAAAGUAAGGAACAACAUUGUUCAAGAAUCGGCUUGGAAUUAUUUAGGAAUCCAUUUAAUGUGUUGUGCAGAGCAUUUGAUGAGGUUAUAUGCUUAGAUACAUGGAAGGUUACAACUAAAGAUACUGACAUGGUUAAUCAUUGUGAGGAUAUUAAUUAUUAGACAAAUAAGGCAUAGGGGUAACUCGUACAUUGUCAAUAGGAACCAUCAAGGAGGAAUACUCAAGUACGCAAACCACUCAUUUCCUAGAGUGUAGGGAAAACCCGUUUAUCAAGAAUACGAAUACUGCGGUACCUUGAAUGCGAUCGGGGUUUCAAGAUACAUGAAGUUAAAUUACACUCUUAUUAUUACCUAACACACGAAAUCUAUGCCACAAGCCCAUGAGGAUGAAAUGAAGUUGUACACUUAUGAGAUCAUCAUAUUCUCAAACAACUUUACCCGCCAUGAUAGUUGAUCCUAUAUGAGAGAACUAAAGAUACAACAACUUAGUCUUUCAAAUCAAUAUGCUCAUGAUAUGUGCAAAAAUCUAAAGGCAUCUAAUCUCAACCUUUUACGAGUGAAACCACCUAUCUAGGACAUCUAAACAUAGGGAUGAAAAUCAUGUAUUGGUUAGAGGCGUUCCAAUGGUUAAUAUGAUUCUCCAGGGAGAAAAACAAAUGACACUCUUAUCCACCCAAGGAUGUGGAACACCAAGGGUAGCAAAGCUCCCAUCACAUGACAAUGAUAUAGUCAAUUAUUCUAGAAGUUGAGGGAGCAGAAGACCAUGUGACCUAUCUAGUCCGAGCCAUCUAAAACCUUUUGAAAAGGGGAUGCACUUUGGUUUUGAAAUCAAGGCAAUAUAAACUUGAACUUAGGGGAAAUCAUUACUUUUGGAACCCGUGAGACAAUCCCACGUAGCCCUAGAAAAUUGCCAACCAAUGGCAAGAAGGCACUUAAAAUCAUUACGAGUUGGUAUAGAACAAGGACUCAAAGUGCCCACAUGGAUAAGUUUAAAAGAAUGAGCCGUCGUAAUGCAUUUAUCAUGGAUAAGUAACCUAGGUUAUCUAGUCACGGGGACAAGCAGAGCAUAUAAAUGAUUGUUAGAAGAGCAUCUAAAAGGAGUACCAGCAUUAUUUAUUUAUUCUAACAUAAGGAAUAUGUUGCCACCCUUGAUGAUAUAACACUUUCUCUUUUAUUCCAUAAAACAUAAAAUGAGUUUUUUUUUCACAAUAAGAUGAUAAUAGAUGGUAAAGCAGCACAACUAUGAGCAUCACUUGAAAUCGACAAGCUUAAACAGCUGAAGACAUUAGAAGCCUGUAGAAAAGGGGAAAUUUUCUCAUUCUCAGGGCGCUUGUAGAGUACAUCAAAGUAAGCUUAAUUAAAUCAGAUCAUAUCAUUGGAUAACUAGUCAAGACAUCGAGAUAAAAUCGCAUCGAAUAUUACGGGUAAACAACGCACGAUGUAAGACAAAUGAAAAGAAAGGGAAAGAGCCUUAUGGAAGUAACCUUUACAUUGUAACCACUAGGAUCAGUGGUAAUAUAAAGCGAUUAUAAGAAGAUGCAUUUUUUAAAAGAAGAUCUCUCUAUGUAGUCACGUGAUGUUUAGCUGUAGAAUUCAAAAAUCCAAUUAUAUUUAGCAACUCUACUUCAUAAUGAAGCAGUACAAAGCACUUCUACACAAAUAGCUAUUACGAGCCAUAUUGGGAGAUGUUAUAAGGCAUGAACGAGAGAAAGUCUUUUACCUAUGAAUGUGUUUUAGGUGUAUUUCUCCUUGGUCAACCCAAAGCCAAUAGGUGAGAGUUAGACAAAUAAGCAGAUCGUUGGACUAGCACAUGCGUAGAUAAUCUAUUAUCGAGAGAAGAUCAUUCAAUCUCAGCAAUUGCGACAUGCUAUCAACCCUUGAUGAACUUGAAGUGAUAUGGGAACCCAAUGAGAUAGUAUAGAAUAAUCAUGGAGGGUUUGCUGAUGUUCUUAAUAUAUUUUAACUUGAGAACUACCUAGAUGCUAAUGAAAGACAGAAAAACAUGAGAAACCAUAACAACCCCAAAAGGUGAAUGUUCUUAAUAAGUUCUUCAUAGAUUUUAACUUGAGAACUACCCAGGUGCUAAUGAAAGACAGAAAAACAUGAGAAACUGGUGUUGCGCUAUAAAAACCCCCAAAUGUGUGCUUGGUCUUUAUAGAUAACCUAGUAAGGGUCCUUACGAUGCAGAGUGCAUAGCAAUGACUCAUAGAAGGAUAUGUUCUCUCAUGGUUAUCGAACAAGUGUUGGAAAACUACUACAAUGAAUUCUCUAACUAGAGAACAGAAUUAACAUAUGUUAUAGAGGCGAAAAAAAGAGAUAAACAUUUCUCAUAAGUUGGACACACUUCUUCUAUAUUAGCUCCCAACUAUAAUAUACGACCAUGCCACGAGCAACUAUAAUACUAGGACAGGUGAGCUACUUACUACAGGAUGUCCCAAAUGGACACAAAAGUUAUGGCGACACAUGAUCUUCCUAUGACAUGGACUUGAAGAUCUCAUUUCAGAGAGACUUUAUAUUCAUGCACACGGUGACCAUUUCGAUUGACAUGCACUCAUUUGAGGUGUUAUGGUACGCUCUUAUGUUACUAGGCGGUGAGAAGAUUUCAUGAUGAUGUUCUCAAGAGAGUAGAUUGACUGUUCAAACCAUAUAAGCCAUAUGCACAACAGAGUAAAAGAGUGACUCGAGACGUAUCGCAACACUGGGAUGCUUUGCAUGGAACUUGACACUUAGGUAAACUUUACGACUAUGCAUGUAUAGGAACAAGCAAGUAGAUUUUGUCCAUUUAAAUAAAAAGAUCAUGUAAGAAAUCCAUCAUAUAUAAUCCCUUGGUGAGAAAUUUUAGGUAAAUAAAGUGGGAAAUAUCAAUCCUAGAGUUAUAACUCAAUUAAAUGGCAUAAUUAUAGAACUUAAUUCCACAAGAAUGUAAAUAAGAGAAUUCAUAAUAGAGUGUUUUUCACGAAUAGUGCAUCUCGUUCAAAGACUUGAUACAUGCAAUGUUUUGUUAUUCAACACCUUGUUCAUACCAUGUUUAUGAGAAUUCUUCAAUAUCGAUGUACACAUACAAUGAGUAAAAAUCUUUAUUUGACUCCCUUAAUGACGUUAAGUUGGUUGGGAAAUAGCUUAAUCGAUACCUCUCGACUCCACAUCCCUAACGUACUUUGGUAAUAGACUGAUAUACUACAUGAUCUGAUGGUACAGAUACAUCAAUAGGGACAAGCAUACUCCCCUCUUAGCGAUAUGUUUUACCAAUCAAUCCACAACUCAAUAUAUCCUCCUAACAAGUACUUGGACAAUCCACUUGGUCUCCAUCCCUCCUUACAUGGUUCUAAUUCAUGGAUUAUAAUAUCAAGGUUACCAAUCUUGAGAAUAAGACUUAGAGAGGAAAUCAGCUCCCUAACUUUGGCUAUAUCGCACGAUUGGAGUACUAAAGAAGGGUGGAAUUUCUAAUUGACCGAAUAGCCUCCAACUUAUUGAUAUGGUCAACAACACACCGGUAAGAAGGACUCUACUAGACACGGCUCCGACACAUGCUAGGACACUUUAAAACCUUAGGCUCUGAUACCAAGUUUGUCACACUCCAAAAUUCGAGGAACGCGACCGUCGCUCAACCGAGUAAAUCCGACUGAGCAAGCAUGACAUGUUUCCUACAUACUACUCAACCCAACUCAUAAUUAAAUAAGAGAUGGACUCCAUUAAUCAUACUUAGUAAGUAUUUUAUUNNNNNNNNNNNNNNNNNNNNNNNNNNNNNNNNNNNNNNNNNNNNNNNNNNNNNNACUCCAUUAAUCAUACUUAGUAAGUAUUAUAUUAACAAUUCCAUUUUAUUUCCAUCAGCAGCUUAAAUAAAUAUCAAAAUAUUACAAGUUUUGUAAAUCUUUGCCAAACAUCAAUAUUUAAAUCUUAAUUCCAAUACCCGACACUACCCAUAACCUGUCUACGGAGCCUCUAAAUACAACUGAAGAAUAAUACAGAAAUUUCGGCAACAAGGGUCCGGCUAUACCUUACACAAAUAUAAAAAAUGGACUCCGGGAAGAACAAAGGCAUAAGCCACGUAUGGCACCAAGGUGAAAGGGGCUUACCAAUACAGCUGGCGGAAAGUGGAGGAGCUACUACCGGUGGACUAGAGUGCCUGCUAUAGAACCGGCUACAAUCAUAAUACGAAUGCAGCGUCCCCGGCAAAAGGGACAUUAGUACAUUUGAAUUGUACUAGUAUGUACACCUAAAUACCAUCUCAAUAGAAAGAACUUAUCAUAAAAAGACUAAAGAAAUCAUAAGCAUUAAACCAAAGCUUUAAGCAAUCACUACAUCAUCAAAUACAAAUAAAGGAUCACGUAGCUUUCACACAAUUUUCAUAACUUUAGUUUGGGGCAUUCCUUUCAUAUGUUCAUCAGCGUUCUCAAUACAACCGCUAUCUUGAGCGGAGUUCGAUCACGACCCGAACGGAUAGGUCACCUCAUUGGUGGCAUAUAUCUCAAUAACUAUUUCAUUUCCCUUGUCCGAAAUUCAACAUCAGCACAUAACCACCAUGUGUGCGGCAUGGUGUCCGAUCAUGACCCGAUCGACUAUGUCUCCUUACCUAGGCAUUAUCCCUUUCUCAUUAGUCACCACAUCCGAAUUUUCAUUUCACAUGUAUCAUAUCAAUUGCUUGGCACUUAGGGCCACCAUUAUCACAUCGUACUUGGCGCUAGGCCAUAUUUCACAACUCACAUUCCACAACACUUUCACUUUCCACAACAAACUACGAGUUAAGAUAAUAGGCAUACACAAGAGAAUUUCAAAGUUAUAAGCAUAGAAAGGAAUUAUAAUGAUUCGGCACAACAAUCAAAAUUUAAACUCGAUUUGAAAUUCAGGAAAUUUAGCAUAUACUUCACAUUCUUUAAUCUCAAUCUAUUGUCUAAGCAUUUCAAUACAUGAUUCACAUUCCUUGCACAUUUUCAAGUUAUCAAGAAUAGCACAUUGAUCACAUUGGAAUGCAUCCUUCACAAAUAUAAAGUCAUUGAUAAUAGAUGGUGUGCUAGUAAAGUCACAUUGAAAUUCAUCCUUCACAAAUAUAAGGUCACAAUAUUAAUUUAUAUAAAGUAUCAAUCAAAGAAUGAAUCCCAAGUUCAGUCUUACCACAAUUAUAUAAGCAUAGAUAUAGCUCAAUUUCUAAAAUAUGGGGUUUUAGCCAUACAUACCUUUCUUGAGAUUUCCCUCAAUUACUACGAUAUUUCGGAAAUUCUAUCAACUUCUAUAUUUUUCUAGACAUAGCAAAAUUGAACAAAAAUUAGGAAGAUAUUCAUAAUUCUAGCUCAUUUGAGCAUUUUAUCAAAUACUAGUUGAGCAUCUUUAUUUCAAAUCCCCUUUUUACAGAUUUCAUUCAUUCCCUAACCCAAUCUUUACUUAUUUAUGUUAAACAAUAUUCUCCAUAAACCUAAGUUGUACAUGCAUGUAUACACAAUACUAAUAUACCCAAGAACCAUACCUCAAUAACCCAUCUUGUACACCAAACUCGAAAUUAAAACCUAGGGUAUAGAGUCAUACAUUUUAGACAAAUAUCUUGUGAUUGGGUUCUUUGAUUCUUGAAGAUUGAAGCAAAAUUAGAUGAUUUAAAUGUUUGGUCCCUCCUUCUCCCUCUAAAAUUCUCUCACAUCUCUCUAAAAUUAGUAAGAAAUGACCCCCAAAAUGAACCCUAAGGCCUAUAUAUCCAAAUGGGGUCGGGUUAUAAAAAUAGGGAAAUUCACCCUCCGAUGUCAGGUCUGCAAUAGCAUAAUGGACCUCAGACUCGAAUGCUGGCCGCAUAAUGCACCGCAAAAUUGGCGUCCAAAACUAGGCUACACUGGUCCAAUUUGCGAACUGAUUUGCGACCGCGAAUCAAAAAUGUGGACCGCAUAAUGGACAUUGAGAUCACAGAUCUGACAUGACACAGGAUUGCAUUUUCCAGCCUUUGGCAAUUUGAUCAUAACUUUGUGUAGGAAUGACCAAAUGAAGAACGGUUUGAAGAGUUGGAAACUAGACUCAAAGACCUUUCAUAUGAUAGGUUUAUCAAAUAAAAACUCAUACAUAUUUGGAUAUGAUCGUUUAAAGUGGAGCAUUGUGUGAAUCCAUUUGAAAUUUUAGCCUAUUACGAAAUCUUUCCCAUUUGGCAUACACUUAGGCUUCUAUUUGGACCUUACAUCACUUACCAUAAGACUUAUACUCAUAUUUACCAAGUCUAAUCGAUUUCAACCAUGUUAAUAGACCAUAAAAUCUAAUAAUUAGCCUAUGUGGCACCACAAAAUCCUAGAUCACUUCGCGAAGUUUUCCGGGGCCUUACAUUCUCCCCCUUAGGAUCAUUCGUCCUCGAAUGAGGAGUAGAGUCUUCCCCAAACACUUUAACAUCACAUAUCUCUUUUCUAGCCUACCUCAAGUCCGUAAAUUUUGUCUAACUCCAAAAAGUUUCAAAAAUUUCAGCAGAGUCUCCUUUGUAACUAGGCAUAUCCACCUAUCAGAGAACCAUCAAAACCAUCCCUAACACACAUCCACAACUUGACAAAGCACCACAAUGCAUAUAUCAACAAUACUAAUCUCACAAUUACAAGCACUAUAUUAUCAUAAUGAUACCUAAACAUGGACUGCGCAUUUUUAAUUCAUAAAUCCUAUAAGGUACCUUUAAAAUCAAAACCAAUUGUCAUACAAUCAAGCGAAAGUAUUUUCUUUCCACGGCAGUCAAGCAAAUGUAUUUUCAUUCCAUGACACUUUCGGCCUUCAAGGUGGCCUCCUCGGCUUACAAGCCUUACCACAACCCAUUUGCAAAAACAAUUCCAAUCUUCAAACUUAUCUAAAAAGGAUGACAACUAGAUACCUCACAUAACCCAACAGUCCAGUAACUUCACUUUCAAUAGUUUCCACCGGGAUGAUAUACAAAAGGUCUCCAACUACCUAACAGUCCAGUAAAUUCACGUUCAAUAGUUUCCACCGAGGUGAUAUUCAAAAGGUCUCCAACUACCUUGUUAUACAUAGACAUAUGAAAACAUAAAAUACAUGUAGUACAAUGAUGGUAUACAUCAUCCUCAUAGCACGACCUAAUAUGAAUUACACUUAUGCAACCUCCAUUAUCAACUCAUCUAACAUCUUUAGAGGAAAGAGUUAAGAAUAACUCCUUCACCUUUCUAAACUCUAAAUCUCUACACGAACAGUCACACUGAACCAUUGAUGAUAUUUAACAAUCACCCUAGGAUGUGCUAUCAUAAACUGACGAUAAAAUUACCUAUCUAAUAUAUGGAAUCAUACAGGGAUACUUCUUCUUUGACAUGUUUGAACCUUCAAUACCCAAUAGAUCUAAUAAAGUAAGGAACAACAUUGUUCAAGAUUGGGCUUGGAAUUAUUCAGGAAUCCAUUUAAUGUGUUGUGCAGAGCAUUUGAUGAGGUUUUAUGCUUAGAUACAUGGAAGGUUACAACUAAAGAUACUGACAUGGUUAAUCAUUGUUAGGAUAUUAAUUAUUAGACAAAUAAGGGUUAGGGGUAAUUCGUACAUUAUCAAUAGGAACCAUCAAGGUGGAAUACUCAAGUACGCAAACCACUCAUUUCCUAGAGUGUAGGGAAAACCCGUUUAUCAAGAAUAAGAAUACUGCGGCACCUUGAAUGCGAUCGGGGUUUCAAGAUACAUGAAGUUAAAUUACACUCUUACUAUUACAUGACACACGAAAUCUAUGCCACAAGCCCAUGAGGAUGAUAUGAAGUUCUACACUUAUGAUAUCAUCAUAUUCUCAAACAACAUAACCCACCAUGACAAUUGAUCUUAUAUGAGAAAACUAAAGAUACGGCAACUUAGUCUUUCAAAUCAAUAUGCUCAUGAUAUGUGAAAAAAUCUAAAGACAUCUAAUCUCAACCUUUUACGAGUGAAAUCACCUAGCUAGGACAUCUAAACGGCGGGAUGAAAUCAUGUAUUGGUUAGAGGCGUUCCAAUGGUUAACAUGAUGUUCCAGGGAGAAAAACAAAUGCCACUCUUAUCCACUCAAGGAGGUGGAAUACCAAGGGUAGCAAAACUCCCCUCACAUGACAAUGAUAUAGUCAAUUAUUCUAGAAGUUGAGUGAGAAGAAAGCCAUGUAACCCAUCCAAUACGACCCAUUUAAGACUUUGGAAAAGGGUAUACACUUUGGUUUGAAAUUAUGGCAAUUUAAUCUCGAACUUUAAGGAAAAUCAUUACUUUUUUUUUAAAUCUAAGAACAAGCCCAGACCAUGUCACCUAUCCAGUCUGAGCUGUCUAAAACCUUUUGAAAAGGGGACACACCUUGAUUUUGAAAUCACGGCAAUAUAAACUUGAACUUAGGGGAAAUCAUUACCUUUGAAACCUGUGAGACAAUCCCAUGUAGCCCUAGAAAAUUGUCAACCAAUGGCAAGAAGGCACUUAAAAUCCUUACGAGUUGAUAUAGAACAAAGUCUCAAAGUGCCCACAUGGAUAAGUUUAAAAGAAUGAGCCAUCGUAAUGCAUUUAUCAGAGAUAUGUAACCUAGGUUAUCUAGUCAUAGGGACAAGCAAAGCAGGUAAAUGAUUUAUAGAAGAGCAUCUACAAGGAUUACCAGCAUUAUUUAUUUAUUCUAACAUAAGGAAUAUGUUGCCACCCUUGAUGCUAUUAGACUUUCUCUUUUAUGCCAUAAAACAUAAAAUGAGUUUAUUUAUAAUGAGAGUUAUCAGAUGAGAAUAGAUGGUAAGGCAACACAACUAAGAGCACCACUUGGAAUCGACAAGCUUAAACAACUGAAGGCAUUAGAAGCCUGUAGAAAAGGGAAAUAUGCCCACUCUCAUGGCUCUUGUAGAGUACAUAAAAGUGAGGUUAUUUAAAUCAGAUCAUAUCGUUGAAUAACUAGUCAAGACAUCAAGUUAAUAUCGCAUCGAAGAUUACGGGUAAACAACACACGAUGGAAGAUAAAUGAAAAGAAAGGGAAAGGGGUUUAUGAAAGUAACCUUUACAUUGUAACCACUAGGAUCGGUAGUAAUAUAAAGCGAUUAUAAGAAGCUACAUUUUUUGAAAGAAGAUAUAUCUAUGUAGUCACGUGAUGUAUAGCUCCAGAAUUCAAAAAUCCAAUUAUAUUUAGCAACUCUACUUCAUAAUGAAGCACAAUAACACAUUUCUACACAACCAGCUAUUACGAGCCAUAUUGAGAUAUGUUAUAAGGCAUGACCGAGAGAAAAGCUUUUACCUAUGAAUACGUGUCACUAGGUGUAUUUCUCCUUGGUCAACCCAUAACCUAUAGGUGGGAGUAGACUGAUAAGAAGGUCGUUGGACAAGCACAUGUGUAGAUAAUACAUUAUCGAGAUGAGAUCAUUCAGUCUCAGCAAUUGCGACAUGCUAUCAACCCUUGAUGAACUUGAAGUGAUAUGGGAACCCAAUGAGAUAGUAUAGAAUAAUCAUGGAGGGUUUGCUGAUGUUCUUAAUAUAUUUUAACUUGAGAACUACCUAGAUGCUAAUGAAAGACAGAAAAACAUGAGAAACCAUAACAACCCCAAAAGGUGUGCUUGGUCUUGACAGAAUGCCUAGUAAGGGUCCUUACGAUGCAGAGAGUGUAAGAAUGACUCAUAUAAGGAUAUGUUCUCUCAUGGUUAUCGAACAAGUGUGGGAAAACUAGCACAAUGAAUUCGCUAACUAAAGAACACAAUUAACACAUCUUAUAGAGGCGAAAAGAGGAUAUAAACAUUUCUCAUAAGUUGGACAUGCUUCUUCUAUAUUAGCUCCCAACUUCAAUAUACGACCAUGCCACGAGCAACCAUAAUACUAGGACAAGGUGAGCUACUUACUGCGGGAUGUCCCAAAUGGAUACGAAAGUUAUGGAGACACAUGAUCUUCCUAUGACGUGGAUACGAGGAUCUCAAUUUUUAGAGAGACUUUAUAUUCAUGCACUCGGUGACAAUUUCGAUUUACAUGCCCUCAUGUGAGGUGUUAAGGUACGCUCUUAUGUUACUAGGCAGUGAGAAGAGUUAAUGAUGAUGUUCGCACGAGAGUAGAUUGACUGUACAAACCAUAUAAGCCAUAUACACAACUAAGUAAAAGAGUGACUCGAGAUGUAUCCCAAUGCUGGGAUUCUUUGCAUGGAACUUGACACCACAUAGGUAAACUUUAUGACAGUGCAUAUAUAGGCACAAUCGAGUAGAUUUUGUCCAUUUAAAUAAAAAGAUUCUGUAAUAAAUCAAUCAGAUAUAAUCCCUUCGGGAGAAUUUUAGGAAAAGCAAGUGAGAAAUAUCAAUACUAGAGUUAUAACUCAGUUCAAGGGCAUAAUUAUAGAACUUAAUUCCACAGCAAUGUAAAUAAGAGAAUUCAUAAUAGAGUGUUUUUCACGAAUAAUGCAUCUCGUUAAAAGAGUCGAUACAGGGAAUGUUUUGUUAUUCAACACCUUAUUAAGACCAUGUUUAUGAGAAAUCUUCAAUAUCGAUGUACACAUACAAUGAGUAAAAAUCUUUAUUUGACUCCGUUAAUGACGUUAAGUAUAUAGGGAAAUAGCUUAAUUGAUACCCCUCGACUCCACAUCCUGACAUAUUUGGGUAACACACUGAUAUACUAAAUGAUCUGAUGGUGCAGAUACAUAUAAUGGGACAAGCACAUUCCCUUCUUAGAGAUAUGUUAUACCAAUCCAUCCAAGGCUCAAUAUAAUCUCCUAAUAAGUCCUUGGACAAUCCACUUGGACUCCAUCCCUCCUCUCAUGCUUCUAAUUCGCGGAUUAUGAUAUCAAGGUUACCAAUCUUGAGAAUAAGGCUUAGUGAGGAAAAUCACCUCCCUAACUUGAGCUCUAUUGCACGAUUUUUUUUUUGAGUCCACUAGGCAAUCGCCUAGGGUUAGUUUUCAAAAAUAAUAGGAAAAAAAUUACAACAAAUAGGAGAAGUAUAAUAAGGCGGAUUACACCAGUAAUGUCACCCAUAUAACACAGCCGGCAUAGACCUUACCUUAGUUAUCCUAUUGAGGCAAAUAAAAGCCUCCUGAACUAGCAAGCAUGCAAAAAGAAAGAACUCGCAAGAACUAAGAAAUUAAUGAUCAUCACAGAGUUUAUAACAUGCUCUGUGAUGAUAUUACAAAGGAUAAUACUAAUGUGAUGGUAAAAUAAACAGAUGAAGAAGACAUAGAGAUGCCCCUUUUUUUCUUUUGAUGUGAAAAUUUCGAUUUGUAGAGUGAUGUCUUCUUCCACAUAAUUUUUCAAGAAUUCUUCAAAGUACAUGCUUUAUUCUUGAGACGAUUGGAUUUUGGGUGUGUUGUUGAGGGACCUAUUUUUGUUUCGCAGAUCUCAUUGGGGGCCUCCUUAUGUUUACAUAUUCAAACUCCCUGCCGUCCCAACUUCUUUCCCUUUGAUGAGACUUCUUAUUUCUUGCACUAUGCAUUGGUGACAAAUCUCCUUUUGUUGAAGCGUCUGCUCGGCAUUGGUUUAUGAAAUCCUCUUCUUCCCCUUCUUCAUAAAUAUGUCUUCCUGCCAAAAUUGUAUUUGGUAACUCUUGAAAAACGCCUUGAGUUGUAAAUUGUACUUUAUUGAUAACUGCAUUUUUUUUGUUUUUGCGCUUUGUUCCUGUUCAUGACAGAGCUACCAGAAGUAGGAUUAGUGUCUGUAUUUACCAUCGCUUCUAAUAGUUGUCUUUCUUCGGACGAAAUUACUAAAGCAGUUGUGACGAGCUGCCCCGCCUAUGACCAUACUACCGUAUUGCUAUCAGCAGUAAGAGAGUUAGAUGGAAUAUUUGCAUUCCUUUGCUGCUUCUGAUUUGAGAGCAGAGUUUGCGUCAUGACAUCCGAACAUUUUCUGUCCUCUAUAUUAGCGAGUGGUUCUGAUGUAUUAGCCUGAUUCUGGCUUGUUGAUGGCAGCAUUGUUGGGAUUGGAUUAACAACUGAUGAUUGGACUGAGUUAGGUUGACGAUUAUGAGCUGAUUCAUUUUUGUUGAACUGUGAUGUCGCUACAAUUGGACUAGUUGUUUUAGCAUUAUUUCUUGGAACAAACACUGGAGCAUUAUGGUUUAAUCUGCUGUUUGGAGUUUCUGUUUACUUCGAAAUUGCACGACAGUUCUUAAUUGUAUUUUUCUUUGACAUUUUUGCUUGGCUGAACCAUCACUGUCCUCUUCAGUACUAUCCUUCUCACAUUCUUGGUCAUCUUCUUCCCAUGAAAACCAGCGAGUCCGUCACCCAAGCUCUCCUCAUCAUCAUAAUCUCGUUGGUCUUUCCAGAAUUUCGAUUUAAUGACCAAGUCCCUACUCUUUGUCACAGUAGGAGUAUAUAUGGUUGGAAAACUUUUAAGUUUGGACUGUAUUUGCAUACUUGUAGCAGUAACAUUAGUUGUAGCCUCUGUAUUCUUAGAUGAAUUCUGACUGACAUUGGCCAGCACGGCAAAUGAGUUUGAAAUUGAAGGUAAAGCUGGAUUGUUUUCUGCGAUCUAGAUUUUAUUUUUGGAUUUAGGAGAUAUUGCUUUGUUGGCCAUCGAUGACCAUUUCCCCUCUUCCCUUGUGUGUUAACGACUGGCAGAAGAUUCUAUAGCAGAAUUUGCUUGAGCUAAUGCAGUAUUGGAGACAACAUUAGCAGCUGUACUUUCAUUCACUGCUUCAAGUGUGUCAAUCUGUGAUGCAGGUCCAUGUUCUUUUUGAAAUGUCCAGUUGGCUAAGGGUGAGUUUUUAUUUACCCCAUUACAUUCUGCAGUGAUGUUUGAAGCAUCAAGCAUUUUUUGCAAUGUCGAGUUCUCCCCUAGUUGAACCUGGGAAACAACAGAGUUUGUAACAGCUUUGGCAGGAUUCAGAGCCUCCAAAUUUGUAUCAUUUCCUUGACACAACAUUGUACGUCUUUUAUUGUUGCAAUUGUGUAACCAAUGUUGCUUUUCAAACACCAGAUGAUCAAACCUGUUUGACUUAUGAUUUGCAGCCUCAGUUGAUGCAUCAAUCACGUCUUAUACCACUUGUUCACUUAGAACACUGGAUGGUACAGUAGGUGUAUUUUGACACAGCUACUCUAUAUCAACAUUCGACAUUGAAUGAACUUCUACAGCUGGAAUAACUGGAACAGAAUCACUAAAUUGUCCUGCAUCACCAGUUACAAUAUGAAGAAUCCCAGCCAAAUUUGACCCUAGUUGUUCACUGUGAGCAUUGGCUGGAUUUUUACAUAUUUGUGCAUUAUCACCAGUGGGCAUUGGAUGAACUUGUAUAGCUGGAACAAUUGGGACAGAUUCAAUAUAUGCAUCAAUAGGUUUUGGCACUGUCAAGUUCUCCCCUAGUUGCACAUGGGAACAGUAUGAUUUGCAACAGCUUUGGCAGGAUCAAGAACCUCUAAAUUAGUAUCAUUUCCUUGACUUAACAGAGUCAUAUUGUUACACAUAUGUAACACAUGAUGUUGUUCACACUCCAAUUAUUCAUUUCUGCUUGCAUUAUGAUGUGCAGCCUCAACAGAUACACCUUUAAAUUUACACAGCACCUGUUCAGUUGGAGCAUUCAAAUUGAAUGGAACAGUAAAUGAAUUUUUACACAACUGUGGUAUAUCAGCAUUUGGCAUUGAAAGAGAUUCUGUAGCUUGAAAAGUUGGAGCAUAAUUCAUAUUCUGUCCUGCAUCAGUAGUCUCAUUAGGAAGAGCCCCAGCCAAAUUUUACAACAUCUGUUCAUUUUGAACUUUCAAAACAGAAGAACACAAACAUCAUUCAGCAUUGAAUGAACUUCUGCAGGGGGAACAAUUGGAUCCAAAACAGUUUGUCCUGCAUAUGCAGUUACAGUAGGCAGAAUCCUUUCACUGCUUCGUGCUACACGAUUAGCAUUUAGGAAUUCUCUGGCAUCACCUCUUACUUUUGUCAAACUUCCCCGACCUUCAGAUUCUCGAUUAUGACAUGCUUGUUCAUUACAAUCAUCUGAACUCCAACGACACGAUUUUACAUCAUGACCUUGAUGAUUACAAUAGGUGCAGUAUUUAGGAAGGUUAUCAAAGACGAUCCGCUGGUCGUAUUCGACAAUUUUCUCAUAUUUGAUAUCAACUAUCUUGAUCUUUACUUUCUUUGGAUAGUUGUCUAAUAAAUUAAUCAAGACUUUUACUCGUGCCGUACUAGGUCUCGUUCGAUCUUUAGUAGCCAUAUCUACUGCUAGAGGGUUUCCUACUGCAGCAGCGAUUGACAGUAAGGAUCUUUUUGCGAAGAAAUUUGCUGGAAGUUCAGGAAAGGAAAUCCAAACGACAGCUUUUGACGUUUCUUCACGUGGAUUAAAUCCCAUUGUCCAUGGGAAUAUCCUGAAGAAGUAGUUGUCUCCUUUCGCCUUAACAUAGCCUGUUUUUCUUGAAACGACAUUUGCAAAAUCUUCAAAUAGAUCAAAUCUUACCAGAAUAUGUCAAUAUUCUAGCUGCCCAAUAUUGCAAUUACCUUUGACAUCGAGUUGCUUCGGUAAGAUCUGUCUCAACUUCUGAAGCUCGGGUUUUUCAUACGAGAAUUUAAUCACAACUGCUUGUUGAAGACCUUCCUCCUUGGUGAAUGAAUUCACUUCGUCUACUCGAGAAUUUAAUCACAACUACAUGUUGAAGACCUUCCUGCUUGGUGAAUGAAUUCACUUCGUCUACUGUGAAUUCAACACUAGGUAUUCCAUUCUUUACCGUUACUGGACAGAGUUCAAAAUUCGAUUUUGUUGCGGCAGAAUGCUUUCGAACAAGUUGUGAUGCAUAAGACUUUUUUGGAUUUUGAGCUGUUUGAUUUUCCGAAUGAUUUUGAUUUUCCUUUCCCACAGCACAGAGCUGGGGAGAGGGUGAAACUUCCAUAGUUGCGAUGAUCGUCAACCAGGAUCCAUCACUAACAUUCUGUCGGAGAGAAUGAAAGUGCUACAGUAAAUCAAAAAAAAAGAUUUAAGAUGUAGGAAGAUUGGCUAUAGAUUUGAGGAGAAAAUCUAUUGGGGAUUGUUCGCAAAGAGAAGGGGAUGUAUUGACACCAAAAUUGUGGCAAUCCACGACCGGAAUCCGGUGAUUUUUCCGAUGAAUAGUGACGGAGUACUAUUCACAGAAUAGUAUCGCUGGGAGAGAAACAAAAUAGUGACCUAUGGCACGAUUGGAGUACCAAAGAAGGGUGAAAUUACUAAAUAUCCAAAUAGCCCUCAUAAUCUGAGGAGCACGACUGACGCUCAACCGAGUAAACCCGACUAAGCAAACCUGACAGGUUUCAUACGUGCUACCCAACCCAACUCAUAAUUAAAUAAGAGAUGGACUCCAUUAAUCAUACUUAGUAAGUAUUUUAUUAACAAUUCCAUUUUUUUCCAUUAGUUUCUUAAAUCAUAAAUAUAAAACUAUUAUAAGAUUUGUAAAUCGUUGCCAAACAUCAAUAUUUCAAUCUUAAUUGCAAUAACCGACUCUACCUACAACAUGUCUACAGAGCCUCUAUAUACAACUAACAAAUAAUAUAGAAAUGUCGUUAACAAGGCUCUAGAUAUACCUUAGACAAAUACAGAAAAAGGGACUCCGGGAAGAAUAACGGCAUAAGCCACGCAGGGCCCCGAGGGGAAAGAGGCUCACCAAUACCUUAGACAAUCACUACACCAUCAAAUACAAAUAAGGGAUAAUGUAGCUUUCACACAAUUUCCUUAACUUUAGUUUCGGGCAAUCCUUUCAUAUGUUCAUCACCGUUCUUAAUACCACCGCUAUCUUGAGCGUAGUCCGAUCAUCACCCGACCGGCUAGUUCACCUCAUUGGAGGCAUAUAUCUCAAUAACUAUUUAAUUUACCAUAUCCGAAAUUCAAUAUCAGCACCGUACCACCAUGUGUGUGGCAAGGUGUCCGAUCUCAACCUGAUCGGCUAGGUCACCUUACCUAGACAUUAUCCCUUUCUUAUUAGUCACCACAUCCAAAUUUUUAUUUCACAUGCAUCAUAUCAAUUCCUUGGCACUUAGGGACAACAUUAUCACAUCGUACUUGGAACUAGGUCAUAUUUCACUACUCAUUCCACAAUACAUUAACUUCCAACAACAAACUUACGAUUUAAAAUUAUGUGCAUACACAAGAAAGUUUCUAAGUUAUAAGCAUAGAGAGGAAUUCUCAUGAUUUGGCACAACAAUCACAAUUUAAACUUGAUUUGAAAUUUAGGCAAUUUAGCAUAUACUUCACAUUCUUCAAUCUCAAUCUAUUGUCUAAGCAUUUCAAUACAUGAUUCACAUUCCUUGCACAUUUUCAAGUUAUCAAGAAUAGCACAUUGAUCACAUUGGAAUGCAUCCUUCACAAAUAUAAAGUCAUUGAUAAUAGAUGGUGUGCUAGUAAAACUUGGAAGGAGGAACGAUGACUAAAUACACAUUUGUCACAUUGUAAUGCAUCCUUCACAAAUAUAGGGUCACAACACUAAUUCAUAUAAACUAUCAAUCAAAGAAAGAAUCCAAGGUUCAGUCUUACCACAUUUACACAAGCAUCGAUAUAGCUCAAUUUCUAAAAGACGGGGUUUUAGUCAUACAUACCUUUCUUGAGCUUUCCCUCAAUUAUUACGAUAUUCUGAAAAUUCUAUCAACUUCAAUCUAUUUUUAGACAUAGCAAAACUGAACACAAAUUAGGAAUAUAUUCAUAAUUCUAGCUCAUUUGAGCAUUUUAUCAAAUACUAGUUGAGCAUCUUGAUACAAAUCCCCUUUUUCAAGAUUUCCUUCAUUCACUAACCCAAUCUUUACUUAUUUAUGUUAAACAAUCUUCUACAUAAACCUAAGUUGUACAUACAUGUAUAUGCGAUGCUAAUAUACCGAAGUAUCAUAUCUCAAUAACCCAUCUUUUACACCGAACUCGAAAUUAAAACAUAGGGUAUAGAAUCGUACCUUUUAGAUGAAGAUCUUGUGAUUGGGUUCUUUGAUUCUUGAAGAUUGCUGCAAGAUUUGGAUUAUUUAAAUGUUGGGUCCCUCCUUCUCCCUCUUAUCGCCUCUCACAUCUCUCUAAAAUCAGCAAGAAAUGACCGCCAAAAUGAACCCUAAGGCCUAGCAUAAUGCACCGCACAAUUGGUGUCCAAAACUAGGCUACACUGGUCCAAUUUGCGACUUGAUUUGCGACCGUGGAUCAAAAAUGCGGACCACAUAAUGGAUAUUGAGAUCGCAGAUCUGAUAUGACACAGGAUUACAUUUUCCAGCCUUUAGUAAUUUGAUUAUAACGUUGUGUAGGAAUGUCAAAAUGACAAAUGGCUUGAAGCUUUAGAAACUAGACUCAAAGACCUUUCAUAUAAUAGGUUGUUAAUCACAUAAAAUAUUAUACAUAUUUAGAUAUGAUCGUUUAAAUUGGAUUCUUGUGCGAAUCCAUUUGAAAUUUUAGCCUAUUACAAAAAUUUUCGCAUUUGGUAUACACUUAGGCUUCUAUUUGGACCUCACAUCACUUACCAUAGGACUUAUACUCAUAUUCACCAAGUCCAAUUGAUGUCAACCAUGUUAAUAGCACACAAAAUCUAAUAAUUAGCCUAUCUGGCACCAUGAAAUCCUAGAUUACUUAGCGAAAUUUUCCGGGACUUACAUCUGGGUACUCUCCUUUUGCCAAAUAUUCCUUGAUAUCAUGAAACCAAGGCUUUCUAUCUGCUUUUUCUUCAGCAUGAGCAUAAUAAGCUAGCUGAUCGUGGAUCUUUACUGGAAUGGGAUCAAUGAUGUCCUUGUCUAGAUGUUGUAGCAGAUGAUUGGGUAGUCAAUGCAUCAACGAACAUAUUCUGGACUCUGAGAACAUGUUGGAAUCCUGUCUUUGUGAAUCUCUUUCUCAACUCCUGUACAUGAUGCAAAUACGGGAGUAUCUUGGAGUUUUUGGUUGCCCAUUCUUCUCAGACCUGAUGUAUAAGUAGGUCUGAAUAGAUCACUAGCAACUCUUGAAUGUUCAUGUCAAUAUCCAUCUUGAGCCCUAGGAUGCGGGCUUCGUACUCGGCCAUGAUGUUGGUGCAAGGGAACCUGAUCUUGGCAGACCCUGGAUAAUGUUGGUUGAUUUUAGAUACUAGGACCGCUCCUAUGCCAACUCCUUUGAAAUUUGCUGCUCCAUCAAAAAACAUUCUCCAACCAUCAUAGGAUUCUGCAAUAUCUUCUCCUAUGAAUGAUACCUCUUUGUCAGGAAAAUACUUUUUUAGGGGUUCGUAUUCUCGGUCCACGGGAUUUUCAGCAAGGUGUUCUGCUAGUGCAUGUCCCUUGAUUGCCUUGUAACUUACAAAGACAAUAUCAAAUUCACUCAACAGGAUUUGCCACUUGGCUAGCUUUUCGGUGGGCAUGGGCUUCUGAAAGAUAUACUUCAAAGGAUCCAUCCUUGAUAUGACAUAUGUAGUAUAAGCACAGAAAUAGUGCCUCAGCUUCUGGGCUAACCAAGUCAAAGCACAACAGGUGUACUCCAACUGUGAAUACCGGGCCUCAUACGCGUGAACUUCUCACUGAGGUAAUAGAUGGCAUGCUCCUUCCUCCCCAUUUCAUCAUGCUUCCCCAGAACAUAACUGGAGUUGAGGCCUAAAUGAGGUACAGACCUCAAAAAUACAAUCAAAACAUGCCCCUAAGACCAAAAUCACCCAACAGAGCUAACAAAAUUGACGAAAUUCCAUUUUAGAGCGUUUUCACACUGUUCUGACUGCGGUCUAAGUUAUAAGACAUAAGCUAAACGAAUCAUUUCGGCAAAUCACAAUAGCAGAAUUAGAUACGGGGGAAGUAGUUAUUAAGGAAUCGGGGCGUUAAUUCUCGAAACGACCGGUCGAGUCAUUAUACUCUCCCCCUGUUGAAACAUUUCUUCAUCCUAGAACGAGCAUAUAAACAUAAAUGAAAUAGUAAAAAGAUGGGGAUAACGGCUACGCAUAUCCUGCUCGGUCUCCCAAGUCGCCUACUCGACCGGCUGACCCUGCCACUAAACCUUUACUGAUGCAAUGUUCUUUGACCUCGACUUUCAAACCUGCCUGUCCAAUAAUGACAAUUGCUCCUCAACAUAGGAUAGAUCCUUGUCCAACUGUUCAAAGCUGAAACCCAAUACGUGAGCUGGAUUACUAUGAUACCUCAGGUGUCACGCCACAAAUUCCUGGGCAUGACCGUCACUCAACCGGGUAUCCCCACUCGAGUGGACCUGGGUGCCUUUCCUAUUCCUCACGCAUUACCCCACAUUAUUCAAUGAUAGUUAACCAAAAUAUACCAAAUUUCAAUUAAAAGAACGUAGGAUUUUUCUUUUAUAGCCACACAUUAUGAUUAACAGAGAACAUCUUUUACAAAACAUAUAUUUGAUUAGCAAGGUAUGUGGUACACAAGAUUACAACGCCCAAACAUACACUUUUAUACAUAAGUCAUGACCCACAUACCACUGUCUAUGGAGCCUCUACGAGAAUGAUAGUACAACACUUGCCUGUGAGAAGGCCCCUACUAUACCUUUACCAAAAGAUACAAACUCCAAAAUACAACAACAGGCGUGGCGUAGGCCACACAUGGCCCAGAAGGAAGGGGGCUCACUCGGCUAUACCUUUACCAAAAGAUAGAAACUCCAAAAUACAACAACAAGAGUGGCGUAGGCCACACAUGGCCCCAGAAGGAAAGGGGCUCACAAAACACGAAUACUGCCGAUAGAGAGGAGGGGGAGGAGCUACGAAUGGUGGACUGGAGUGCCUGCCACGGAUCCACCUACAAUCAUAACAUGAAUGUAGCGCCCCCGGCAAAAGGGACGUCAGUACACUUGAAUUGUACUGGCAUGUACGAAAUAACUCUGUCCCAAGUAAACUCAAGCCAAAUUGCAUGAAUAAGUAUAGAACUGAACAACAAUAGUACAAGUACAACCAGGAAGAAACAACCAAACAUUUCACAACAAUUAUUCACGUAGUCAUACAAAGGGGCAAUCAAUGCCCCAUAGGUUACAAACUCUCCUGCUGUCUCCUUUCACAUUUUAACAUUUAUCACUUUAUGAUUCAUAUUCACAUCGAUAGUGAUACUGGAUCACAUUUCCACCCUCAUUGUCUCGUCAACCCUUAUUACCUCGGCCACCCUUAUCAUCCCAACCCACACCUUAUUUCACCGUGUUGUGGCGCGUAACCUAAACCCACCCGACAGUUUUGAAUUCACAACAACAAACAGCACAACAACAUGUACAAGAAAUCAACAAUGACGCUUUGUUAGAAUAAUUCCACAACAAGGGUAUUAAAAUCCCACAACUAGCAACACCAAUUUCCUCAUUUUUAUCAAAGUUGAUACACAAUUAGAUCAUCACAACAGCCAUUCACAAUUAAUGACACGCGUUGUUCCACAACAUUUCCAUUUCCACUAUUCCACAUUAUUUCCAUUCCCACUAUUCCACAUUAUUUCCGUUUCCGUUGUUCCAAUUACAAGUUCCACAACAUUCACCACAAGGUACUACCACACAAUUUGUACAAUAAUUAUUUCCAUUCCCACUAUUCCACAUUAUUUCCGUUUCCGUUGUUCCAAUUACAAGUUCCACAACAUUCACUACAAGGUACCACCACACAAUUUGUACAACACGAAAGCUUCAAAAUUGUUUUCAUAUAAAUAUCAGCUAUCAACAAUUUCACAACUAGCAUAGGCUAUUUCACGAGGAUCACAGUUAGCCAUACAUACUUGAAAUUGAAUAUGCUCUUUAACCUCUACUCCAAUUCAUCAAGCAAUCAAGAAGGAUCGAUCUAGUUCAUGAUUAAUACAUAGACCUUUAGAAUAGGAACUCACAAUUUACUACCCAGUUCCCUUUUUUCAAGAUUUUUGGGUUUUGAAGACAUGCAUGUGGAUUUCUAACAAGAAUUUUUAAAAUCAAUGUAUGAAACUCCCUCCCCAAACCUGAGUUCGAAAAUUAGGGGAAAAGGGUUAGGGAUUGUACCUUGAAAUCAGAGGGGAAGGAAAAUGCUCAAGAUUUUCCAGGCUUUGAUAAUUUUUGAAAGAUCAAUUGAUGAAGAAAUAGCUUUCUCUCUCUAGAACCCUCUCUUCCCCUCUCUUAUUUUGUUCAGAAAAUGGGUUAAAAAUGAGAGAUGGGGUGUUUUAUUAAAAGAGGGGUCAGGCUUAGAUGUUUAGAAAAUAACUGAGCGAACAUGCCCUGAGACGCCUAUCUGCAAUCGCAAAACUGACAUGUGGUACGCAGAAUGGACCGCAGAAAUGGCUCAAGUUUCAAACCUCUCGGGUUGGGAAUACGGUGACUAUGCGGUCUGCAUUUGCGUUCUGCGGUUGCAGAAUGCACCGCAGAACUGACCUUUGAAUUUCUUCAGGGACAAUAUGCGAUCACUCUGCAAUCCGCAUAUUGAUUAUGCGAUCGCAAAUUUGAACGCAUUUUCAACAUUAAUAUUUGGUUGCUCUCUGAGUCAUUCUGCGGUAGGAAUGCAGUCCGCGUAGCUUAUCGGCGACCGCAUUCUGGACCGCAUUUUGACACUUUUCUGAAAAAGUUAAUUCUUUCAGUUUAUAAAGGCUUAAAUCACUACCAAGGGUCCGAAACUCUACACAUUCAUAACGCAUAAUCAGAGAGACACCACAGUUUACUAAGUUCUGAGAAAAAAUUAUUUACGGAACCUUACAUUCUCCCCCGCUUAAGAUCAUUCGUCCUUAAUUGAGAACAUUGGAAAUAACGAGUUGGAAAACAUGAUAUGCAAGUUUCUACACCUUUUAUUAACUUUAAACUCUAUUUUAGAAAAAUUUCUCCAGAGUUUCCUUUGUCAUAUGGACAUAACCACCUGUAAGAGAAUCCCCAAAAUACGUUCCUAAGAACCAUUAUACAACUUGCUACCUUUACAACAGUUAUAAAAUGCAAAAUUCUCAUACUUGCACAUAUUCAACCCCUCGACACACUUCUAGCCAUUUUGGCACAUUACAUGGAAUCAAAUUAAGCAUUAAUUAUCGGUACUAUCAAAACUGUUUACCUGACGCAUAAGUACGACACAGUUAUUUCUCUCAAUGCAAAUCCUCCAUGAAAAAACUAAUCAUUAUACAAUUAGAAAACUUUGAUACUCUCAAUCCAUGCAAGAUUAAUCAUUGGCUCUUACAUCACCUUAUCACGAGAGCACAAAACCUUCAUUACCAAAAAGGACUGCACAUUGUUCAAAUAAUCACGUCACAUAAAUUUUGUUAGCACAACUUGGAGAACUACCAUAAUAAGGCACUUGGAAAGAGAAGGGAUGACUCUUACACCAAAUGGAACACAACACUAGCUUCCCUAGGGACAAGAUUCACACGAUCAUUCCUAGCUUAUUCAAAUAGAUUGGGGUAUUUCGUCUUCAUCUCAUCUUCUGCUUCCCACGUGGCUUCCUCGACUUGUUGGUUUCGCCACAACACUUUGAAUGAAGCAAUCUCCUUGUUCCGCAACUUUCGGACUUACCUAUCCAAAAUAGCAACCAGAAUCUCUGCAUACAACAACUCUUCUGUAACCUUGAUGUAUUCAACUAGCACAAUCUUAGACAGAUCACCCACAACUUUCCUUAACAUGGAUACAUGGAACACCGGGUGCACUAGGGAUAUUUCAGGAGGCAACUCCAAUCUAUACGCAACUUGACCGAUCAUUCGAAGGACUUGAUAAGGCCCGAGUACCUAGGACUUAGUUUUCCUCUCUUCCCAGAGUGCAUGACUCCUUUCAUAGGGGACACCCUCAAGAAUACCCAAUCUCCUUCUUGAAACUAUAACUCUCUCUGACGCACAUCCGCAUAAGAUGUCUUGCGACUCUUGAAUGACUCUUACCUUCUCCAUGGCCUGAUGCACGAGAUCUGGCCCUACUAGUUCCGCUUCGCCAACUUCAAACCACCCAAUCGGGGACCUACACCUUAGUCUGUACAAUACUUCAAACGGGGCCAUCUGGAUGCUAGCAUGGAAGCUGUUAUUAUAAGCAAACUCUAUAAGAGGCAGGUGAUUAUCCCAAUUACCCUUGAAAUCCAAGACACAUGCCCGCAACAUAUCCUCGAGCGUCUGAAUAGUCCGCUCUACCUGGCCAUCGGUCUGCGGAUUAAAAGUUGUGCUAAGAUUCACUUGAGUACCCAAGCCUUGCUGAAAUUUCCUCCAGAAGUUAGCUGUAAACUGAGCUCCUCGAUCCAAAAUGAUAGAAAAAAUUUUCCGCUCUUCUUGACCAUCGGUCUGCGAAUGAAAAGUUGUGCAAAGAAUCACUUGAGUAGCUAAACCUUGCUGAAAUUUCCUCCAGAAGUUAGCUGUGAACGGAGCUCCUCCAUCCGAAAUAAUAGAAACCGGUGUACCAUUAAGCCUCACUAUCUCCUUGAUAUACAAUCGAGCAUAUUGUUCUGCAGUAUCAGUGGACUUGACUGGCAAGAAGAUAGCUGAUUUGGUGAGCCUAUCCACAAUUACCCAAAUUGAGUCGAAAUUGUGCUGAGUACAAGGUAGUUCUGUCACGAAGUCCAUAUUGAUCAUUUCCCAUUUCCACAUCGAUAUCUCUAUAAGCUGAGUUAACCCUCCCGUCCUUCACUUGCUGGAAAUUCAGACACUUAGAGACGAAAACUGCUACACUCUUCCUCAUACCUCUUCACCAAUAGGUAUCCUUGAGAUCGUGAUACAUCUUCGUAGAUCCCGGGUGCACUAAAUACCUGGAAUGAUGAGCCUAUGCCAUUAUCCCCUCCCAAAGAUUAUCCACGUCUGGGACACACAGCCUGUCAUGGCACUGUAGCACACCAUCAUCGCUGCUGAGUGAAAAUGCAAAAAUUCUGUUGAUUAGAACUGCCUCCUUCAACUGUGCCAAUGCUGGAUCAACAAACUGCUUUUCUUUAACCUCUGCCACGAGUGACGAUUCUGCUGUAUUAUGCACCAUCAGUUCCUCCUCAUUCGUGGCCGAGAUACAAACCCCAAAGCUUGCCAACUGAUGUAUCUCUUGAGCUAGGAGCCUCUGAUCCUCCCUCAAGUGAGCCAAACUACCCAUGGAUUUCCACUGAGGGCGUCAGCCACCACGUUCGCUUUCCCUGGAUGGUACAAGAUGCUAUAUCAUAAUCCUUAAGCAAUUCGAGCCACUAGCCUAAAGUUUAGCUCCUUCUGCUUGAACAAAUACUGGAGACUCUUGUGAUCUGAAAACACAUUUUACGUGAACCCCAUAAAGAUAAUGCCGCCAUAUUUUCAAGGCGAACACAACUGCUGCAAGCUCCAAAUCAUGCGUCUGAUAAUUCUUCUCGUGAUUCUUGAGUUUCCUGGAAGAAUAUGCUAUGACCUUACCGUGUUGCAUCAGAACACACCCUAAACCAACCCUGGAGGCAUCACAAUAAACCACAAAUCCCUCAGUGCCCUCUAGAAAAUCCAACAUUAGUGCCGAAGUCAACCUUAUCUUCGGUUCUUGAAAACUUUUCUCACAAGUAUCUAACCACUGGAACUUGACUGAUUUCUGCGUCAAUUUGGUUAAUGGGGAGGCGAAGGUGGAGAAUCCCUCUACAAACCUCCGAUAAUACCCUGCUAACCCCAAAAAGCAAUGGAUCUCCGUCGGGGCCAUGGGUCUUGGACAAUCCUUCACCGCCGCAAUCUUUUGGGGGUCCACCUGAAUCGCCUCACUGGAAAUAACAUGACCCAGAAAUGCGACGGACUCCAACCAAAAUUAACAUUUGGAAAACUUGGCAUAUAUUGGCGCUGAUGAAGAGUCUGUAAAACCGCUCUGAGGUGAUUGGCAUGAUCCUUCCUGCUUCGCGAAUAUACGAGGAUGUCGCCAAUGAACACAAUCACGAAGGAAUCUAAGAAUGACUUGAAAGCCCGAUUCAUACGAUCCAUAAAAGAUGUCGGGGCAUUGGUUUGCCCAAAAGACAUGGCCAAAAAUUCUAAGUGGCCAUAACGAGUUCUGAAGGCGGUCUUAGGAAUAUCCUGCUCCUUGAUCUUCAAUUAGUAGUACCCCGACCGCAAAUCAAUUUUUGAGAAUAACCUUGCACCUUGCAAUUGAUCGAACAAAUCAUCUAUCCGAGGCAAAGGGUACUUAUUCUUGAUGGUGACUUUAAUAAGCUACCGAUAAUCAAUACACAUCCGAAGAGACCCAUCAUUCUUUCUGACAAAAAGAACCAGAGCACCCCACGGUGACACACUUGGCCGGAUAAACCCCUUCUCCAAUAGAUCCUUCAAUAGCUCUUUGAACUCCCGCAACUCUACCGGUGCCAUUAUGUACAGGGGAAUAGAUAUUGGCUGGGUAUCCGGCAAUGCAUCAAUCACGAAACAACUCUGGCGUUGCCAUUCUGUACGGGGAAAUAGAUAUCGGCUGGGUAUCCGGCAAUAUAUCAAUCCAGAAAUUGAUCUCCCUAUCUGGCGGGAUCCCUGGAAGCUCAUCUGGAAAUACCUUAAGGAACUCUUUCACAACUGGCACGGACUCGGGGGCAGGAACCUCUGGAGUAGUGUCCUCCCCCCGGACUAAAUGAAAAAUACACCCUUUUCUGAUCAUCUUCAAAGCCUUGAGGUAGGAAAUAAACUUACUCCUCAGCACAACACCAUUUCCCUUCCAUUCAACAACCGGCUCAUUAGGGAACUCGAGUCUCAUGACUCUCGUCCGGCAAUCAAGCUUAGCGAAGCACGAAUAGAGCCAAUCCAUCCCCAUGAUUACAUCAAAAUCCACCAUCCCAACAAGCUUUGCGAAACACGAAUAGAGCCAAUCCAUCCCCAUGAUUACAUCAAAAUCCACCAUCCCAAUCUCAAUAAGGUCGACUGUGGUAACGCAAGCACCUACCAUAACAACACAAUUCCUAUAGACCUGUGUGGCUGAAAUGGAAUCGCCCACCGAAGUUGAUACAGAGAACGACUCAAGAAGCUGUUCGGGUUCAAUCCCAAAACUCAAAGCAACAAAUGGAGUGACAUAGGACAANNNNNNNNNNNNNNNNNNNNNNNNNNNNNNNNNNNNNNNNNNNNNNNNNNNNNNNNNNNNNNNNNNNNNNNNNNNNNNNNNNNNNNNNNNNNNNNNNNNNNNNNNNNNNNNNNNNNNNNNNNNNNNNNNNNNNNNNNNNNNNNCAGCAAUCAACUGUCUGAACAGAUAAGAUACCUGUGACAACAUCUGGGGAAGCCUCAGCACUCUGACGGCCACUCAACGCAUAAAACAUGAUGGGUCCUCCCCUACCAAAAGCUCCACCUUUGGCUGCACCACUCCCUGCUGAGGUUGGAGGGUGCACUGAUGACGUAGCAACUGAUGAAUUAGAGGGAUGAGCAUGGCCCCCACCCGUGCCCUGCCUUGUACAUGGCAGUCUCACUGCAUAUGACCUCUCACUCCACAACUGUACCACACUGGAGCAUCUAAGUAACAAGCCUCUGUAUGAAAUCUCCCACACUUGGGGCAUAUACCCCCUGCUGUCGAGGUCUCAUCCCCAAAUGACUGAACUGGCGGGACCUCCUACUACCUGAACCUGGCCCCGAAGUCCACUCUUCUAGGAACGGUGCACGGAUGGCGGUGCAGUAACUGAGGAGUGAGCAUAAGACUAAGACGGUCCUGAUAACCUCGAAUGACUGAACUAGCGGGACCUCCUGCUGCCUGAACAUGGCCCCGAAAGUCCACUCUGCUGGGAACGGUGCAUGGAUGGCGGUGCACUAACUGAGGACUGAGCAUAAGGCUGAGACGGUCCUGAUAACCCUCUCCCUGGAGCUGACCACCCUAAGUGACCCAUAGACCGGGCCCUGCUGCUACUCUCCCUGUCGGACCGAAUCUUCAACUUUCUGGCCUCUGUGGCCCGAGGAAAACCCAUGAUCUUUCCAUAAUUCAUGUCUGAAUGCAAAGCCGCUGUUGUAGCUUCAUUUACCACCAAAGCGCUGAGACCCUGAACGAAUCGCCGAACUCUGGCCUCCAUAGUCGAUACCAACUGAGGAGCAUACUUGGACAACCUCAUUAACUNNNNNUGAGACCCUGAACGAAUCGCCGAACUCUGGCCUCCAUAGUCGAUACCAACUGAGGAGCAUACUUGGACAACCUCACAAACUCCAUAUGAUAUUCCCAAACACUCAUUCUACCCUGCUUAUGAACUUCAAACUCGGUGGCACGGGCUUCCAUGGUCUCGGCAUGCAAGAAAUGGUCCAUGAAGGCAUCUAAAAACAUCUCCCAUCUAGCUGGAGGGCUCCCCUCCUCACGGUAAUCCUCCCAUAUCUCAAACCAUGAACGCGCAGCUCCCUUCAACCUGUAAGAAGCCAAUUCUACCCCUUCUAUCUCUGUUGCAUUCAUUACCCGAAGGAUCUUGUACAUCUCAUCAAGGAAUUCCAAUGGAUCGGCCUCUAAGCCUAUAUCUGAUAACUCUGGAGGGGACAACAGCAGAAACUGAUAAACUUUGGAGCUGGAAGAAUCUCCCUGUCCACUGGAGGACACAGGGGCAUCAUGAGAUCUCUGGGACUGAGCGCCCACUAAGUGGGUCAGCAUACGGAUAGCUCCCCAAAGGUCUCCAUCAGAAAGGCCGGGAUCGGAAGCCUGAGCAACAUCAGGAUUAGGGGCAUUGGCAUGAGGGAUAGUGGCACCCUCGGCCGCUGCUGGAACAGGAUUGCUUGGGCUAGGAACCGAUGGAGCUUACAAGUUCAGAAUUGUGGGAUCAUUCUCCCCCACGACAGUCGGCACAUGAUCCACAACCGCACUAGAAGAGGCAUUGGCCCCUAGACCGAGUCUAGCUUUCUUCUUAGGUGCCAUAACUGAAAAUUUGAAAUAGAGCACGAAUUAGACAUAACAUCACUUCACCGCGUGAACUUGAGAUAUCAAAGAAGAGGGUAGUUUUUCUCCUAAAUGCCCAUGUAGCCCCCAACUAAUAGAUGUGGUCGACAACACACCGACAAGAAGGGCUCUACUAGGCACGGCUCCGAGACAUCCUAGGACUCCUUCAAAACCUAUGAAUCUGAUACCAAGUUUGUCAAAUAUCAAAGAACAGGAUAGUUUUUCCUAAAUGCCCGUGUAGCCCCCAACUUAUAGAUGUGUACGACAACACACCGAUAAGAAGGGCUCUACUAGGCACGGCACCGAGACAUCCUAGGACUCCUUCAAACCUAUGGCUCUAAUACCAUGUUUGUCACGCCCCAAAUUCGUGAGCAUGACCGGCACUCAACCGGGUAUCCCCAGUCGAGUGGACCUGGGUGCCUUUCGUAUUCCUCACGCGUUACCCCGCAUUAUUCAAUGAUAGUUAACCAAAAGAUACCAAUUUUCAAAUAAUAGAACGUAUGAUUUCUCUUUUAUAACCACACAUUAUGAUUAACAGGGGACACAUUUUACAAAACAUAUAUUUGAUUAGAAAGGCACGUAGUACACAAGUUUAUAACGCCCAAACAUACACUUUUAUACAUAAGUCCGACCCACAUACCACUAUCUAUGGAGCCUCUACGAGAAUGGUAGUACAACACUUGCUGGUGACAAGGCCACGGCUAUACCAUUACCAAAAGAUACAAACUCCAAAAUACAACAAUAGGAGUGGCGUAGGCCACACAUGGCCCAAGAAGGAAAGGGGCUCACCAAACACCAAUACUGCCGAUAGAGAGGAGGAGGAGGAGCUACGAACGGUGGACUGGAGUGCCUGCCACGGAUCCACCUACAAUCAUAACACGAAUGUAGCGCUCCCGACAAAAGGGACAUCAGUACACUUGAAUUGUACUGGCAUGUAUGAACUAACUCUGUGCCAAGUAAACUCAAGCCAAAUUGCAUGAAUAAGUAUAGAACUGAACAACAAUAGUACAAGUACAACCAGGAAGCAAUAACCAAACAUUUCACAACAAUUAUUCACAUAGUCAUACAAAGGGGCAAUCAGUUCCCCACAGUUUACAAACUCUCAUGCUGUCUCCUUUCACAUUUUCACAUUUAUCACUUCAUAAUUCAUAUUCAUAUCAAUAGUGAUAUUGGAUCACAUUUCCACCCUUAUUCCCUCGUCCACCCUUAUUACCCCGGCCACCUUUAUCACCCCAACCCACACCUUAUUUCACCGUGUUGUGGCGCGCAACCCGACCCCGCCUGACAGUUUUCAAUUCACAACGACAAACAGCACAACAACAUGUAUAAGAAAUCAACCAUGGCACUUUGUUAGAAUAAUUCCACAACAAGGGUACUAAAAUCCCACAACUAGCAACAACAAUUUUCCUCAUGUUUAUCAAAGUUGAUACACAAUUUAGAUCAUCACAACAGCUAUUCACAAUUACUAACACGCGUUGUUCCACAAUAUUUCAGUUUCCACUGUUCAACAUUAUUUCCAUUCCCGCUAUUCCACAUUAUUUAUGUUUCUGUUGUUCCAAUUACAAAUUCCACAACAUUCACUACAAGGUACCACCACACAAUUUGUACAAUACGAAAGCUUCAAAAUGGUUUUCAUAUGGAUAUCAACUAUCAACAGUUUCACAACUAGCAUAGGCUAUUUCACGAGGAUCACAGUUAGCCAUACAUACAUGGAAUUGAAUAUUCUCUUUAACCUCUACUCCAAUUCAUCAAGGAAUCAAGAAGGAUCAAUCUAGUUCAUGAUUAAUACAUAGACCUUUAGAAUAGGAAUUCACAAUUUAUUACCCAGUUCCCUUUUUACAAGAUUUUUAGGUUUUGAAGACAUGUGUGUGGAUUUCUAACAAGAUUUUUCAAAGUCAAAGUAUGGAACUCCCUCCCCAAACCUGAGUUUGAAAAUUAGGGGAAAAGAGUUAGGGAUUUUACCUUGAAAUCAGAGCGGAAGGUAGAUGCUCAAGAUUUUCCGGGCUUUGAUGAUUUUUGAAAGAUCAAUUGAUGAAGGAAUAGUUUUCUCUCUCUAUAACCCUCUCUUCCUCUCUUAUUUUGUUCGGAAAAUGGGCUAAAAAUGAGAGAUGGAGUGUUUUAUUAAAAGAGGGGUCGGGCUUAGAUUUUUUGAAAAUAACUGAGAGAACACGAUCCGCGAUGCCUAUCUGCUAUCGUAGAACUGACAUGUGGUCCGCAGAAUGAACCGCAGAAAUGACUCAAGUUUCAAACCACUCGGGUUGGGAAUGCGGUGACUAUGCGGUCCACAUUUGCGUUCUGCGGUCGCAGAAUGCACCGCAGAACUGACCUUCGAAUUUCUUCAGGGACAAUAUGCGAUCACUCUGCGGUCCGCAUAUUAAUUACGCGAUCUCAGAUUUGACCGCAUUUUCAACAUCAAAAUUUGGUUGCUCUCUAAUUCAUUUUGCGGUAGGAAUGCGGUCCGCAUAGCUGAUCUGCGACCGCAUUCUGAUCCGCAUAUUGAUUAUGCUAUCACAAAUUUGACCACAUUUUCAACAUCAAAAUUUUGUUGCUCUCUGAUUCAUUCUGCGGUAGGAAUGCGGUCCGCAUAGCUGAUCUGCGACCGCAUUCUGGAUCGCAUUUUGACACUUUUCUGGAAAAGUUAAUUCUUUCAAUUUAUAAAGGCCUAAAUCACUACCAAGGGUCUGAAACUCUACACAUUCAUUACACAUAAGAAGAGUAGACACCACGGUUUAAUAAGUUCUGAGAAAAAAUUAUUUACGGGACCUUACAUCCGGAGCAUCGAAACAUGGAAUACCAGAUAAACUCCUGCAAGGCUGGGAGGUAAGGCAAGCUCAUAAGCAACCUCUCCAACACGCCGCAACACCUCAAAGGAACCAAUACACCUUAGGCUCAAUUUUCACCAAUUUACGCAUCUCAUAACAACUUCAUAAUUAAAACCCGAGGCAAGACCUACUCUCCAAGCAUAAAUGAAACAUCGCUAACCUUCCAGUCUACAUAAAUGUUUUGUCUGGACUGAGUUGUGCAAAAUCUAUCAUGAAACACCUUAACCUUCUCCAAAGCAUCCUAAACCAAGUAUGUGCCCAAUAAUCUAGUCUCGCCCAGCUCAAACCAACCCACCAGGGACCUACACUGCCUACCAAACAAAGCCUCAUACGGUGUCAUCUGAAUGCUGGGCUGAUAACUGCUGUUGUAAGAAAACUUUUCAAGUAGCAAGAACUGAUCCCAAGAACCUCCAAACUUCAUCACAUAUACACGGAGCAUAUCCUCAAUAAUCUGAAUAGUGCGCUCGUACUGUCCGUCCAUCUACGAGUGAAAUGUUAUGCACAAUUCCACCCGAGUACCCAACUCAUGAUAUACGGCUCUAUUGAACUGUGAUGUAAAUUAAGUGCUCCAGUAUGAGAUGAUAGGUACCGGCACGCCAUGAAAUCUGAUAAUCCAACAGAUAUAAACUCGAGCCAGCUAUAUCAAGCUUCCACUGAGUUCGUGGGGACCCAACAAUGAAGCCCAUAGUGAUCGCUCCCAUUUCCAACCCGAAAUAUCUAACUUCUGAGGCAAGCCACUCGGUUUAUGAUGCUCAUACUUAACCUGCUGGCAAUUUAAACAUCGAGCAACAUACUCUACUAUGUCUUUCUUCAUUCAACGUCACCAAUAAUGCUAUCUUAUCUCGUGAUAUAUCUUCGUGGCACCCAGAUGAAUAGAGUACCACGAGUUGUGAGCCUCUUUAUGAAUCAACUCAUGUAUCCCAUCUACAUUAGGCACACAUAGCAUGCAUUGCAUCUUCAAAGCACCAUCAUCACCAAUAGUGACCUCCUUAGCUUCACUGCGCUGAAACAUGUCCUUAAGGACAAGCAGAUGGGGGUCAUCAUACUGACGCUUCCUGAUAAGAUCAUAAAGAGAAGACUGAGAGACCACACAAGCCAAUAUUCUACUAGACUAAGAAAUAUCCAAUCUCACAAACUGGCUGGCUAAGGAUUGGACAUCUAAUACUAUGGGCCUCUCAACUGCACGUAGAUAAGCCAAGCUCCCCAAACACUCUGCCCGGUGACUCAAAGCAUCGACCACCACAUUGGCCUUCCUCGGGUGGUACAAAAUAGUGAUAUCAUAAUCCUUAUGUAGCUCUAACCACCUCCUCUAACGCAAAUUAAGAUCCUUAUUCUCGAACACAUGCUGCAAACUCCGAUGAUAAGUAUAGAUCUCAUAAAGGAUACCGCAUAAAUAGUGCCUCCAAAUCAUAAAGGCAUGAACAAUAGCAGAUGACUCUAGGUCAUGGACAUGAUAGUUAUUUUCAUGUACCUUCAGCUAUCUGGACGUGUAGGCAAUCAUUCUACGGCCAUGCAUCAACACUGUGCCGAGGCCAACUCGCGACACAUCACAAUAGACUGUAUAAGACCUACGGAACUGUAGGCAAUAUCAAUACUAGGGCUGUAUUCAAGGUUGUAUUGAGCUUCUGAAAGCUCUCCUCAUACUCUUCCGUCCACCUAAAUGGAGCACCCUUCUGGGUCAGCCUAGUUAUAGGUGUUGCAAUAGAUGAGAAUCUUUCAACAAAUCGACAGUAAUAACCUACCUAACCAAGAAAACUCCAGAUCAUUGUAGCUGAGGAUAGUCUGAGCCAACUCUGUUGCUUCCAUUUUCUUCGGAUCCACCUUGAUCCCUUCACUAGAUACUAUAUGACCCAAGAAUGCCACGAAAUCCAACCAGAACUCACAUUUUGAGAACAUUGCAUAUAAUUUCUUUUCUCUCAAGGUGUGAAGCACUGUCCUUAAGUGCUGCUGAUGAUCUUCCCGACUCCGAGAGUACACCAAAAUGGCAUUAAUAAGGACAAUGAUGAACGAGUCAAGAUGUGGCUGGAAUACACUGUGCAUCAAAUACAUAAAUGUUGUUGGGAUGUUGGUCAUCCCAAAUGACAUAACAAGGAACUCGUAAUGACCAUACCGAGUCUUGGAAGUAGUCUUCGAGAUAUCUGGGUCCUGAAUCUUCAACUAAUGAUAACUUGAAUGCAAAUAAAUCUUGGAAAACACUCAAGCACCCUGUAAUUGAUCAAAUGGGUCAUCAAUACGAGGCAAAGGAUUCCAGUUCUUCACUGUAACCUUCUUCAGCUGGCGAUAAUCAAUGCACAUACACUUAAAACCAUCAUUUUUCUUCAGAAACAAGAUAGGAUCACCCCAAGGUGUCACACUUUUCCGAAUAAAGCCCUCAUCAAGAAAUUCUUGUAACUGUUCCUUCCACGCCUUCAACUCAGAAGGGGUCAUACGAUAAGGAGUAAUAGAGAUGGGUUGAGUGCCCGACAACAAAUCAAUGCCAAAAUUAAUAUCUCUAUCGGGCAGCACGUCCGGGAGAUUAGCUGGAAACACAUCAGGGAAAUCCCUCACUAUUGGGACUUAAUCAACUAUAGGGGUAUAAGUACUAACAUCUCUCAGAUAAGCUAGAUAUACGUCAUACCCUUUCUCAACCAUUCACUGAUCUUUAAGAAAUAAAAUAACUCUACCGAGAGUGUAAUUUAAAGUACACUUCAACUUUAAUCAUGGUAAACCUUGCAUAGCCAGCAUCACGGUCUUGGCAUGACAAUCAAAGAAUGGGGCGACAACAACUCCAUGCCUAUGAUAACAUCAAAAUCUACCAUGACGAGCAAUAAUAAAUUGGAUCUAUUCUCAAAACCACUAAGAGCAACCAAACACGACCGAAAAAUACGCACCACAAAAAGAGAUCUCCCACAGGGGUAGGCACAUAAAUAUGAGAACUCAAAGAAUCUCUAGAAACGCCUAAAUAUUGGGCAAAAUAAGAGGACAAAUAGGAAUAAGUGGAGCCUAUAUCAAAUAGAAUUGAUGUAUCUCUAUGAUAGACCGGAACAAUAUGACUACUGACAGAAUCGGAAGAAACAACCUCGGCAUGAGCAGGAAUGGCAUAGUAUCUGGCCUGGUUGAUAAUUAUGGAUUUUAGUCUAUCUUAUCCUCUCUUUUACGUAGGUUUUGGAUCAAAAUCUGUAAAAGUAUUCCCGAAAAUUGACUUAAUAAGCUUGUCUUUAGGGUUUGGUCAAAAUGAUGCAAAGAAGCCAAAGUAAACUCAUGAAUAAUAAACUUGGACAGGUUAAAGACAGGGAACUGGAGCAUUCAACAUGACGGAAAUACGCGGCAGCGUGAGGACCACUACUGAGGCAUUCACAAAUACGCGGUCCGCAAAAACAAAGUUCAGAGAACCUAAUUUAAGCAGAAAGUAUACCGAUUAUUGCGAUGGAAAAUCACGGCCACAAAAUAUCUAACGCGGGCGCGGUGGCAUUUCCGCUGAGAAGGUGAUUGAAGUUCAGAGACUAUACAAGUUGAGCUUGACUGAGGAAUAUUGUUCGCGUCCAAAUUGUGCGGCCGCAGUUAAAGCUAAUGCAGAGGCAGUGGUUUUACGUUAUCUGCAAAACCAUGUCUAGACCAAGUACUGAAUUAAAGAAACAUGGACCGCGCUCAUUAUUGCGGCCGCAGUAGCACAACCGCGGGUGCACUCACUUUUAUGCCUCCGCGAAUUCUCUGCAGGGGCAUUUUUGUUAGGAAUUUUCAAGUGUGUAUAAAUAGAUCUUUUUUAGAUUUUUAGGUUAAGUUUUAUUUAGGAGAGCACGUGAAUGGCUGGUUUUGACAUUUUUGAAUAAUUGUAGGGUAGAGUUCCCUUCAAACUUUAGAAUUUCAUCUCCUAGUUGAAUCUUACGACUUAUAUUUCAUAUUUAUCUUUGACUUCUGUUGUUAUUAUGAGUAGCUAAACCCAUAUCUAGGGUUGUGACCAAACCCUAGUUUAGGUAUUUAAUGGGUCUUGAAUUUUAGGGCUUAAUUAUUUAUGGGUUAGUGAUAUUUAGCUUGAUUCAUGCUUUAAUUAGAGAAUUGGUGGUUGCAAACAUUGAUUCGUGCCUUUAUAACUUAGAUUGAUCUUGAGAAAGAGGGACUAAGUUUAGGAAAAUUAGACUAACAAGGAAUUGGGGUGCAUUCAAGAGAUUGAUAGCUCCAAUUAAAGGGUUAAACCUAGAAAUAGUAAUACCAACCUUAUCCAAUAUCAUAUGUUAUGCAUGAAUACCCAUUUGGACUUGAGAAAACCAAAUUGGGCAAAGUCACUCAAACUACCGAGAGGUAUAGAGUGAGCACUAAUGUGUGAUGGUUAUAUCACGACCCCAAUCAUAAUAAGCUUUCCUUGAAUUCUCGAUACCCGCUAAAUACCCACCUAGGUGGAAGACACUGCCUUAGUCCCUUUUAAUCCUUGAAACCAACCAUAAAAAAUAUUGUACUUAGAUUAUUUUCAACAAUUAAUAACAUUGAAUGUAGAAUAGAAACAAAUCAAAGCAUGGUUAGAAGUGAAAUUAAAACAAAACGUAUAGCUAGAUUAGAUAGCAACCCAAUUCCCAGCCAAUAUUAACUCCUUGUGGAUAUCGAUCCCGACCUUUCGGGUAAAAGCUGCAUCGACCUCUCCUCGCCAUUAUUUAGUGGUGCAGGGUUGGAACAUAUUACUUUUCGCCGCCGUUGUCGGGGAAUUAAAUUGUUAAGGUUAUCUAUUUGACUAGUUGUUAGUCUUGUUUUUAUUUCCUUCUAUUUUACUAACCUGAGUGAGUUAAUCAAUUCAGGUACAAAAUAGCAAAUAAUGAUCCUCUCGAAAAUGUUCUGCCAGGGAGGAGGUAGAUAAUAAUGCUGAAGAUGAUGUGCCUAUAGUACCUCAAGCUCAAAAGGAUGCCGCCAGGCAAAUGAAAACAUUCCAGACCCUCCCCAGCUCCUCCGCGAGUAGCGCCUCAUGUGCUUCCAGAUGAAGGUUAGGGAAGUGCAAUUGUCCCACCCCGGAUCUGGACGGGCAAUUUCCACAUUACAAAUGUCAUAUUGACCUUAUUGGAGCAAAGAGGGUAUUUCAUAGGCACUCCCCAUCAGAAUGCAUAUAAACAUCUAAAGUGCUUUUGGAUACCUUCUAGGGAAGCAAACAGACAAAUAUGUUCGAAGAUGCAUUGAGAUUGAGAUUGUUCCCUUUUUUACUUAAAGGGAAAGCUUUGGACUAGCUCGAAAGACUCCCCAAUAAUUCUAUCACCACGUGGGAUGCGUUGGCAUACAAGUUUAUAGCCAAGUUUUCCUCACCAGGACAUAUGUCUGCAUUAAGGGAUAAGAUCUUAAGCUUUUAAAUAGGAGCAAAAAGAACCUGAUGUGUGGCAAUAAUUCAUGGUUUUGCACAUUAUAUGCUUUGAGUUUUACAUGCUUUAGUGUUUCUUAGUUACAUUUUUUUAGCAUAAUGGAAUCUAUUUUAUGUGAGGUGCCUCUGAAAUGUAAGUAGAUCUAAAAGGAUGCUUAAUGGUGAAAGUGCACUCGAGAAUGGUGAAAAGAAAAAGCCAGGCAAAAGUUAGCUCGACCAGGCUUUAUCCUGGAAAGGCUAGCUUAAAGCCAGGGCCAACGAGGCGUUAGCCUGGCGACGCUAGCUUAAAUCCAAGCUUCGCCAGGCAUUAGCCUUGUGAUGGUGGAUUGAAGCCAGGCAAAGGAUGGCGUUAACCAGGCAACGCAUGGCCUAAGUCCAGGCCCAUGCCCAGUUUUGAAGAUUUUAAUUAUUUUCCUGCUUGACUAGGAGUUGACAUACACGUUUAGGGCUUGUCCUAAACAUAUAAAUAGACCCAAAAAUGCCACAUUGAUGGACUUAUGCAAUCGGAGGCAAGAAUAGCUCAUGGAAAACUAUUUGCGAGUUAGAAUCAUUGAUGUCUAUAAUUUAAUUAUGCAAUUUACUUUUGAUAUUGUUACUAUGAGUAUGAGUAGCUAAAAUCAUAAUCUAGGGUUUUGGUAGAACUUGUUAUGAGUAGCUAAAAUCAUAAUCUAGGGUUUUGGUAGAACUUGUUGAGGGAUGAUUUUCUCGUUAUGUUAAUAUGGAUUUGCCAUAGUAUUAUCUCUGUUUGUUCAACUAUAUGCUUAUUGUUGUUGAUUGAAGGUCCCUCAAUUAACUUUUCCUAUUUAAUGUGAAUUACUCGAGGGAGAGUUCAUAUUAAUGUAGUUGUUGAACAUCAACACUCGUAACGUAUAUGAGGGAUCAAUAUGAAGGGUUUAAAAGUGAGAUUAGGGAUAACUGAACCUUGGAAGCGAUCUAAGUGAGUUGUACUUAAGGCUAGCUAGCCUAAUUCUAGAGAAUAUGUAUAGUAUAUUAUUUUAAUUGCUAGGGAGAGAGUUACUACAGUCAUAGUGCUCAUGAUUGAUAGAGAAGACUUAGGCAAAUUUAUAGCAAACAUAGUUGAAAGGAUUCCAACAAUAGGGGUAAUCAGAAUCUUAGAUCAUUCUAAUUCUUGUAUGCAAACCGUUAGUCAUUAGUUAUUGUUUAUGCAUUUUCAUUAUGUAAGAAUAGUUAAUAAACAUCCAAUCUUUUAAUUAAAUAUCUUCGAAUAUUGAAUACGUGAAUUUCUAUGAGUCCAAUUGUUUUGAUUGAUAGGUUAAUUCCCUACGGGAUUUGAUUCCAGACUUGUUAAUAAUAUAUUUACAGUGACCGCUUUGUCCUUUAUAUAAGCCACAGUAGGGCGUGAUCAAGCUUUAGCACUGUCGUAGUUGGGCGUGAUCAAAUAGAAGUUGACCUACACGCUUCGGGUUCAACCUAGAGAUAGUAAUACCCAUAGUUUUUUUUAUGUAUUCAUACCCAUUUGGACUUGAGAAAGCCAAUUUGGGGAAAGUCACUCAAAUUACCGUGAGGUAUAGAGUGAGAACUUAUGUGUGAUGGUUAUAUCACGAUCCCAAUCAUAACAAGCUUCCCCUAAAUUUCGUAUACCCGUAAGAUACACACCUAGGUGGAAGUCACUACCUUAGUCCCUUUUAAUCCUUGAAGACAACCAACACAAAUAUUGUACUUAGAUUAUUUUCAAUAAUCAAUAGCAUUAAACGUAGAAUAGAAACAAAUCCAAGCAUGGUUAGAAGUGCAAUUAAAGAAACACGUGUCGACGCCCCCUUUUUCUUAAGGAGAAAUCGGGUUUACUACAUUUGGCUGAAAUGACUCUUUUUCCCCUUUCGGAGAAUUUGGGUUAUGCAAUUUGGAGAGUCGCCACCUAACAAUUAUAGUGCAUUAGGACACUUUAGAGAAAAGAAGAAAAUUUUGAAAGAAAACCAGAGUUUGGGUAAUGGCUUGAGAUUAUCUCGAGGAGAAAGUGUUAGGCACCCCUCAAAAUCCACUAGUGUGGUUCCCGGCCUUGCUUAGUUAUGACUUCAAGAAGAGUAGGAGUGGACAACCAAAGUUUGCACAUAAAAAAUAUUAACAAAUUGGCAAUUUUUGAAAGAAUAAAGGCACAAGUGAAAAGGGAACUUUAGUUUGAAGAAAACACUAAUUUAAAUAAAGGAAAAGCAAGAAAAGAAAGGGUCCUAGGUUUAAUAAUAAUAAGGAUCAUUCGGUGCAAUACCCAGCAAUCAUUCUCACACGAGAUAUUAGCGCACCGUCAUCAUCGUAAGGUUCACACAUAGUAGUUAAAAAUAAGUUUGAAAGUUUAGGGAGUUGAAAAGAACAUAAAUGAUUUAAAAAAAAGGAAGGAUUAAUUGGAAGGAAACAUAAAUUUAAGAAAAAUAUUAUACAAAUAAAGAAAAGGGGUCCUAGAUUUAAAUACAACAUGGAUCACAUCGGUGCAAUACCUCGCACACACACUUCAGGAGAGAGGUCGCAUAUGAUAUUAGCGCAAUUGUCAUCAUCUACAUAUUCUACCUUUCCUACCCCAUUAAGGUAUUUAAAUGCAAUUAGUCUCGUUUACUUAUUGCAUGCAAAUACCCGUCCCGGCCUAUCAGGGCCGGGUAUUUGUACUUCUAAUCCUGAAAGGGAAGAAGUGGGAUAGAGGCGUAUAUAGAGUUUAAAAGGAUAAAAUACUAAGGCAUUAGUCAAAACAAAUAACAAAUAAGUGGGGUAAAAAGCAAACACUCAAGGCUCAUACAAACCUCAUAGAUCUCAAUAGCAAUUAGUUUAGUAUGACUUGCAUGUACUGAUUUGGUCUUUAAUUAAAGAAAUUAAGAGGCAUACGAAUCAGUUAAACUCAUAAAGAUGGAUACAAAGUCUGCAUCGAGUCCCUCGGGUCUGAUUGUUAGUUGAGGUUUUAAUGCAGAGGAGUUUGAAAGAAAGUGAAGACUGCAAUAAUUUUGUAAAUGGAUUUGAAAUCAGCAGACUGUUUGAGUAGAAAAAAUGCAGAAGAUAUACGAAAGAUUAUCAGAAGCAGGAACACCUUAAGAAAAGUGUGAGUUAUGGGACUAUUUAUUAAAAUAUAAUUUCAGGGACUGAGUAAAAUGUUUAGGCAGAAUGUUUAAAAAAGCAGAUUUGAAGAGUUUAAAAACAUACUGGUUUACAAGAGUUUUUAUUGAAAACGUUGUAUUAGGACAUUAAGGCCAGUUAACAGACUUUUAUUGCUUAAAAAGAAUCUGACAAGGUGAGACGGAAUCCUAUGGGCAGGUAUUUAUACCUGAUUUCAUCUGAUUCGUUACUGCUUUUAGAACAUUAAGGAACUGAGUAAUCAAUUAACCUACUAUUUGCCUAGCGUUUUAUGUGUUUCCUAUAGGCAUGUUUUCUAUGUGCUUACAAUGCAAAGUCUUACAGACAUGAUCUCCAAAUGAUUUUCACUAUUAAAAUCCUAUAGGCAUGGUUUCUAAAUGAUUUGCAAUAUUAAAGUCCUAUAGGCAUGGCGUCUAGAUGAUUUGCAAUAUUAAAGUCCUAUAGGCAUGGUUACUAGAUGAUUGAAGCAUGAAAGAUCCUAUAGACAGGAUUUCUAAAUGAUAUGCAAUAUUAGAAUCUAAUAGGCAUAGUAUCUAGAUGAUUAAAGCAUAAAAGAUCCUAUAAACAUGAUUUCUACCCAUUGACUUAUCCAAGCAAUAUAAACCCAUCUCACACCCUUUACUAAUAUUUUUCCCGAGUUAUAUUACAUAGUUAUUAUAAAACUGAAAAGAAAAAGACUGAAAUAAGUACAACUAAAUUAAAGUCAGACCCGAGGAGGCUCAAUGCAACCUUCAACAUCACACACAUAUGUUCCACCAAAUCCGAAUUCCAGAUUCCAAGGCCUUUUCUUUGAGUGUUUCAAAGUUCCAGGGGUCUUUCAGGAACCCAGGAAAUGCUUACACUUUAAAGAAUAAAUAUUGUAACGGAGUAGUACAAUGUGUGGAAUUACCAGCCCUUAGGCAUCUAAGUUCAGGAGGAACUCUAAGGUCCCUAAGCAUAACUAUAGGGGGGCAGAACUUGAAGAACUAAGAAUAAGUGUAAAGUGAGGGGAUUAGAGGAAACCAAAGCAAAGGGUGGUCAUACCCAGCCAUGGGUAAGACUGGCACACCCCUAACUCUCCACUUGGUUUUAAACAAAUAAAGAGCAGACUAGAGAAGUCAGACAGGGGCCUGGGUGGUGAUUAGGAUAAUUCCAAACCCUAGUCUUGGCUCAACACAUAAAAGGGGGAGAAGGGAAUGUGACUGAUUUGAGUAAAGGUCCAAGAGAACCUGGUCCCAGGUCAUGGAUAGCAAUAGGACGCUACAUUAACCUAGAACAGUACUCACACAUAAGGGGUCAGGGGGAAAGGGUUCACAUGGAAAAACAUGUAUAGAAAAACAUCAAGUAACAGAACUUAAAGGUGCAGAAGCAUGAAAAAACAACAUAACAGACUAGAACACAAUGACAUAAUGCGAGAAAGCUAAACGCAUAGUGAGGGACAUGCAAAAAGAGAAUUAAACACAUAUUUGUGGAGAAUGUUUAACUUAUGGGGACAUACCAGUUGAACCUUUCAAACAGCAGAAAAAACAAAGCAAAACAAUAGCCACAGAAUCUUCGGCAAACACUUGAGGAAAGCAAGAGAGAUUCCAAAGUCUAGCCUUGGUUUUCAGCCGGCUAGCCAGAACAGUAGCACAAGUAAUAGAAAAAAUUAGAGAGCUUUGAGUGUGUGUGUUUGUGUGUGUGUUUUGAACUCAAUUGUUCGUGUCUUUUAAAGAAAAGGAGUGAGGUUUUUAUAGUUGAAAACAUGCUGGUAAAUGAGGCAAGGAAUAGUUCACUAUCGGUCAUAAUCAAUCAGGAGAAGGGAACCCCUUUAAUUAAGGAGUUCGAAUCUGAAUAGGAGAGGGUAUAGUUUUUAUUUAAGGAAAGAAAAUCAAGAACACAUUAUGUAGUAAAGGGUAAAUACAUAAUAGAAGUAUUAAAAUACACGGUUUACAUAAAUAAGGUAAGAAUAAAAUUAAUUAACACAUAGUAAACUAAGGAAUUAAGGAUUCGAACUUAAUAAUGAAUUAAGUCAUAAAACCAGUCCAAAUUAAACAAGGAAAAAUUCAAAUAGGCACACAUAAUGGUGGUCUGAAAUCAACCCCCAAAAAUUAGGGUUAUUUUGAGAGGGAAAGGUCUGACUAUAAGGAUGUAUAUACUUAAACAUGCAGAGGCUAAAAUUAAACAUACAUAGUGGUCAUGCAAUCAAAAUAGAAGAACAUAGCUACAAAAGAAAUCGGAGGGUCUUGCAAAUCUUAGCAAGAAUCAGAGAACAUGAGACGAAUUUAGAGAUUAGGGUUUCUUGAAAUCAUACAGGAAACAACAUAAUCGCACAUAAGUGGUUUAAAAAACCCAAAAUUGUAGGGUUUCCUCCACAGAUUAAGUGUAACGACGUAAGCAUACAUAAUCAGGCAAAAUAAACUCAGAAAAAACCAAAGAACACAGACAUUUCAUGGAAGAAAACACAGUAAAGGAAGUCACUAGUAACCUUAGGAAAAUACAGUAAAGAAAAUACAUAGAAACUAUAGUGAAAACACUUAGGAACUAUAGAAAAGCAAAUAAUAUUGUAAGAAAUAGCAGUAGAACAAGUAAAAAAUCUAGGAAACACUAGGUUCGAGAAGAUGAACAGUUUAAAAGCAAAAAUCAGAAAAGAUGCAAAAAACUACUUUGAAAAUCUCAGAAAUAGCACGUAUCUAAAGUGGAUAUUUAGAGAAAACAGGAAAACCUCGAAAAUGGCUUAGGGUUUCAGAGAAACCUUAGGAAAAUGAUAAUGACCUGGAAAGGGCUGGUGCGAGUCGAGAUGAACUCGCAAGGCUAGGACACGCUGGAGAUGAGCCGGAGAUGGCCAUAGAACCUGAAUCGGAGGGAUUCUGAGCCAGAGUCUUCAAGGUCAGGCAUUGGUUCUUCGAGUAAAAAGGAGCAUAAAAGAACGUGGGGGUGAGUACAUGCCACCCGAAGCUUGGGAGGCCAAGGUUUCCGGCGAGAUAAGAUGGAAGCCGGUGAAAAAAGGGCUAGGAUUUCGGCGAAGACUUGAGAGGAUUUGGGAAUCAAAGGGUUUCAGGGGCGGCUGUUUGUCAGAAGUGAUUAGGGUUUGGGGUUUGGGCUGAGCUAAAAAGGAAAGGGUAAAAGUGGACCAUUGAUUAAAAUAAUCAACGGCAACGAUGUAAAAUGUGGUCCAGGCGAGUUUAUUUAAUUGUCUGGGUCGGGUAGAAAAUGGAAUUGGGUCAUUUAAUUAGGGGGUGGAUUGGGAUUGAAAUUGGGUUAUAAUUGAAAGCAAAAGAGGCUAUAAUUUAAAUAGCCAAUUUUUCCAUUUUGAAUUUAUAAAAAAUAGUAGAAUCUGUUUAAAAUCAAAUUAAAAAUACGAAAUUAAUAAACAAUAUGUAAAUAUUAGUUUUAAAAUAUUGGGAAUGAUUUUGUGGUUAAAAAUGCUAUUAAAUCGAGAAAUAGGAUAAAAUUGCAAUUUCAUGCAAUUUUAAUUUAAACCUUGUAAAAUUAUGUGAAAUCAUGAAAAUUAUAUUUUUGUGCAAAUGUAAGAAUAAAAAAAACAAAUUUUGGGAAUAAUUAUUGGAUAUUAUAGUGAAAAAUAGGCCAUAAAUUGGUUUUAAAAAUCUUAAACAAUUUGGGAAAAAUACCAAACCGUUGGGGAUGCGUAUGUAUGCAUAUACAUGCUGUUUUGAAAGUAUUUUAGUAUAAAAAUACACAGGAAAAAUUGGGUACCAAUAAUGCGCAUAGCUAGAUUAGAUAGAAACUCAAUUCCUAACCAAUAUUAACUCCAUGUGGAUAUCGAUCCCGACCUUUCGAGUAAAACCUGCAUCCACCACUCCUCACCAUUAUAUGGUAGUACAGGGUUGAAACAGAUUAGUUUUUGGCACCGUUGCCGGGGAGUUAAAUGGUUUUGGCUAUCUAUCUGACUAGUUGUGUGCCUUGUUUUUCUUUCCUUCUAUUUUACUAACUUGUGUGAGUUAAUCGAUUCAGGUACAAAAUGACAAAUAAUGAUCAUCUCAAAAAUGUUCUUCUGGGGAAGGAGGUUGCUGAUAAUGCUAAAGAUAAGGUGCAUGUAGUACCUCAAUCUCAAAGAAUAGGCCACCAGUCCAAUGAAAACAUUCCAGACCCUCCCCCAGCUCCUCCGCGAGCAGCUCCUUGGUGCUUCCAAAUGAAUGUUACGCAAUUGUAAUUGUCCCACUCCGGAUCCAGGCGGGAAAUUUCCAAAUUAGAAAUGUCAUGUUAACCUUAUUGGAGCAAAGAGGGUACUUCAUAGACGCUCUCCAUCAGACUGCAUAUAAACAUCUAAAGGGCUUUGUGGAUACCUACUGGGGAAGCAAACAGACAAAUAUAUCAGAUGAUGCAUUGAGACUGAGAGUGUUCCCUUUUUUUCUUAGAGGGAAAGCUUAGGAAUGGCUCAAAGUACUCCCCAAUCAUUCCAUCACCAUGUAGGAUGAGUUGGCCGACAAGUUUAUAGCCAUGUUUUUCUCACCGGGACAUAUGGCAGCAUUAAGGGGUGAGAUCUUAGCUUUUAAACAGGAGCCAAAUAAACCUGAUGUGUGGCUAUAAUUCAUGGUUUUCACAUUAUAUGCUUUUCAUACAUGAUUUAAUGUUAAAUUACAUUUUGAGUGAGUGUAAUAGAGUCUAUUUUAUGUGUAGGUGCAUCAAAAAAUAAAGUAGAGCUAAAGGGACGCUUAAACAAUAAAAGUGCACUCGAGAACAGUGAAAGUGCACUCGAGACUGGUGAAAAGGAGAAGCCGGGCAAAAGCCAGCUCAACCAAGAUUUAUCUAGGAAAGACCAACUUAAAGUCAGGCCCAACUAGGUGUUAGCCUGGAAAUGCCAACUUAAAGCCAGGCAUUAGCCUUGAGAUGCCAGCUUAAAGCCAGGCAGAGGCGGGCGUUAGCCAGAUGACGCUAGACCUAAGCCCAGGCCUAGGACGUGUUUUAAUGGCUUUAAUUGUUUCCCUACUUGACUAGGAGUUGACCUACACAUUUAGGGCUUGUCCCAAACAUAUAAAUAGACCAAAAAUGCCACUUUGAAGGACUUAUGCAAUCGGAAGAAAGAAUAGCUUGUGGAAAAUUACUUGGGAGUUAGAUUUAUUAAUGUCUACAUCCCUUUGUCUUUACUCUAUAAUUUAAUUAUGCAAAUUACUUUGGAUAUUCUUACUAUUGGUAUGAGUAGCUAAACUCAUAAUCUAGGGUUUUCGAUGGAACCUGUUAAAGGAUGAUUUUCUUGUUAUGUUAAUAUGGAUUUGUCAUAGUAUUAUCUCUAUUUGUUAAACUAUAUUCUUAUUGUUGUUAAUUGAAUGGCCCUUAAUUAACUGUUCCUAUUUAGUGUGAAUUACUCUGGAGAGAGUUCAUAUUUAGGUAGUUAUUGAACAUCAUCACUCCUAACGUAUAUGAGGGAUCAUAUGAAGUGCUUAAAGGUGGGAUUAGGGAUAACUAAACCUUGGGUGCGAUCUAAGUCAGUUGUACUAAAGGCUAGCAAGCGUAAUUUGGGAGAAUAUGUCUAGUAUAUUAUUGUAAUUACUAGGGAAAGAGUUGCGACAGACAGAGUGCUCAUAUCAAUAGAGAAGACUUAGGCAAAUAUAUAGCAAACAUAGCGGAAAGGAUUCCGACAAUAGGGGAAAUCAGAACCUUAGAUCAUUCCAAUUGUUGUUCACAAACCGUUAGUAGUUAUUUAUUAAUUAUUGCAUUUUCAUUACGCAAUAAUUAGUUAGUAAACAUCCAAUCUAUUAAUUAAAUAUAUCUAAAGAUUGAAUACGUAAAUCUCUAUGAGUCCAAUAGUUGUGAUUGAUAGGUUAAUUCCCUGCGGGAUUCGACUCCAGACUUGUUAACCGAAAUAUAUUUGCAAUGAUUGCUUUGUCCUUUUUAUAAGGCAUAGUUGGGCGUGAUCAGAACCCCUUCAUGAAAUCUGGGAGAGAUAUAGAACGAUGAUGAAGAAUUUCCCUAACAAUUAUAUGACCAAAUUAAUGAUCCAACAGACAUUUUAUCAGGGUAUAAACAUGACCAAUCAAUGGGUGGUAAACCAGCAAACAUGGGUACUUUUAUAAAGAUACCUUAUGCCGAGGCCUGUGACAUUCUUAAUGAGAUGGGUGACACUCCUCAGCCUGGUAGAGUAGGGAAAGUGUUCCUCAAGGGGACCUCAUGCCAUAAAUCUUCAUCGGGAACUAAAAUGCACAAGCCAUAGUUGAAUUGAAAACAACCAUGAAACAGUUAGUCAAAGCACAGCUUCAGCAGAUUCAGGGACCAAAGCAAAUAAAUGCAAUGAAAGGGGUUAAUCUAUUGGUAAGCAAGAGGAGAUAACAUGGUCAACAAGUGCAAAGCAAUCGAGAUCAAUAUGAGAAAAGUGGAAGUGGCUACAACUGAGAUGACUCGUAUGAUGAUCAAAGUGAGGAAGUUUAUGCCAACAACUAUCAAGGACAAUGGGGAAUUGCUCCAAAUAAACAAUGGAUAUCGCAAAGGAAUAAUCAGAGUUAGGACAACCAAGGCUAAGGAAAUUGGAAUAAUAACAACAACAACUCAAACAAUUAGGGGAACAACAACCAAAAUUGGGGUGCAAUAAUAAUUGGAGUGGCAACAACAGAAACGGGUGGAAAUGGAAAUCGAAGGUGGGGCUUUCAAAGUCCCAAGAUGUAUCAACAAUCAAACAAUCCACCUCCAUUUCCGUCUCAAGCUCCUAGCUUGUCAAACAAUAAGAUGGGACAAAUUGAGUCAAAGUUUGAGAAAAUGAUGAAGAAAAAUGCCGACUCUGAUGCCCAAUUAGCAUCCCAUAAUACUUCUAUCUGCAACUUGAGGUCCAACUGGGCCAUAUUUCACAAGCUUUGAACAUUCUCCCUAAGGGGGAACUACCGAGUGACACAGUAGUAAAGCAGAAGGGUGGCAACAAUACCAGCCAUGCAAUGGCGGUUACCAAAAGGAGUGGUAGAGGUGGUCAAGCAAGUACCUCAUAGCAAAAGAAAGUUGUGAGUGAUGAUGUUUAAGUGAAAAAUGACGAUGAUCCAAUAUUUGAUGAGCAAGUGAGUGAAGAGAGUUUUAAUAGUUAGGUAAGAACUGAUCUUCAUGACAAUGAGGAGGAGAUUCAAAAUGACAUGAACCCGUAUAGGGAACACAUGAUAGACAUACUAGAAAUGGUAAUGACUAAAGUCAAGGCUCCUUUGUCAAGGCCUAAUCCGCCUUGCCUUAAUAGAAUUGCAAAGAAAAAGAAUGAAAACCAAUUCAAGAAGUUUAUUGAGAUGAUGAAAAUCUUGUCAAUCAAUGUGCCCUUGGUGGAAGCUCUUGAGCAAAUGUCGAGUAUGCGAAGUUUAUGAAAGACUUGGUAAAUAAAAAGAGAUCUAUGGAUUGUGAGUUUAAAUAAUGACUCAUCAAGUGAGUGCCAUUGGGCACUCGAUGGCUCCAAAUCUUGAAGAUCCGAACGUAUUUACCAUUCUAUGUACCAUAGAGAGUGCGGAUUUGGAAAAGACCUUGUGUGAUUUGGGAGACAGUAUAAAUUGGAUGCCUUACUAUGUAUUCAAAAUUUUGGGUAUUGGUCAACUCAGAGAUACUUCAAUGAGAUUGCAAAUGGCGAAUCAAACAACAAAGAGGCCUCUUGCAAUUAUUGAUGAUGUUCUUGUCCGGGUUGACAAGUUUAUUUUGCUUGGAGAUUUAGUGAUUCUUGACUUCAAAGUCGACUAUGAGGUUCCUAUAAUAUUAGGAAGGCUCUUCCUAGUUACAUGGAAGGCUUCGGUUGAUUCGAAAGCAGGGGAGCUCACCUUCUGGGUGGGUGAUGAAAAAGUUAUGUUCCAUGUCUGCAAAUCAAUGAGGCAGCCCAAUAGCAACAAAGUAUGUUCCUAUGUUGAUCUUGUGACCGAGGUGAUUAUUGAAGAUACCAGUGUUGUGAUAAAUGUAGAGGACCCUUUGGAAGUUGUUUUGUUGAACCAUGAUAUUAUUGAGGAUGAAGGCUUGGCAGAGUAUGAAAAUGCUUUGCAAGGAAUGGGUUCUUACACAUGUGAGCCCGAGAAACUUUUCUUGGAUCUUGAGAACCGAAAGACUCCACCAAUAAAGCCCUCAAUCGAUGAACCUCUCAUAUUGGAGUUGAAGCCUUUGCCUUCACACCUCAGGUAUGAAUUUUUGGGUUUUUUUUCAACUUUACUUGUUAUUCUUUCUUCGUGCUUAACUAACAUGUGGGUAGAUGCCACCCUUGAGGUGCUCCAAAGAAGAAAGAAGGCAAUUGGAUGGACUCUAGCUAAUAUUUGGGGGAUAAGCCCCUGCAUUUUGCAUGCACAAGAUUAUACUUGAAGAUGAAUCCAAACCCUCCAUAAAACAUCAAAGGAGGUUAAACGAGGCAACGCAAGAGGUCCUCAAGAAGGACAUUUUCAAGUGGCUAGAUGUUGGGGUUGUGUACCCCAUUUUGGAUAGUUCAUAGACUUCGCCGGUACAAUGUGUGCCAAAUAAUCAAGGUAUGGUUCUGGUCGCAAAUGAGCAAAAUGAGUUGAUCCCCACUAGGACUGUCACCGGAUGGAUGGUAUGCAUGGAUUACCAAAACCUGAACAAAGUGAUCCGAAAAGAUCAUUUUCCAUAACCCUUUCUUGACCAAAUAUUGGGUAGACUUAUCGCGCGUUCCUACUAUGGAUUUUUGGAUGGGUACUCAGGUUACAACUCGAAUUUGAUUGCACAAGAAGACCAAGAUAAAACCACCUUCACAUGUCCAUAUGUCACAUUUGCUUUCUCACAUAUGCCAUUUGGUUUAUGUAAUGCACCAUCUACCUUUCAGUAGUGUAUGUUGGCUAUAUUUAUGGAAAUGGUGGAGGACUUCUUGGAAGUGUUCACGGAUGAUUUUAGUGUUGUGGGUGACUCCUUUGAAGAAUGCUUGAAUAAUCUUGACAAGGUAUUGUCUCAAUGUGAAGAGAUCAACCUAGUGCUUCAUUGGGAAAAUUGCCACUUUAUGAUCGAGAAGGGCAUUGUCCUCGGCCAUAAGAUCUCAAAGAACGCUAUCGAAGUGGAAAAGGCAAAGAUUGAAGUGAUUUCAAAACUCCAUCCUCCUACUUCCAUCAAAGGAGUGAGAAGCUUUCUUGGGCAUGCGGAGUUCUACCGAAGGUUCAUCAAGGACUUCUCAAAUAUGGUGAAUCCCUUGUGCAAAUUGUUGGAAGAGGAUGAAAAGCUUGUGCUUAAUGAUGAUUUCAUGAAAGGUUUUGAGCUUCUCAAGUAUAGAUUGACUACCACUCUCAUCAUCACCGCACCCAAUUGGAGCUUUCCAUUGAGCUCAUGUGUGAUGCUAGUGGCAUUGUGGUAGGAGUGAUUUUGGGGCAAAGGAUCAACAAAAUAUGUCAUCCAAUCUACUAUGCAAGCAAAAUGAUGAAUGAUGGCUAAGUCGAUUAUACAAUGACUGAGAAAGAGUUACUAGCCAUUAUCUUUGCCAUGGAAAAGUCCAGGUACCAAAGGGAUUGUGCAUACGAUCACACAGCACUCUAUUAUUUGAUGACAAAGAAGGACUCUAAGGGUAGGUUGAUGAGAUGGAUUCUUUUGCUUUAAGAGUUUGACCUCGAGAUUACUGAUCAAAAAGGGUGUGAAAAUCAAGUGUCGGACCACUUGUCCCGCUUCGAGGAGGAGAGGGCCCAUGAUGGCCUCGAAAUUAAUGAUUCGUUAAUGGAUGAGCAAAUCCUCUCCAUUUCUUUGAAAAGUAUGCCCUUGGUUCGCCGAUGUGGCAAAUUUUCUUGUGACCGGCAUUAUCCCGAGUGAUCUCUCUUCUAACCAAAGGAAGAAGCUUAAACGGGACACCUUGGAUUAUUAUUGGGAUGAGCCAUAUUGUUUGAAUAUUUGUAAUGAUAGUGUGAUCCGGAGAUGUGUUCCAAAAGAGGAGAAAAUGAGUAUUCUUGAGGCCUGUCAUUCCUCGCCCUACAGUAGUCAUCCUCGUGGGGAAAGAAUUGCUCCAAAGGUUCUUAGCUGUUGAUUUUAUUGGCAUGUUCUAUAUAAAGAUGCAUGUGAUAUUGUAAAGAGAUGUGAUGAGUGCCAGAGAACUAGUGUAAUUUCCAAUAAGGAUGAAAUAUCUCUCAACACUAUUCUUGAGAUUGACACUUUUGACAUGUGGGGCAUUGACUUCAUGGGACCAUUUAUGAGUUCAUAUGGUAACACUUAAAUUUUUGUUGUUGUUGAUUAUAUUUUCAAGUGGGUUGAAGUUGUGGCUUUGCCCAAUAGUGAAGCACGGAGUGUGGAGGCAUUCUUAAAGAAAAAUAUCUUCACAAGGCUUGGCACUCCAAGGGCGAUUAUCAAUGAUGGGGUUUCUGAUUUUUGCAACAAGGACUUCGAUACUUUACUCUCCACAUAUGGUGUCAAUCAUAAAGUGUAAACCCUUAUGAUCCCCAGGCGAUUAGACAAGUUGAGGUCUCCAACAUGGAGAUAAAGAGCAUAUUAUCAAACACUAUCAAUGCAGACCAGAGUGCUUGGUCAAAGAAACUGGAUAAUGAUUUAUGGGCCUACAAGACUGCAUACAAGACUCCAAUUGGUAUGUCUCCGAACCGGUUGGUAUUUGGGAAAGCAUGCCAUCAUUUGGUUGAGUUACAGCAUAAGGCCAUGUGGGCGCUGAAGAAGUUAAACCUUGAAUGGGUUGUCACUGCAAAUCUCCAUGCGGAGCAACUAAAUGAACAUGAUGAGUAUAGGUUUCAUGCCUAUUCCAUCUCGUCCUUGUAUAAUGACAAGAUGAAGUACUUACAUGAAAAAUAUGUCUGGAGCAAGGAAUUCAAGGAGGGUGACUUGGUUCUUCUAUUCAACUCUCGGUUACGACUGUAUUAGGGAAAGCUCAAGUCAAAAAGUAGUGGCCCUUUUGAAGUGGUGCAUGUAACUCCAUUUGGUGCCCUUGAUUUGAAAAACAAAAAUGGUGAAAUCUUCUGAGUUAAUGGACACCAAGUGAAGCACUAUCUUGGCAAGUUUGAUGACAACCACGUGGUGGUAGUGAUCCAUUUCAAGUGACUGAUGGUAACAUGCAUCGUGUCACGAUGUUAAAUCAACCACUUCUUGGGAGAAAACACAUGUGUUUUUCUUUCUUUUUAAUUUUUUCUUAGUGUAGGCUAUGUUUUGGACUAACUGAUUGUGAAGUUUGUGUAGGAACUAUUUGUGCAGUGCAGGACUGUUGCUAGGAAAAAUUUUCCUAAGUGUAAGAAUUACGCUUACCGUGUUCAAAUUUCACAGUUAGCGGGUGCUUUUUGCGGGGGCGUAAAUGGUCAAUGGAUGCGGACUUGAAAAUUCUAGAAUAGCAACUCUCUGAAGUUAUAUUCGCGUCCACGGUUGAAAUUUUGCAGUUCGUGUUACUCUUUUGCAGUCGUGCUUGUUUUUCGCUCUCAGUGGUUGUUGCUUGGUAACAACCUUUCAAAAAGGUGAAAGCGCGGACUGCGAUGGAAUUCCACGGGCCGUGCUUGGGUAAGUCUGUAGGCCCUUUUACUUUUAGAAUAAAUAUAAGGUCUUUAGAACUUUUACUGUUUUCGAACCACUCACUCACACUCUCAUAAGAAAUAGAAUAUUGUUCACUUUCCUCAGAUCUGAUCCUAAUUUCAUAGAAUUAAUCAGGAGUUAGUUUCCACCAUAAAUCAAAUAACCGGUAUGCUCAAAUCAUCGCAUUGCUUUUAUAUUUUUGCUAUCCUUUUCUCUUCAUUUUAACUUCUCAUUUUUAAUUAGGGUUUGAUUACUUCCUAUAAGCUAAUCAUUAAUGCUAAAAAAUUCAUGUGGGUACUUGUUAUGCAUGCCUAAUGGGUAAUAUGGUUGUUCAUUAUGCUAAAAAGUGAAACCCUAGGUCUAAGAGGAGUUUAAAAUGCCCGCCUGGUUUCAAAUUUCGUGGACAGCGAUCCAAAUUACGUUGUCUACGUUCAUGAUUUAUGAGAACUGACUUAAUUAUAGGUUCGAGGACACGGUGCUUUUUCCCCGAUCCGCAGUUGCCUUUACGCAGCUGCGCCAAAUUUUUCGCGAUCAGUGUUAAAAAGUUUCAAAGAAUUGGUAAAUUGUAUAUGCGGCCACGUUCGCUUUUACGCGGUACGCGUUGCAUGUUUCGCGGUUGCGCCCCUUUUUCUGCUGUCAGCAGCACCUUAACUUCAGAGACUAGGUAGUCUGAUCCCCAGCCUUUAACGGCCAUGCUCCUUUUUACACGAAUCGCAUUGGCCUUUUCGUAGCCGUGCUUGUUUUUUUUGCGGUCUGCGGUGCUUGAUUUUGAAGAGCAGUAUAUGCAAGUCAUCUAUAAUGUUUUAUUUCCAUCUGCAAUGUUUUAGUUUCAUCGGUAUGCUUAACCAUAUGAUUGUUACCUUGUUAUGGCUUUGUUUCAUGACUUGUUCUCUGAAAAUAAUGGUCCGAUCUAAAGGCGGAAGUGAAAAACAAAAAGGCAUAGUAGAAUCCACCCGAGGCAGGGGAAAAGGAGGUCAAGAAAGGACCAAGUUACCACUAGUGCUCAAAAAAUCUAUAGGGAAGAUUGGGGAACCAUCAAAGCUACAGACAAAGCCGCAUCUUAUUCUGAAGGUAGUGAAUAUGUCCCUUCUCGGGAAGUUUCAGAAGGAGACUUGGUGCCAACCCAUGUUCCCUAUAGACUUUCAAGAGAAAUUCCAGUUGAGAGAUGAGCAUACACCCUCUUCUUCUUCUGAGUUGUCUGAUAGCUCAGAGGAAAGUAGUGAGGUUUCAGCAUCAGCUUCCCUACCUACUACAACUUCGGCCUCACCAGCGGAUCCUAUAGAUGUUGAUGUUGAGAUACCAGAUGACGAGAGAGGAGUAACACCAAAGUCGGGGGGGUUGGCAAGAUCUAGAAAAGUUGUAGUUUGGGAGGAAAGAUUUGUUAGUGAAAAAGCCUACCUCAAAUUUCAGGAAUGGUAGCAACAGAGUUCGCUCACCCUCGAGAAGGAAUUCAAAGGAAGGGAUCUUCUACCCCACAAUUCUAUUGUGAAGAGGUAAUUUGAUAAAAGAGUGGGGUGUAAAUUAUUCAUGAGCAAACUGCUGGAGGCGAAUGAACUUUUAGUUAAAGAAUUCUAUGCCAACGUGGCACACAUCAAAAAGGGCAUCUAUGUAACCAAGGUGUGGAAUCGAAAUAUCAGAUUUGAUAGCAAGAAGCUGAGUGAAUAUGACGGGUUAGAUGAUGUGGAUGAAUCCUUGUACUUGGAUAAAGUGGCAUCAGAUAAGGAAGCCCAUCCAUGGCUUGCAGAGGUGAUAUCCAUUCCCGGGACAUCACCGGCUUGGCUUACACCUUGGGUCCACAGAGCUAGAAACACUCUAAGCUUUGAAGCGAAGGGGUGGUCUACUUUUGUGUGCAACUGGUUAGACCCUACUACACAUGACAGUGAUAUGCUGGUCUCCCGAGCUAUUGUUGUGGGGGCUAUCAUGGUGGGGUACCUGAUAAAUGUCGGGAAUAUUAUGGCCAAGGUGAUUACCAGAUCGGUUGUCAAAGAUGAGAGCUCACAUCCUUUCCCAAACUUCCUCACCAUGUAUCUAGAGGACUAGGAAGUAUAAGAAAGGGACUUUAACACAAAGAUGAAGCCAAAAAGGCCCUUCUCUUGGUACAACCUUCAGGGAGCAGACAACCCCAAGUCCAAAUGCAAAGCCACUACCUCUGUUAGCUAGUUUGAAGAACCAAGGGUAGUGGACACUAGUUUCGAGCCUUCCACAGUUGAAGGUUCUUCUGCUGUUAUGCUACCUCCAUCAUCCAGCCUUUCUAUCACAGCCCCAUUGGUUGUGCCCCCCACCUAAGCUUACCCUCUAAUUGCACUGCGGGCCCAUCAAACUUUAUCCAGCAUCAACAAUUAGAUACAGAAGCUACAUCAAAGCUAUCUGCCUUAUCAGUGCAGUCACAACUCAGGCAGCUCCAACAAAGCCUCAAGUUCCUGCUUAAGUGGAGGAAUCACUAAAGGAGCUUCUAGACAACCAUAAGAAGCUCUGUGACAACCAGAAGCUUGUCAUGGCCACAUUGGAUGCACAAGGAAAGGCAAUCAAGGACCUGGGCAAACAAACAAAAAAGAUAAAGAAGAUUCGGGCCUCAAAGGAGUCAGUAAAGAUGCUGAGGAAGGAAGUAGAGAGGAUUACAUCAGCUGGAGACAUCCCACUAGACUUACUCUUGGAGGAGCAAGUUCCAUCAACAUAGGCACCAGAGCAAGAGGCUGACAGAAAACCUAUAAGAAGAUUUGCGGUACCCAGUCCGAGGAGUUGGAGAUACAGUUAGAGGAUCCAAAGAGAGAGCCGACCCUACUAAUGUGCAGGACUUGAUGCAAACCACAUAGGGAAUUUUCUAUACUCUCUAUCCCUUAUUAAUCUUAUUUUUUCUUUUAGCAUUGAGGACAAUGCUAGCUUUUAUUUGAGGGGAUGGUCCUGUUUUGAUUUGAUGACUGGAAAGUAAUUAUGAUACUUAUUUUUCUUUAUCGUUAUUUUUCACUUUGGAAUGUAUAUAAUUUUACCAUUAAUUUUUUUACUUUUGUUAUUUUUCACUUUUGGUAUGUAUAAAAUUUACCAUGUAUUCAUUCCCAUUAUGUAUUUAUUUAUUUAUUUCCACUAUUGUACAUAUUCGUUUUACUUUCCCUACUUUACUUUAUAACUUCUUGUGUUCUUUUUCCUUAAUAGCAUAGUUAUUUUACUUCCACUAAUAGCUUCUUUUUGAGUUCUUAGCUUCAUGACCAAUAAGUCUUUGGUUAUCUAAUACCAUGGUUCUUUCCAAAGGUGGAGGUUGUGUGAACCGGGUGGUUCUUCCCGAUGAUGGAUGGUGCGACAACCUUCUUAAGGGUUUGAGUCCGUUUUCUUUAUGUUUUUGUAUAAAUAGUAGUAAUGAAUAAAAGUGUCUCAAGCAAGCAUCACUUGGGUCUAACACAUUCACCUUUGAACUUAUGGCUAGAAAUAAGUAGAUUUUCAAAAAAUGAUGCUAGUUGUGACCUUUAGACACUUGUGUUGGUUAAACAAUCAUUAAGUGGCUUCUUGGAACCAUUUGUGUUGAUCAAUCUUAGCUAGGGUUGUUGUGGGCCCUCGACUACAAGACUCGUGAAGUGGGGUAUUGAUUUUCAAGUCCAAGUCUCGUGCCAAUAAGUCUAGAACUUUCCCUGAAUGUUUGUCUAGGCGAUAUUCUAAGUGUAGCUCUACUUGAAAAUGAUUAUAGGCUCUCCUUGAUCCAAGUUGAAACUUGAAAGCAUCCGUAGCCCACCAAAUAUGAUAUCCAUAUUCAACCCUAUUGAGCUGAAGCCAUUAUUCUUUCGAUAACCAUGAUACAAGCCUUUAUCCAUUCUAAAAUGACCCUCUCUUGGCACCCGAUAUUUCCUUAGCACAAUUGGCAAAAGCAUAAGUUUGGGGGAGAACGAGGAAUGCAAAAGUGAUAAAAGGUACAAAAUGAAGAAAAGGGAAGGGCAAAGAAAAGAAAUAAAAUCCAAAAAGUCAAAAAGAAAGUGAAUAAUAUAGAAAAAUGAAAGGAUUUAAUGAAAGCAAUGAUGAAAGGCUUGGAAUGAUUAGAAAGGAAAACAAUGAUUGCCAUGAAUAAGAAGGAGUGAUAGUGUGUCUCUCUAGUCUCCAAAGGAAGCAGAAAAUGACUCAAAGAGUCAAGAAAGUGUGAGACGAAAUGAGAAAAUGAAGUGCUUAAGGAAAGAUGAAACCUUCAUCAAAUGAUAUACCCUACCUUGAACCAAAAGCCUUCAUUACAUUCCCACAAAAUCCCUAUAUAAUUUCGAGUUGAGUGAGCUUACAUUAGUGGUAAUUUACAUAAGGGGAAAUCUUAUGGUAUUUAGAGUCGUACUAGUGACCUUCCUUUGAGAGAGAUGAGCAUACUUUUCCACAAAUGAUUAUGCUGAGUGCUAUGAUCUAUAGUAAUAUUUUCUUAUGGAGAGUAUAGGAGAAAGAGUUUGGGUUCCACAAUGACCCACGUAGCAGAUCGAGCUUCAUUGAUGAGUUAAGUCAACUCUUGAUGCUCUUGUGUUCCACUAGAAUUAUGGUACUAAAAAGGUUGUGUGUUGUUAAUAAUGUAUUUUUGUUGAGGGUAAUUGUUAGUCCCAAUUAGUGCUUGAUGAAGUCACCUUAGGACAGCUAAAAUUUUCCUUUCUUUUUUCUUGUGGAGGUGGGAAUUACUUUCUUUGCUUGAGGACAAGCAAAAUUUUAAGUUUAUGGGAGUUGAUAACUACGGAUUUUAGCCUAUCUUAUGUUCUCUUUUGCUUAGGUUUUGGAUCAAAAUGUGUAAAGUAUUCCCGAAAACUGAAUUAAUGUGCUUGUCUGCAUGGUUUGGUCAAAAUGAGGCAAAUAAUCCAAAGUAAACUCAUGAAGGAGUAAACUUGCACAGGUUAAGGACAUGGAACUGGAGUGUAGACCACGAUAGAAAUAUGCGACCGCGUGAGGACCACGGCGGAGGUGUCCACAAAUAUAUGGCCCGUGAAAGAAAGUUUAGAGAACCUAAUUUGAGCAUAAAGUCUGUCGUUACCGCGAUGGAAAAGUGUGGCUGCAGAAUAUCUGACGCGGCCACGGUGGCAUUUCCACUGAGAGCGGUGAUUGAAGUUCAGAGACUCUGCAAAUUAAGCUUGAUUGAAGAAUGCGGUCCGCGUCCAAAUUGUGCGGCAAUAGUUGAAGCUAACGUACAGGCAGUGGCUUUUACACUAUCCAUGAAACCAAGUCUAAACCAAGUAAUGAAUUGAAGAAAAAGGACCGUGCUUAUUAUUAUGCGGUCGCGGUAGAUCAAGCGCGGGCGUGCUCACUUUACCCCUCCGCAAAUUCUCCGUAGGGUCAUUUUUGUUAGGAAUUUUUAGCUAUGUAUAAAUAAAUCCUUUUUAGAUUUUUGCGUUAAGUUUUGUUUGGGAGAGCACGUAAAUGGCUGGUUUUUACAUUUUUGAGUAAUAUUAGGGUAGAAUUACCUUCAAACUUUAGAUUUUCAUCUUGUAGUUCAAUCUUAUGUAUUAUGUUUCAUCUUUAUCAACUCUAGUGUGGGUAUUCAAUGGGUCUUGAAUUUUAGGUAUUAAUUGUAUAUGGGUUAGUAAUAUUUUGUCUGAUUCAUACUUUAAUUGUAGAAUUGGUGGUUGCAAACAUUGAUUCGUGCCUUUAUGACUUGGACUCUUAUUGAGAAAGAGGGACAUAAGUCUAGGAAAAUUAGGCUAACAAGAAAUUGGGGUGCAUUCAAGAGAUUGAUAGCCCCAAUUAAAUGGUUAAACCUAGAGAUAGUAAUACCCCACUUGAGCCAAUAUCAUUUGUUAUGUGUGAACACCCAUUUGGACUUGAGAAAGCCAAAUUGGGCGAAGUCACUCAAACUACCGAGAGGUAUACAGUGAGCACUUAUGUGAAAGUUAUAUCAUGACCUAAUCAUAACAAGCUUGCCCUGAUUUCUCAAUACCCGUUAGAUACUCACCUAGGUGGAAGUCACUACCCUAAUCCCUUUUAAUCCUUGAAAACCACCAACAAAAAUAUUAUACUUAUAUUAUUUUCAGCAAUAAAUAGCAUUAAACGUAGAAUAGAAACAAAUCCUAGUAUGGUUAGAAGUGCAAUUAAAAAUACAUACAUAGCUAGAUUAGAUAGAAACCCAACUCCCAACAAAUAUUAACUCCAUGUAGAUAUCGAUCCCGACCGUUCGGGUAAAAGCUGCAUCGACCACUCUUCGCCAUUAUAUAGUGCUGCAGAGUUGGAAUAGAUCACUGAUGGCCUCCACUUCUAGGGCAACCCCUACCUCUCUGACCUCUACCUCUAGUUGCCUGAGCGGGUGCAAUGGCAGCUGGUGUUGUAACCAUAGCGUGAGUACUCUAUGGGGCACGAUGUGGCUGAGAAGUCUGUGGAGGUACAUCCCUCCUAAGUCUAGAGAAAUCCCUCGCCAUAUGGUGUGUUUCGCCACACUCAAAACAAGCUCUGGGAGGAAGUGGUAGCUGCAAACAUCUCGGGCCAGGUCUACUGGAUUGACCACUUAAAGCACCUCAUGCAGGAGGCACACUAGAUACUAGAGGUGCAUGAUAAGGCUCCUUAGAUCUAGAAGAGCUGGAGUACCACUGGCUGCUGCAAGAGCUGAAUGAAUGGGGUGACUCACAUAGCCACUACCAUGGCAACUGCAGCUGGGGCACGGGCACCAGAAUAAUGGCUCGACUCUCGAGACCUCUUGGCCUCUCUCUCCUCCAUAUCCCGAGCAAGCAUGUCCUCUACUCUCCUAGCAAUACUCACCACGUAGUGAUAGGUGAUAUCCAUCUCUAACUCCUUAUCCAUGCUAGACCUGAUGCUGGUAAUAUGCCCCUCAAUAAACCGGCGGACUCUCUCUCGAACUGUAGAAAUCAAGGCCAGUACAUGUCUAGCCAAGACCCUGAAAUGGACAUCAUACUCCAAUACAGUCAUAGUACCCUGGCACAAAUGCUCAAAAUUUGCUCGCUAUGCAUACCUGAGGCUCUGAGAGACAUACUCCAUGCAAAACAUACCCGAGAACUGGGUCCAUGUAAGGGAAGAUGCCUCAGUCAGACUGUCUAACUCAAAAGUACGCCACCACUAAUAGACUGACCCUCAAAACUGGAAGGCAAUGAAAGAAACCCCACUAGACUCUACUAUGCCCAUGGUGCAGAGGAUAUGGUGGCACUUCUUGAGAAAUACUUGAGCAUACUAUAAUUCUAGACCACUAAAUGUAGGAGGAUCGUACUUUUUGUACCUCUCAAGCCUCCCCUGCUCCUCCUCUGAAACUAUUGUCCUACCCUCAGGUUGAGCUGGGGCUACAGGAAGUGCCGGUAUAACUUCUGGGAUCUGAUCAACAUGAACCUACAUGCUCAUGAACUAUGCAAGGGUCUCUUGGAGAGCUAGAUUAGCAGUAGUAGUAGGCAUAUCAGGUGUUUAUGCUCCGACUGGAGCUACUAGCGGCUCAUCUACAGCAGCUCGGGGGGGUGAUCUGGUUGCAUCGCGUGCACAUCCUCGACCUAUACCCCAGCCCCGCCUCGGCCUCGGGCGGCUCUAGCAGGGGGCACGGGUGCUUGGUCAUCUUUGGUAGCACGUGUCCUCACCAUCACUGAGAGAAUAGAAGAUAGAAGUUUAGAAGUUUGAAGUCAAUAAUCUCGCACAACAAGGAAUCAAAUGAAGUGGAAUUUUUUGAACAGUUACAUAGCCUCCCGAAGAUAAGUACAAACGCCUCCGUACUGUUCUGCAAGACUCUAAUAAAAUGGCUUGUGACUAACGACUCCUAUGAACCUAGAGCUCUGAUACCAACUUUUCACGACCCAAGUUCUCCUUCCGUAAAUUGUCAUGAUGGCACCUAGUCUCUAUAACUAGGUAAGCCUAACAUUUGCGAAAAAGAGUGGAAUACAUGAAAAACUAACAAUUUGACAGGUACAUUAAAUUAAGGAAUUUAUAUGCCAAGAGAGACUUCAUUUCUUCCACCUUCCCUGAACGAGCAGCGAAGAAGUAUAGAGCACUUUAGUUGGUUGUUGACUUGUAGCAGAUUUAAAAAAACAAUUGAUUACUCGGAUUGGUUCUUGCAUCCCUAUGCCAGACAACUACUUGAAUUUAAUUAAGGGGUCCUACUUGGGUGCAGUCAUUCAUAGGUGCAAUUCACACCUCCAAUCCCUCCUCAUUAGCUCUUUGAUUCUAAGGAUAAUAUUGAAAUAUGGAUCCUCAGGCCCAUCCAUUGUGCAGCUUCUGUAUAGACACCACGGAGUCUGUCUCAACCUAAGAGUACCCUUAGUUUCGACUCUUUAUCUAUUCAAAAAAUAUAAAAAAGAAGAAGAAGACAAUUUUUUUCUAAGAUGUUUCAGUUUGCUAAUUUGAAAAGUUCAGAGAGCGCAGACUAGCCACGGAGAGGCGGAGCAAACUCUUAUAUCGUCUUGCAUUUUUUCUGGAAACCCCCCCNNNNNNNNNNNNNNNNNNNNNNNNNNNNNNNNNNNNNNNNNNNNNNNNNNNNNNNNNNNNNNNNNNNNNNNNNNNNNNNNNNNNNNNNNNNNNNNNNNNNNNNNNNNNNNNNNNNNNNNNNNNNNNNNNNNNNNNNNNNNNNNNNNNNNNNNNNNNNNNNNNNNNNNNNNNNNNNNNNNNNNNNNNNNNNNNNNNNNNNNNNNNNNNNNNNNNNNNNNNNNNNNNNNNNNNNNNNNNNNNNNNNNNNNNNNNNNNNNNNNNNNNNNNNNNNNNNNNNNNNNNNNNNNNNNNNNNNNNNNNNNNNNNNNNNNNNNNNNNNNNNNNNNNNNNNNNNNNNNNNNNNNNNNNNNNNNNNNNNNNNNNNNNNNNNNNNNNNNNNNNNNNNNNNNNNNNNNNNNNNNNNNNNNNNNNNNNNNNNNNNNNNNNNNNNNNNNNNNNCCCCCACCCCGCUCCCGGUCCAUCGCUCGGCAUAUACAAUAAUCACUCUUGAGCUGAACAUAAACAUUCCCAAAUCCCGGAAUAUCAUGAGUCACAAGCUACAAAAGUAAAUAGUGCUUCUAAACUCCAGAAACUAUCAACAAAGAAAAAUACAAGAAAACCUUUUAACCUAAGAAAGAGAAGAUAGGGACUCCUAGGUCUGCGGACGCAGAAGAUAUACCUCGAAUUAUAUGCAAUCGCCUCGCCUCACUGAAAAUGUGGUUGGAAAGAGGUACUUGGAUCUGCACAUAAAAAACAUGUGCAAGAAAGGAAAUGAGCACACCAUAGUGGUACCCAGUAAGUGCCAACCCUAACCUCGAUCGAGUAGUGCAUGUCGAGGCCCUAUAUAUAUAUAUAUAUAUAUANNNNNNNNNNNNNNNNNNNNNNNNNNNNNNNNNNNNNNNNNNNNNNNNNNNNNNNNNNNNNNNNNNNNNNNNNNNNNNNNNNNNNNNNNNNNNNNNNNNNNNNNNNNNNNNNNNNNNNNNNNNNNNNNNNNNNNNNNNNNNNNNNNNNNNNNNNNNNNNNNNNNNNNNNNNNNNNNNNNNNNNNNNNNNNNNNNNNNNNNNNNNNNNNNNNNNNNNNNNNNNNNNNNNNNNNNNNNNNNNNNNNNNNNNNNNNNNNNNNNNNNNNNNNNNNNNNNNNNNNNNNNNNNNNNNNNNNNNNNNNNNNNNNNNNNNNNNNNNNNNNNNNNNNNNNNNNNNNNNNNNNNNNNNNNNNNNNNNNNNNNNNNNNNNNNNNNNNNNNNNNNNNNNNNNNNNNNNNNNNNNNNNNNNNNNNNNNNNNNNNNNNNNNNNNNNNNNNNNNNNNNNNNNNNNNNNNNNNNNNNNNNNNNNNNNNNNNNNNNNNNNNNNNNNNNNNNNNNNNNNNNNNNNNNNNNNNNNNNNNNNNNNNNNNNNNNNNNNNNNNNNNNNNNNNNNNNNNNNNNNNNNNNNNNNNNNNNNNNNNNNNNNNNNNNNNNNNNNNNNNNNNNNNNNNNNNNNNNNNNNNNNNNNNNNNNNNNNNNNNNNNNNNNNNNNNNNNNNNNNNNNNNNNUAUAAGGCUGUAAAGAUAAAUACUCACAUUUAAUGGGAAUGAAAUCACAUAAAACAACAACUGAGUACAUAGAGAUAGCAAACAGGGGAUCUCUCGUGAUACCGUCCCGUAGUCUCAAACGUAAAUAUAUUGGGGACCUCCCAAGAUACCAUCCCGUAGUCCCAAACGUAAAUGUGCAGGAAAAUCUCCCGUAUACCGUUUCGUAGUCCUAAUGUAAAUAUCUAGUACAAGGGGAUCUCCCGGGAUACCGUCCCGUAGUCCCAAACAUAAAAAAGCAGAGGGAUCUUCCGGAGAACCGUUCUGUAGUCCCAAAGUAAAUAUGCAACUCAAUCACCAUAAAUAAUAGUUUCAAAAAGGAAUUCUACAGUUUAGACUAAGUUCAUAUCAAAGAAGACGGACAAUUUGCACUAAACAUGUUGCAUGGAGUUCAUGCAGGCAGUUAAAGCAGUUAAGACAGUUAAGGCACGUAUCCAUGCUUUCCUAAGCUAAAUAGUAUAGUUACAUAUACUAGUGUUGCUCAAUUAAGGAAAACAUAUAGUUGCUUAAUAAAAAGAGUGUUUUUCAACAAAUAGCAUGUGUACGUACUCGUUACCACACGUACACGACGCUCGUAUAUCAAAUAGUAUUAAAUCCUAAGAGGAGUUCCCCCACACAAGAUUAGGCAAACCACUUACCUCGAACCAAGCUCGAAUCAAUCCGAAAUCACACUCCUGCCACUAGUAUCCAACUCUAAGUGGCCCAUUCUAAUCAAAUUAAAUACAUAAUGUAAAUAUAUAUACCACAACUAAUUUAGCUAAUGAAAAUCAAAGCUAAGGUGAGAAAUAGAAAAACGUUCAAAAAUCCUCCCCGGGCCCACGUCUCAAAAUUGGGUAAAGGUCACAAAUUAUGAACAUACAUUCUCACGAGUCUAACCAUACCAAAUUAACUCAAAUCCGAUACCAAAAUCAAGAUCAAAAUCCCAAAAUUCGGUCUAUGAACUUUUCACCAAUUUUUCACCCCAAAUCCGAAAUUAAAUGAUAAAAUCAAGCUUAGAUUAAUGGGAUAUUAUCAAAAAGAAGUUAGGAAUCAUUACCCACAAACUUCCUCCGAAAAUAUCUUUAACUUUCGCCUUCUACCGAGCUUUCAAUCAAACUUUUGAGUUAUGAACUCAAGCACUCAUUUUUUAACUUUAAAUUAUGCCCAGUGAUUUCCUUAAUCGCGAUCGCGGAAACACCCUCUCGAUCGCGAAAAAUUACUUCAUUGACUCAUAAGUUUACUCUAUGCGAAUGCAUAAAACACCGCACGAACGCGAUUUUGUGAAUCUCCAAAAUAGGCAAUCACGGACCACGCAUCACGGUCGCAGUGAACAAAUGUGUGGCCCUAGAUUAGGUCGACUUAACUCUACCUAAAUGCGACUUAUCCCACACAUUCGAGAUGCAUCGCCUGAUGAACUUACGCGAUUGCAUCCCUGUCUUAGCGAACAAGAAGAAAAAACUUAGUUGGUCUCCUGAAAUGCCUUACACGAUCACGAGCCUUCUCACGUAAUCGCAAUGAAGGAUUUUCUGCAACAUAAAUACUAGAAAUCUGCCACUUCUCAAAGUCCAAAAAUGACCCGAUGAGCAUCCAAAACACACCCGAGGCCCUCGGGACCUCAACCAAACAUACCAACCAAUAAAACAACGCUAAAAUUACAAAUCACCCUCCAAUCCAAACUUUAAAAACUUAGAAACUUCAAAAUUCUACAACCGAUGCCGAACCAAACAAACCAUGUCCGAUUGAUUCCAAAUUUUGCACACAAUUCAUAUUCAAUAUUACGGACCUACAGUAACUUCUAAAAUCAUAUUUCGACCCUGAUAUAAAAAAUUCCAGUACCGGCCUCAGACUUCAAAAAUUUAACUUUCGCCAUUUCAAGCCUAAAUGAGCUAAGGACCUCAAAAACACAAUUUGGAUAUGCCCCUAGCCCAAAAUCACCCAACGGAGCUAACAGAAUUGACGAAAUUCCAUUCUGGAGCCAUCUUCACACUGUUCUGACAACAAUCCAAAUUCUAAAAUUUAAACUCUCAUUUAGGGACUAAGUGUCCUAAGAAUCUUCGAAACUCAAAACGAAUCAUCCCGGCAAAUCACAAUAGAAGAAUUAGAUACGGAGGAAGUAGUUAAUAGGGGAUCGGAGCGUUAAUUCUCAAAAUGACCAGCCGGGUCAUUACAAUUUUAAUACGCAACCCAUACUUUGAAUAUAUAUCUUUCGACAUAAGGCUCAUUCGAAAUAGUCAAGUUUAUAAAGGAUAAAUCGUAAUAUAUGAAUUAGGAACUUGAGCCAACCAUACUUGAAACUUACCGGAACUUGACUAUUUCGAAUGAGCCUUAUGUCGAAAAUAUAUACAUUCAAAGUAUGGGUUGCGUAUUAAAAUUGUAAUGACUUGCGAAUUCAAAGUAUGGAAUUCUAUUCUAAGAGAAAAAAUUUAGCCGGCAUACCUCGCUUGAGCUUUCCUUUAAUUACUACAAUAUUUCGAAAAUUCUAACAAUUCCAGUCAAUUUUGAGACAUAACAAAAUUGAACCAUAAUUAGAGAGAUAUUUAUGGUUUCAUCUUAUUUGAUUAUUUUAUCAAACACUAGAUGUGAAAAUUUGUUACAAGGUUCUUCAAAAGAUUUUCUUCACUCCAUAACCCAAUCUUUACUUAUUUGAGCUCAACAAAUUUCCCACAAACCUUAUUGGUACAUGCAUGAACAAAAUAAUACUCUCACACCCAAGAAUCAAACUCCAAAUCACCCAUCUUUUUACCCAAACUCGAAAUUAAAGACUAGUGUUAGAACCCUACAUCUUUGGUGAAGAUCUUGUGAGAUUUCCUUGUUCGAUUUCAAAGCUUGGACAAGAUCUUGAUGAACAAAGCAAUUUGUCUUCUUCCUUUCUCUAGAACACUAUCCUUUCUCUCUAGAAUUAUCAUAUUUUUGCUCCAAAAUAAGCUUCAAGGCUAUUUAUCGAAGUUGGGUCGGGUUAUAAAAAUUAAAAAAUGGACUCUCCGAACUCAGGUCUGCGAUCGCAUAAUCGAUCGCUUAAUAGAUGUGUGGUUCGCAAAAUAGAUUGCAGAAAUGAUGUCAAGAACUAGGCUAUUCAGUUUAAGUCUGCGGCAGUUCUGCGCCCGCAGACCUAUUCUGCGGUUGCACAAUGCACUGUAGGAAUUCCUUCCAGAAAUCUCUUUGUUUCUUCUGCGAGGUAUUGUGCGGUCUGUGAAACGAUUAUGCGGCUACGUAAUGGACCGCAUAAUGGUCCUAAAAUUAACUCAAGUUUAUGAUGCACUUUGCGGCACUUAUGCGGCCCGUGACAGUUCUGCCAUUGCAAAAUGGAUCGCAGAAUUUCCCUCGUCUGCCAAAAAUCUUCAUCAAUAGUUUGGUGUAUUCUUCAACCCAAAAAGUUUGUUCCGAGGCGAGCUUGGGUCUACCUCCGGCACCACAAAACCUUAAGUUUCUUGGCAAAAAUUUUUGGGGCCUUAUAAGGAUGGGUCAAGCAACAUGUCAAAUGGCAAAUCUUCAAUUGUAACUAGUCGGGUCACCUCAGCUCGAAGCUUAUCAAUUGACUUCUUGUUGGGCUGGGACUUCUGUAUCUUCUUCACCUGCUUGGUCAACCCCUUGAUCACAGCACCAUGUUGUAUCAAUAUAUUAAUAAUUAUCUUCUAGUUGUCCAAGAUUUUGCUCAGCUUAUCAUCUAUGUCAGAAGGAUCCCAAGGUGCCUAUGUAGAUGACUGCCAUACAACAGCCUAGAGAUCUCAGACAGCUUUGAAGUAGCUGUCUCCAUUCAGUUGUUGAGACUCGCUAAUAUCUGGGAGACUCGUAGAGAAGAUAGUGGACCUGUAGGCGUGGGCAUGAGCCUCGAAGUUGGAGUAGGCCAUAGGAGUUGUAAAUGGUGGCUUAGGCAGAAUAGAUGCUGCACUGGUUGAAGGAUCAGCUAAUGUGGAUGGAAUAUCAAACCACUGUGGUCGAGGGUGUUGAAAGAAAGAAGAAAGAGAAAUUAAAGAAAAUUAGAAAAAAAAAAGAUUAUUUUUCAAACUUUAUAGGUGACCCACAAUUUUUGAAAAUGUUAAAAAGGCCCCAUCCACCUUAACCUACUCAUCUAGGCAUUCUUCAACCCAAAAUUUUUGAGAAAGAAAUAAGAAGUAACUUAACCAAUUUAAGUUUUGAGGAGGUCUUCUUGACAACUCUAUUAAACAUGUGUGCAUGUAUGAAAGAGCAAUAACACAUAAAAAGGAGUAGUAGUUUUUCGAGGUUUGAGUUCGCUUAAAGAAAAUCUUGUAUGUAGUUACUUUUCCUACAACAUUAAUCUACAGUUAUAGUUAUACUUUAGAUAAUAUCUUUCGUUUCGUUUUUUCUAAUAGUAGACAAUUACACUGUUGUGGUUGAUUUUGAAAAAGCAGGAGAUUUCUUUUUCUUUAUUGGUUUCUUUGCCUGCUAUCGUUAAAGGGAAGUGCACACUUAUGAUAUUGCAAUAAUCAGGGAAAUGGUUCCAAGUGUCCAACUAUAUAUGUCACAUACCAAUAAAUAUGGGCUGCAGAGAUAGGCUUUAUUCACUUUUACUUAUCCCAACAAACUUUGCACUCCCUCUGAAAAAUAACAAAUAAAAUAUAUAUUUUACCAUAAUAAUAAUAGCAUUAUAAAAACUUUUGAGAAAUAAAUAGUUAAUAAUAAGGUAAAAUAGGAAAAAAUUAAAUUUCUCUUGAUUUGCUAAAAUGGACAAAUAAAAAUAAAAAUAUAUUUUUAAUAUAAUAAAUAAGAAUGAGCGAAGUAAAUUUUAAACCACUUUAAAUGUCCGACUCACCAAAAACAUAGGAAUGUCGGGGGUAAAAAUCCUAGAGUCAUCUACUUGUGUACUUGCAGUGAUUGACACUUGGAUAAAUGUUACUAUUGGAAGAAAACCUGUUUUCUUCGAUAGAAUAAAGUUAAAAGUAGGCUAAAAGUUGUAACUAUCUUGCUAGCAGCUUUUGGUGAGCCACUUGUUAAUGAUCUAGGCACCCAAUUAUGUUGCUAUAUAGAUCUUCAUAGGUACACAUUGAAGGAAUUCCCCUAGGCACCCAAUUAUAUAGCUAUGAAUAUCUACAUAGUUAAACCCAUAGUUGCAACAAUAUUCUGUUAAAUGAUUGAGGAUGUCAUUGAAGAACGUUAGUCACUAAUCCUGACUGUAGCUCUAGAUUGCAGAGCUUAAUGUGUAGAGAAGUUGUGAAGAACUAGUAAAAGGGAUUGGGCUCCCCCUUCUACAUGAAAUAUAUACGUAAAGUCUAAUCCAAAUUUGAUUUUGAAAAAAUUAUUUUGAUAUCACGUGCCAAUAUGUGAUCGGGGUGAGCGGUGGUUAGAUAUAGGGGCGGCUUCGCCGGCUUGGAUUGGAAGGAAGGGCUUCGCUUUCCGAUCGCUUUUUGAGGCCGGUUUGGAUGAGCGUGGGCAAGUUCGGGAUUCACUAUCGCUUUCCGCUUGGAGCGGCUCACCCCCUUGUCACUUAAAGGGCGAAGUCGCCGAAGCGAGUCUAAAGGCCAAAGAGUCAUCUUUGAAGGCUACUAUGCAUCCUUAUUCAUAGUAGAGUGUAAGGUAGGUUUGGGUAUAGCAGGACUUGAACCUGCGACCAUUAGGUUAAAAGCCCAAUGCUCUACCAACUGAGCUAUACACCCCAAAAAAGAUGUAGUAGUAAAUAAGGAUUGGUACGGAAAAGAGGCCGGCCCCCCUUCUUCUCAUCAUAUUAAAGGAGCGCGGCUCUGUAUGAGGCUCGUACUGCAGAGCAAGCGGAAGAAAACGUAAGGUCGCGCGUUAGCACUCCUGCAAGAAAACGGAUGCGCUAAGGCGCAACUUCGCGCAGCUGCUACGCCCUUGCUUCUUGCCCCG